Molecule: long non-coding RNA, 106688 nt
Filed under: Vitis vinifera (wine grape)
Lineage: Eukaryota; Viridiplantae; Streptophyta; Magnoliopsida; Vitales; Vitaceae
Description: long non-coding RNA (VVIN_LNC003870)
Source: RNAcentral
UCAUCGUAACUACUAGAAAUAAACAUGUGUUAGCUGUACAAGAAGUGGAUGACUUAUAUGAGGUUAAGGGAUUGAAUUUUGAAGAAGCUUGUGAACUUUUCAGUUUGUAUGCCUUUAAACAAAAUCUUCCCAAAUCAGAUUAUAGAAACCUCUCACAUCGUGUUGUAGGCUAUUGUCAAGGGCUUCCAUUAGCUCUAAAAGUUCUAGGUUCUCUCUUAUUCAAGAAGACAAUACCUCAGUGGGAAAGUGAAUUGCGUAAAUUGGAUAGAGAACCUGAAGCGGGAAUUCACAAGGUGCUUAGACGAAGCUAUGAUGGAUUAGAUCGUACAGAACAAAAUAUAUUUCUUGAUGUUGCAUGUUUUUUUAAAGGUGAAGAUAGAGAUUUUGUGUCAAGAAUAUUAGAUGCUUGUGAUUUCCCUGCAGAAAUUGGAAUAAAAAAUCUAAAUGACAAGUGUCUUAUAACUCUCCCAUACAACCGUAUAGCUAUGCAUGAUUUGAUACAACAUAUGGGUUGUGAAAUUGUUCGUGAAAAAUUUCCUGAUGAGCCAAACCAAUGGAGCAGAUUGUGGGAUCCCCAUGAUAUUCAACAGGCACUUAGAACAUCUAAGGUAAGAGCCAAGUGCAUAAAUUCACAUAAACUUCAAUAAUAUCAUUCUUGUAUAAGAACUUACAUAUCCAUAUAAGUUGAGUUAGUUUGUAUUUAUGUUUACCUUAUCCUUGUUAUUUUUCAGGAAAUACCAAAAGCUCAAACAAUAUCCUUGGACUUGUCUAAGUUAAAAAGAGUAUGCUUCGAUUCAAAUGUUUUUGCAAAGAUGACUAGUCUUCGAUUGCUCAAAGUUCAUUCAGGUGUCUAUUAUCAUCAUUUUGAAGGUAUUCACGAGAAGGAUUAUUAUGCUAUAAUAAAAAAUACUUCUAAAAUGCGACUUGACAUGAAAUUCGAAUUUCCUUAUGAGUUAAGGUAUCUUUAUUGGGAUGGAUAUCCUUUAGAUUUUUUACCAUCAAACUUUGAUGGAGAGAAGCUUGUUGAACUUCACUUGAAGUGUAGCAACAUAAAACAGUUGUGGCAAGGGCAUAAGGUAUUAUUAUCAUUUAAUAAUGACUUCUUUAUCUUUGUAUUGAUUUUGAAAUUUAUGAUUGUUAUGUCUUUAUUGAAACCAAUUUUCGUUUGGCACAGGAUCUUGAAAGGUUAAAGGUCAUUGAUCUAAGUUGCUCAAGGAAUCUCAUUCAAAUGUCAGAAUUCUCAAGCAUGCCAAAUUUGGAGAGACUAAUUCUUGAAGGUUGUGUAAGCUUGAUCGAUAUUCACCCAUCUGUUGGAAAUAUGAAGAAGCUUACUACCUUAAGUUUGAGAUUCUGUGAUCAGCUUAAGAAUCUGCCAGAUAGCAUUGGAUACUUGGAGUCUCUCGAGUCUCUUGAUCUCUCUGAUUGCUCAAAGUUUGUGAAAUUUCCGGAGAAGGGAGGGAACAUGAAAAGUUUAAUGAAGCUUGAUUUAAGAUUUACUGCUAUUAAGGAUCUGCCUGAUAGCAUUGGAGACUUGGAAUCUCUUGAGUCUCUUAAUCUCUCAUUUUGCUCAAAGUUUGAGAAAUUUCCGGAGAAGGGAGGGAACAUGAAAAGUUUAAGGCACCUUUGUUUAAGAAAUACUGCUAUUAAGGAUCUGCCUGAUAGCAUUGGAGACUUGGAAUCUCUUAUGUUUCUUAAUCUCUCUGGUUGCUCAAAGUUUGAGAAAUUUCCGGAGAAGGGAGGGAACAUGAAAAGUUUAAUGGAGCUUGAUUUAAGAUAUACUGCUAUUAAGGAUCUGCCUGAUAGCAUUGGAGACUUGGAAUCUCUUAGGCUUCUUGAUCUCUCUGGUUGCUCAAAGUUUGAGAAAUUUCCGGAGAAGGGAGGGAACAUGAAAAGUUUAGUGGAGCUUGAUUUAAAAAAUACUGCUAUUAAGGAUCUGCCUGAUAGCAUUGGAGACUUGGAAUCUCUUGAGUCUCUUGAUCUCUCUGAUUGCUCAAAGUUUGAGAAAUUUCCGGAGAAGGGAGGGAACAUGAAAAGCUUAAAGUGGCUUUAUUUAACAAAUACUGCUAUUAAGGAUCUGCCUGAUAGCAUUGGAGACUUGGAAUCUCUUUUGUCUCUUCAUCUCUCUGAUUGCUCAAAGUUUGAGAAAUUUCCGGAGAAGGGAGGGAACAUGAAAAGUUUAAUGAAGCUUGAUUUAAGAUAUACUGCUAUUAAGGAUCUGCCUGAUAGCAUUGGAGACUUGGAAUCUCUUAGGCUUCUUGAUCUCUCUGAUUGCUCAAAGUUUGAGAAAUUUCCGGAGAAGGGAGGGAACAUGAAAAGCUUAAAGAAGCUUUUUUUAAGAAAUACUGCUAUUAAGGAUCUGCCUGAUAGCAUUGGAGACUUGGAAUCUCUUGAGUCUCUUGAUCUCUCUGAUUGCUCAAAGUUUGAGAAAUUUCCGGAGAAGGGAGGGAACAUGAAAAGUUUAAUGGACCUUGAUUUAACAAAUACUGCUAUUAAGGAUCUGCCUGAUAGCAUUGGAGACUUGGAAUCUCUUAAGUUUCUUGUUCUCUCUGAUUGCUCAAAGUUUGAGAAAUUUCCAGAGAAGGGAGGGAACAUGAAAAGUUUAAUUCAUCUUGAUUUAAAAAAUACUGCUAUUAAGGAUCUUCCCACCAACAUUUCUAGGUUGAAAAAUCUUGAAAGACUUAUGCUCGGUGGCUGCUCAGACCUGUGGGAAGGAUUAAUAAGCAAUCAGCUUUGCAAUCUGCAAAAACUUAAUAUCAGUCAAUGCAAAAUGGCUGGACAAAUUCUGGUGCUUCCUUCAAGUCUACAAGAAAUAGACGCAUACCCUUGCACAAGCAAGGAAGAUUUAUCAGGUCUGCUCUGGCUUUGCCACCUCAACUGGUUGAAAUCCACAACGGAGGUAAUUUAAUAUAUAUAUAUAUAUAUAUAUAUAUAUAUAUAUAUAUAUAUUUUAAUUAUGCCACUUAAACCUUUUUUUAUUUUAUUUGAAGUCAAUAUUUACAUAAUAAUUUGUGCAGGAGUUGAAAUGCUGGAAACUCGGUGCUGUUAUUCCUGAAAGUAAUGGAAUUCCAGAGUGGAUAAGGUAUCAGAACAUGGGAAGUGAAGUAACAACAGAGCUUCCAACGAAUUGGUAUGAAGAUCCUGACUUCCUAGGAUUUGUUGUAUCAUGUGUUUAUCGGCAUAUUCCUACAUCUGAUUUUGAUGAACCUUAUCUUUUUCUCGAGUGUGAAUUGAAUUUACAUGGCAAUGGAUUUGAAUUCAAGGAUGAAUGCUGUCAUGGAUACUCGUGUGAUUUUAAAGAUUUGAUGGUAUGGGUUUGGUGCUAUCCUAAGAUUGCUAUUCCGAAAGAGCAUCACCAUAAAUACACACAUAUUAAUGCUUCAUUUGAGAGUUAUUUGAUAAACAUAAAAAAAUGCGGCAUCAAUCUUAUAUUUGCGGGAGAUCAACAAAAUCAUAUGCCCAUGUUGGAGCAUCCUCAGAAUUCUGGUGACAAUGGAUCAGCAUUACAAGAUACCGAUGGUAAUGUUCAUGGGGCUAAUCAAGAUGAUGAACACUACCAUAUUCCCAUCGUGUUAGAUCUUCUUGGGAAUUUUGGUGACAUUGGAUCAGUAAUACUUGAAGGCACUGAUGGAAACCGUAAGAGAAGACGUGAUGAUUCCUUACCCGAUGUAGUGGAGGAGCCACAUUAUAAAAGAUUGGGAGCACCCAACACCCAUCUCUCGCUUUGAACUCCAUCAGUAAGUGCAUUAUCAACCCUUUUUCAUGUAUUCUAACUUCUCUCCUUUUUAAAUUAUUUUUAAAGUUAAUAAACUAUUUUUGUAUAUUUCUUUAAACUCAUUUCACUUAUUUUUCUCCAUUAUAUAAAAAUUAAAUAAUUUAAAAAUGUAUACAUCUCUAAUCAAUUUUAAAUAUAUUUUAUUUUCUUUCAUAUUUUCUAUAGAAAAACCAAGCAUAAAAAAUAAUUUUUCUCAGUGUUUUUUUUAUUUCCUAAGUACUCUCUAAGAUUCAAACAUAGUUUAUAGUGAUUGAUAUCAUAACUAUGCAUGUACCACGUUUUAUAGAAUUUCUUCAUUUUCAAAAAAUAUGAAAAAUAACUUCAACUAACUUUGAAAGUCAUCAUUAGUUUAAAAACAUGUAUAGUUUUUUUUAUUUUUUUAUUUUUUUUUAUUUUUUGUACAUAUAUAGCAUAGAUAUGGUAGAGUGAAUUGCUUUUCUUUUCUUUUUUUUCAUUAUUUAUUUAUUUAAUUAGUUAUAUAAAAACCUCUACAAAGUGAUUAUGAAGCUCUAGGGAUUCUUCAUUACCUUAUUAGAGAUAGCAUUAAUUAAUUAUUUGUUUAAUUAAUUUUUUUUAUACUUGUUUUUAAGAUAAAAUUUGAAUAAGUUAUCAAAAUUAGUUAGAGAAGAUCAUGUACACAAAUUAGAAGUUAAAUUUGAAUGUAUUAUGAGGUAGAUAUAUGUAAAAACUUAUAGUGUGUUUGGUAGUAAUUCUGGAAAAUGUUUUUAGUAUUUUUAACAUUUGAAUGAUAAAAUUUUUCAAACGUUAAAAAAGUUAGAAGUGCUUUCUAAAAUCACUGUCAAACAGGAUCUAACGUACUCUUAAUAUUUUUAAUAUUUGAAAAUUUUUAUCAUUCAAUUGUUAGAAAUAUUAUAAAUGCUUUCUAGAAUCACUUUCAAACACACUCUUACUUGAUGGCAGUAAAUAAUGAAACUCCCAUAUAUUGAUUUUAAUAGUUUUAAGAGUCAAAUUGUUUAUAGUUUUUGUAUUGAAGAAUUAAAUUUCUUUAAGUAUGCUAAAACAUUUUUAAACAUGCAUACUUAUUGUCUAUUUCUUGAGAUGGAAGUCUUGGAUUAAUCUUAUAUUUACUUAUGUGAAAUUUGUGAUAUGCUCGUGAAGUUUACUUAACAAAUGAUCAUACUAAUCUUAAGUGAAAUUUGUGAUAGUACCGAUCAGAACGAAAUCACAUGUGGUAGCUGCAGGUGGACUUCAUGUUUUUUCCUAACAACUGAUUGGUAAGUCAUUUUGUUCAUUUAUCCUUUUAGUACGUGUAGAAAAUUGAUUAAAGCCUCUUCAACUUCUUUACUAUUUUCUCUUUCCCUUGAUCCCUGUUUUGUGCGAUUAUGUUUGGUUUUUGGAAAACUUAAAGGAAAAUAUAAGGAAAAGAAAAUAGAGAAAAAAAAUUAAAAGGAAAUAAAAAGUGAAAAAGAAUAAAAACAAGAUUUAAAGUCAAUCAAUUAUUUUCAUAUGUUUCUUCAAUCUUAUUUCAAUUAUUUUGCUUCAUUAUAUAAAAAUUAAAUAAUUUUAAAAUGUAUAUAGUUCAAACAUAAGUUUUAAAAUGUAUAACUAAUUUUAAUUAUAUUUAAUUUUUCCAUAUUUUUUACAAUGAAACCAAACAUUUAUCAUUUUUCUUGACAUUUUUUUAUUGUUUCCUUGGUACUCACUAAAGUCAAACAUAAGUUUAAACCCACUAGAGUGAUCCAAUUGGUGAAGGCAAAUAUUGAGAAGUGUGGUCCCACUAAGUGACACAUGGUCCUGAGUUUGAAUCCUACCACUAAUGAUACUUUGAAUUUAUCUAGUGCUAGUUAUUGUGACGCGAUUAACACUUUGAGGUUUGGUUCCCCAUAGAGUCCUAUAGGCUUAGCCAAGGAAGGUUUUUCAAUUAUUAAAAAAUAAAAUAAAACAUAAGUUUAAUGUUUUAGGAGGUAAAAAAAAAAAGUGGUAGCGCAAUUGACAAUUAACUAGGAUAUAUAUUUUUUCUCAUGUGCUUGGUAUAAGGCACUAAGUAUCAUUAUAUUAAAUCCUCCAUCUACCGCAUGAUAGUUAGUUAUAAAUUCCUUACUAUUAUUAUAGGUAAACAAUAAUUUAUAUAUGUUUAAAUUAAUUCUUAAGUUAAUGGUUAAUAUCUAUUAAUUAUGUUUUUAGUUCCUUUGAUGAUUAUGUUAUAUUUGAACAUUUUAGGGGUAUGAUUUUAGCUUCAUUAGCAUGAAGUGUAUCUAAUGAUAUGUGAUUCCCUAUCACUAUGUUUGAUUUCAAGAAAGUAUAAGGAAAGAAAAAUCCUCAUGAAAAUUAUUUUCUCAUGAAAAAAUCCAAGUACGAAGGAACAUGAAAAUGAAUUUUGGAAAUCAGACACAACCUUGUGAAAUAUACUUGUGUUAAUAAUUACAGUGUGUUUGUUGUACUAUGUUAAUGACAUUGAAAUGUUGUGUUUUAUUCUUUAGCUUUAGGUGGAAACAAGGACAAUGAGGAGAAGUUAAUCUCAAGAUGCAAAUGAGAUUCCAAAUGUUGCUAAGGUGGUCUACUCUUGCACAUGAUUAGUCUCUUACAAUCAUGACCAUCAAGAAAGAUGGUACAAUUUGUGUAUUGAAAGUGUGAAUUAGGAAUGUUAAAAAAUGAAAACUUGAAUUGAUAUAUGUUUUUGCCCAUAAGAUGUGUGGUUAUGGUCAAUUCUUGUGGGUAUGUAAUUGACCUUGAUGUUGCAUAUGAAGCAUGUCACCCUCUCUGUAUCUUCAAGUUAGUGGUUGGAGCUUCUAUAGAUGGUGGAAGACAAGUGUCACCAAUUUAAGUAUUUCUUAAGCUCUCAUGUGGCACUUAGACAAUUCAAGUCUAUUGAAGUUGUUGCUAAGUCUUUCAUGUUGUGACAAAGGUUUUUCACAUUUCACACAUUAUAAUCAUCACAUUUUAACUCAAGUUUUUAAAAGUAUUAAAUUAAUACCAUUCCCUAAUCUUACUCGGCUUGGUUUGUCAACUUCGGUGGUUUAUUACUUUUUAGAGCCAACUUUCAACUUAAUCAAUCCAACGUAAUUGUUAUUGAUUCAUGGUUAAUAAUUCUCGAUCUAAUGUUAUGAUUGUUUUUUAAAAAAUUUGAGGAAAAUAAAAUAAAGAGAAAAAGUACAAGGAAAGGAAAUGUGGAGAAACAUAAAAGAAUUAUAUUUAAAAUUAAUAAAUUAUUUUUAUUUGUUAUUUCAAACCUAUUUUACACACAAAAUUAUAAUAAUAUUUAAUUUUUUCUCUAUUUUCCAUGAGAUACCAAAUAUAAAACAAAUAUUUUUUUUAACAUUUUUUUUAAUGCUUUUUGGAAACUAAACAUAACUUAAUACUUGUCUUUGUGUUUCAAGAUACCAAUAAUACUUCUUGAUAAAAUCAUAUCUAUUAAUGUGGCAUGUAUACAUGUGUGGGAUAUUCAUGGUUCAAUACUAUCACUAUCUUACAAUUGUGGAUUCUAAUUGAAUUUUAUGAAUUAAUGAUAUGAUCUUUCUUCAAACAAAAUGUCUUUGUGAGUUGAAUUAUUUCAAUUGGUCAAACCUCUAUAUUCCAAAUAUUUCUACUUUGAUUAAUCAAGGUCUUUGUGAGUUGACUUUAAUUUGCUUUUAAAUAUCAUCUAUUAAAGUAUUUUAGAUGCUUCUUUGUUUUGUGUAGUAUUGUAAUAGAUUAUGAGAUAAUUGUAGACCAAAUGAUAUACAAAUUAUCUCCUUUAUAGAUGUUUUUUCACUUGCUUUAAAGCUAAGAUUUUGUAAACUAGCUUUUGUCUUUUCUUAGCUUUAAUUUUUUUACUCUAAAACACCCAAAUAAAGUCAUUUAGUUUUGUAUGUGCUAUUUUCUUUAAAAGAGAAACUAAAAAGGGAUGCAUCCUAGUAUAUAGUUGAAGCAGAGAAGGAUUUUAUUCUAAAAUUAAUAUAAAAAAUAUACUUUGAUAAUAUAAUUUUAAACCUCUUUUAGAUGGUGUUUGGUAAACCAACUUAAUAAUUUAAUAUAACAUAAUAACUUAAUUUGUUAUUAAAUAGAUUAAUUAUUUUUGGUAAAAUAAUUUAAUAUUAUAAUAUAAACAUAGUAUUAAGUCAAAAUAGUUAACUUAAGGGUAUUUGGCAAAUCAACUUAAUGACUUAAUAUGAUUUAAUAAUUUAAUUUAAGUCAUUAAAGAGAUUAAACAUGUUUGAUAAAAUAACUUAAUAUUACGACUUAAAGUUAUUUUUAACUUCAAGUAAUAAGUCAAAAGGGUUAAUUUCAUUGAGACCCCUUGAGGUUUGAUAUAAAUAUACUCAAUUACUGUUGUUUUCAAAUUUCAUCAAUUAGCACCCUUAUGAAUUUAUUUUGUUUAAAAAAUUUAUUUUUUUAAGAGAUUUCAAGUAAAAAUAUUUUUGAUAGGAGUGUUUAAUAAUUCACUAAAAACUAAAUUUUAUUUGUUAAAAAAUAAAAUUUAUAUACAUAAUACAUUUAUAGGGAUGUUAAUUGAUGAAAUUGAAAUUUGAAACUUAUGAUGACUUAAUGUAUUUACACUAAACAUGAAGAGUCUCAAUAAAAUUAACUUUAAGUUAAAAUAGUUAACUUAUUCUUAAUCUCAAAUCUUUUUUACCUUAUUUGUCUACAUUUAUUACUUAUUUUUUAUGAUUGUACUUGUAUCUUUAAUACUUUAAAUAUGAAUAUUUAACAAAUAAAUUUAUUAUUUAGGAUUAGUGAAAAUAUAAUUAUUAGUUAAAAUUAAUAAGGAUGAAUAUGUCAAUUUGACAAUUUAAAAUAAAAGUUUUAAGUUUACAGUUUAAGAACCAUUUAACUUAAAAUCAAUUUAAAUCAUUAAGUAAUAAGUAAUAAGUAAUAAGUUUUACCAAAUGCCCACUUAAAUAUAGCUUUUAAAUGAAUUAUUUAAUCAAAAGACAAAUAUAAAAAAAUAAAAAAUAAAAUAAAAAGGAACACACUAAACAGGCAUCAUAAAAUCUUUCACAUGAUUUCUUUACUUUUUUAUUCACCUUCUUAGAAGACGAUUUUAAUAUUUCCUAAGAAAAUUAUGAAAACACAAAAUUGGUGUUUCCAGAUUUUCUAUUUUUAUAAAACUCUAUUUUCUGAAAUAUUGAUUUAUGUUUUCUUUACAAAUGAAAACAAUUUAAACAAAAAAGUGAUUUAUAGUUUCCAUUUUUAAAAUUGAUUUUCACUUCUUUUGACUUAAGGCAUUUUCAAGAUAAGAAAAAAAAAGGAAUAAAAGCUAUUUUUAGAGAAUAAAAAUAAAUGAAAAACAUUUUCCAACCGAAACCCAUUGUUAAUGUUUUCAUCUCAUUGUGCCUUUUUCUAAUCUCCAUCCCGCACUUUGAUGGGCUAAACUCGAAAAUGGAAAGUUAUAUCUUGGCACUUGCUUUAAUUUACAUUUGUUAAAUUGGUUUUGACAUACAUUUUUCAUAAUAAAUGCAAAACAAUAGCCUGAGUUACAAACAUGAUUUCCAUGGUUUUUUAGGUCUCUAAUCACAUAAAGUAUUGAUUCCCAAAUUAAUGAUGCUCUAAAUUUAGUGCAUAGGGCAUUCAGACUCUCAGUUCCAUCAACAUCCAUUUUCAUUUUCUCACCUGCCAAAACCUUAUUGUACAAAUUUCCAUUCAACCUUCAGAUCCAUCCCAUGUUCCAUUUUCAAUCCUAGCCACAUUGUUACCAUAGGGCAAGUUGCUAGUACCAAAUAUUUAAGACAAGUAUACAUACAAUGCAAAUCAGUCCAUUACCCUAAAAGAAAAGGAAAAAGAAAAAGAACUUGUGUCACAGAAAGGAAUAAUCUAUUGGGUCAGUGGCUUGUAUCCAAAGUGAUACCAAACUGUGCUGACAAGGAGCCUUUGUAAGAAUCUGAUACAGCUCCUGCUGUUUCUGAAAGGUUGCUCUUCAUCUCUGAAAUUUUUGAUACCAUGGGCUCUUUGUAUUUCGAAACUGAGUCAACCAAAGCAUAGAGUUCCCAAGCACAUAUCUGAAUUUCAUCCUCAUUUUGCUUGAUUGCUUCCUGCAACUUCAAUUUGGACAUCUUCAUGACGACAUCAAAGUCUAGUCAGAAUCCCUUGAAUUUUUCGAUAAUAUUCACAUUAAUCAAGAACAAUUAUAAAGCCAGGUAGAAAUUUUUAGCUCUGAAAAGGGAAACCAACUUAUGUUAAAAUAAGUUUCUUUCAGGUUUACGAGAUCCACCCUGGCAAUAUUGAUAUCCUUAACUAACUAUUUAAGAGAAGAAAAACAAAAUUAUACCUCCAGAACAUCUGCCACUUCUCUUUCCACAAUAUCUACAUUAUGGGUUUCUAUCUCAACAUCCUCCACCAACUUCUUAGCUUCCAUUGCACAUCUGGAGGUGUAGUUUUGCGUUUCCUUCUUCAAAAAAUUUAAUUGAGCUUCCACCUGACAAAUUGAUCAUUCAUCCAUGGUUAACCUCAUACAACAAUAGCCUAAAAAGAAUUCAUUCUGAUGCCUUGUCAAAAAUCAACCAGAAGAUAAAUAUCCAUGAACGAAAAACAAUUAGAUUAAACAAUGUGUAACCCAAUAAUUUAUGUUGCAAAAUCAAGUUAAACAUCAGAUCCAUCAGAAACAACGAGAUGCAUGAUACUAUUCGAUAGCUUAUUAAUAAAAUCACAUUAUUAGGAAGACACUACUCAAUAGCUCGACACUAAUAAUGGAGUUCUUUAAUAAUGGAAUAACCUUACAUGGCAUAGUUAUGCAAGCAUUGUUUAAGCUAAUGUCAAAUAUAGUCAAAGCCUUGACAAUAAUUUCCAAUCAGCAAGUUGGAAAAUUACUUGCUAAAAAAUAUACUUGGAAAAGGAAUCAAAUGUAGUCAAUCCUUUGUAGGGACUAAUUAUCAUCCAAAAAUAAUUUUUCUUAAGUGUUUUAUAAGCCAUCAAAGCUACUUUGAAAAUUUGGGGCCUGACAAUCUAUGUGCAAUAACAAUUGACAUCUCCAACAGAUUAUUUUUUCUUUUUUAAUCCAAAACAAAUCAUUCAUUGAUAUGAAUUUAAUUACAAACCAAGGAUGAGAAACCCUUUCAAAAUAUAAAGGAUGAUUAAAAAUUGAGGAAAAAUCUAACAAAAGUAGCAAGAUAGCUAUACUAAUCAAGGACGAUACAAGAACUUGAAUAUAGCGACAAUGUACACUUGAAGGGGGUAAAACAUACCUUACAGAAGAGUCCAUUUGCAUGGCUCCACAUUUAGCCAAUCAAUCUGCAACCUGAUUCACUAAAUGAGGGGACCAAUAGAAGGAACAACCCAAGCUACUAGCUAGAUCCAGGGUUUUAGGGAGCUACAUGUCAUACAUCCCAAGACAUGUGAUGGGGGAAAGCCUUUCAAAGUAUAUUCAAAAAGGAAAGGAAGGCACAAAUAAACUUUAAGUGGGAUUAGUAUUAGUUAGAAUAAAAUUAGAAUUAGUAUUUAUUGGAAUCAAAUUAGGAAUAGCUAAAUAAUUUAGAGGAGACUUAGAGUCAUAAUAGGUUAUAUUAGAAUCCUAGUAGGCUUUGAAUUUCUUAGAGAAGCCUAUAAAUAAAGCUAAUUGAUGUAAAUCAAAGUAAUGGAUCGAUAAUUAAUAAUAUAACGUUUCCUUGCAUACUUUGCAAUUUUGAAUGGUAAGACUCUUGAUUUUCUUCUAGGUGAGACUCUUAGAAGGCCUUAGUGAGACUCAAAGCUUUCUAGCUCUUCUUCUCCGUAUCUUCUUUCUCAAUGUUUUUUCAUUUUAUUUUUCUUUACCAUAAACUUUAUCCUUUAUUCCUCACCUUAAAUGGUUAAACCCUAAAAAAUAAAAACCGUAGCCCACUUAUUUGAUUGUAGGCAACCAUCAUAGGGUUGUCUUACGUCAAUAUGUCCAACAAUUUAAUCAUCCCUUUUAAUCCAAUUUGAAAAUAGCACCUAUUCUUAACUGAAUUAUACUAAAGCAUAUUUGGGUCACUUUUCUAAAGCACAUGUCUGGUUUCCAAAAGUGGACACAAUUCUAGAAUUAUGCAAUUGGAGUAUGUGCAUCUAGGGCAUCCUGAAGAUAUGUGCAUUCUGAAAAUGAACACGUAUUCCUAUUUCUUCUCCCUCUUCUCCCUCUUCCCUAUAUUUAUUAUUUAUCAUAUCUUUACAUCACCUAGGUACCAUAUCAAAACCAUACAACAAGCUGGCCCUUGAUCAGCAUCCAUCUGACCCUGAUCAAUGGACUUCAGAAACAAUGGCAUGCACCCUACAUUUAACUUCCAAGUCCUCUGGACCAAUUUGACAUAACUAUGGUAGCACACUUUUUGGGUCACCCUUUGUAUUAGUUCAAAGGAACAUUACAACCUGAGCUGUCCAUUGAUGCCAAAAAGCUGUAAUGUGGGUAAUACAUGCUUUGCUCAUAUACAAUAAUUGUUUUUAGCAAUGGAUACAAAAUGGAUGUCUAUCUAAGGCAUCCAAAAGCUAAGAUUUUAUCUACAACCAGAAGAGUACAACCCCUAAAGUUGAAUGGAUACAAAAUGCCCAUGAUUGUCCCUUAAUAAUAACCCCUAACCCACAACCGGCUCCGAUUUCCCAAAAAGCAACCUUCCCAGGAAGUGUUUCUAGGAGGAAUAACAAACUUAUCUCUCAACUUAUCCCCUUCAUCACCCACAUAGUUUUAAAAGGUGCAAGGCGCACCUAAGAUGCAAAGUUUCCUAUAGCUUAAGCACAAGGCGCAACACAAGGUGUGCGUCUAAGUGAAGUGAAAUGUGACCUAGAAUACACAUCAAUUUUAUAAAAUAUGAUUCAAAAUCUAAUCUGAUCAAUAAAAAAUUUAAAAUUCGAAACAUUUAAAAGAAGCAUUCAAUAAAAAAGUAAUGAAAUUAUAUACAUUUCAGUAUAUAAUUAGAAAUUUAAAAAAUAAAAGUGUUUACAAAGGAAGAGUAAAGCUGACAAGGCACACUUUUUCAAUAAGGCACAUAUCUUGGCAAGCAAGCGCUAUAACUUGGGAGUGGUGGCGCCUUGAGCCUAGGCGCACUUAAAGCACGCCUUUUAAAACUAUGAUCACCCAUUAGACAGAUGGUUAGACCAGGCAGCUCUUGCUUUUUUUUUUUGAUAGGUAGACCAAGCAGCUCUUGCUAUUAAAUUUUGAGUGACAACUGCUUGUGUAACUGACACCAUUUGCCCUUUGUACCAAAUUUUAGAUUGACCAUCGGGUGGUACUAUACUCCUUUCCAAUUAUUUUCCCUCCCAUAUUUCAUUUGAGUCAUUCUGGAAUUUAGCAAUAUUCUAUCCCAAUGGAAUUUCUAGGAACAACAUUUUUCUGUCAAAAUUUGAAUACAUCCAAAUUAUCACCUUUUUGAAUUCUAAUUGUAGUCCAAUCAAUUUAACCGCAGUAAUUGAUUUUCCAAGAAAUUUUCUUAUGUGCAUUCAACUACUAGCAAUUCAAGAAAACAUUUUUUUUUUUUUGGAUAGGUAAAUCACAAUUAAAAAAACAAAUUAAACGAAGGGGCAAGCAAGAUUAAAAAACAAUUGUCUUUUAGAUUGCAAAGAAAAUACCAAAGAAGCUUACGGUUACAACUUUAGUUUUCCUGGAGUGGCAUCCAUGCAAUAUAAUGACCAUGCAAUUGUAUAUGCUACUGCUGGUACUUUAGAAAUGGUAUUGCUAACAAAGUCAGACCACUAGGUAAAGAAGACCUGCUUUGAUUUGUUAUAUAGAUAGAUGGAUACAAAGAGAGAGAGACAGAGAGAGAGAGAGCGAGAGAGAGUUUGGCCUUUUCUGAGAGCAGCAAAAAGAGGUUGAGUUAAUUUGUACUUCAGUUAAUUGCAUAUUCAAUAGGGGAUCAUUGGCUCCAACUAUGUGCCCACCCCCUCCAUCUGUAUCCUUAUGUAUGUGUCUGAGAAUUUUAUGGGUCUGUCAUUCUUUCCAAAAUUUUUAUGUGCUGAGGAGUUCUUCUUUCUUGUAACAUGAUCAAUCUUGUUAUUUGUACCAAAGAUAUUCAGGAAUGUCUUUGAGAAUUUUAUGAGUAGAGGAUUCAUCAUCCUCUCCAAAAUUUUUGUCUUCUGGAGUUAAUCUGUAUCUAACAUCACCAAUACUUUUACCCUUCUUUAAAAUUUUUAGGAAAACAAAGUGAAAAUCUGGCUGCUCCGGUUGACACCCUAAAAGCAUAUAAAAAAGGCAUAGUUUUUUAUUCUUCGUGAGAGGUAUAUAAAUGCAUAGCUGCUGAACAAGAAAAAUGAGUUCUAAUUCACUUACUUCAUCACAACUAGUUUGAAGUGCAGCAAGACGAUUUUUUUUUGCUUCAAUUUUAGCAGCAUUUUCAACUGAUUGUUCCUGAAGAGAAAUCAACUCUUCCAACUUUAGCAUAGAGCAUUUUAUUUAUGUCAUCAGCAAAGGAGUCAAGUGCAGGCUUAAGCGUUGAUUUGUAAUCAAUUCCCAAAACCUCAGCAGGCAAAGACCCUUUGGCAUUCAAAACAUACUGCAAACCAUUUCCUAACUUUAACCUGGAAACCAUCCAAGAGAAAAUACUUCAAUCACACAAUAGAUUGUAGUUUAAUAGGUUGAAAGAGUUGCAUGAGGUGGCAUGCUAAUUUUUCAAUUCAAAGAUGCUCCUGAAAAUUAAGUAUUUAGUGUUGUCUCUUCAUGGCUAUUAGUUUACUUCAAAAAGUUAAAUAGAACAUGGUCCCAAGGGAAACAAUAGGCUCCUAAGGCAGGGCUCAGGAGGCAAAGGGUUGGGUGGGAAUGGGAAGGUUCCAAGUUGAAAUUCAUCUACCGAGAGAGAGAGAGAGAGAGAGAGAGAGAGAGGGGAGGGGGGAAGAGGGGAGGCUACCUCAAAAAAAGAGGUUGCCAAGGGCAACUGUAUCACCUAUCUCUUUCUAAAUAAAUUAUUAGAAAACUUGUGAGGAUGGAAGUGUUAAAUGGAGGUUUUUUUUUUUAAAGCCAAAUCGAGAAUGAACAUUAACUAACCUUAAAAACCUUUUUAUUUUUCUUACUUUGACAAAGCUCCAGAAUGGUUAGCAGUUUGAGAGUAACACUUAGCUCAAAAGGUUAAAGAAGAUGAACAAACAUGAAAUCAUAAACCAAUACAAAAGAUGUAAUGCACCCAAAAGAUAAAUGCACGUAAGGCAAAUUACAACUCAGAAACUACCCAUUGUUGGUGUUGAAUCACAACCCAAGUAAACAAAUGAAGUUUGAGUUGGCUACGUGGAAAUAAUGCAUGUGACUCAAGAAGACAUAAGCCAUUGAAUGAUUCAGCAACUACAUUCACCUGGUCUGAAUUUUUGUCGACUGAAAUUUUAUUUUUUUGUUAGGUAAAUUUUUUUGUCCCUAUUGGGAUUUGAACCUGAAACUUCCACAAACCCUCCCAAACCUUUACCUCUUGAGCCAGGCCUCAAGGGCAUGUUCACCGGAAUAAUUUAAGCAGAGAACAGCAGCUGGAUCCUUCUUAGGAAUCAUCAACUAGUCAUGCUGUAACUACAGAGCCAGAUCCUAUGUUCUCACUGAAGUUAUACUAAAAUGUUGUAUAUGUUAAUGUAUUUGCUAAGAACAGGAAAAUAUUUCAUAUCACCCAUAAAUGACAAAAAAAAUCUUGUAAUCUAAUUCAUGGAGGUAGAUAACCUAAUGUUGAUAAGAAUCACAGUAGACUUCAAUGGAAUAGAGAAAAUUAAUUCCAAGCAACACCAAACCUAAGAAAGAACACGAUUCUACCAUGUUCAUUAAUUAUCAGAAAGCAUACUGAAGAUUACUAGAAAGACUUUAGAGUAUGCAACUUAAGAAAUUAAGAAAAUCCUAGUGGAGUGGAUUAUAGAGGUACCAAAGCCAAACAAAGAGGAUAAGGAAAAGAAAACCUCCAGAGAGCCUGGUUGCAUUCAAUUGAAAGAGCUUCAAGCUCCUUAAACUUGUGCCCAAUUGUCGUGUCAACAUCCCAAGACUUCUCCUCCCAACCAUUCCUUGCAACCUCAGCCUCCGUGAUAUCUCUCUCAACUGCCUGCAACUCCCUCUUCAUCCUCUCUGCAUCUCUUGCAUUAAACGUCUGCAACUCAACCCUCUUCUUCAGCUCUUCAUUCUCCUCGCAAAUUCUAUUAUUCUCUUCAACCUUCACCCCCAACUCCUUCUCCUUCUCAUCCAAAAUCUUCUCCACAGAUGCAAUCCUUCCUGAAAAUUCUGCAAUUAUUGCAUGAAAUUUCUUCACAUCCUCCUCCAACACCCCCCUCUCCUUCUCCACAACCUCCUUAGCCGAAGGCCCCGACCUCAAUUCCUCCAACCUCCCCUCCCUCUCUGCCACCUCCUUCUCCAAUGCCUUCACACCUUUCGCCACUGCGUCCCUCUCCCUUUCCAACUUCCCCAUAAACUCCCUACCCACCGCCUCCAUCCCAUCAUCAUCCCCGCGAAUAUAAUGCAAGUAACUAUCCAAUGCAUACACAAAAGUAUUGUCAAAAUACUCCAAAUUCGACACAAGAUGGUCAUUAUACAAUGCGAUUUGAGCCAACCAAUGCAUUACGCCUAAAAGGGAAGGCCAAACAGGCGGGGUUCCGGGGGCUUUGAGAGCGGACUUGUUGAGCUUGAUCGGGCAAUUGAGAUGCUUGAGGAGGAUAGGAAGAUCGUCUUCAAGUUUGGUUGUGGGGAAAUCGNNNNNNNNNNNNNNNNNNNNNNNNNNNNNNNNNNNNNNNNNNNNNNNNNNNNNNNNNNNNNNNNNNNNNNNNNNNNNNNNNNNNNNNNNNNNNNNNNNNNUGAGGGGGAGAGGAGAGGAAUGGGAGGCGAGAAAGGAGUUGAUGGUGCGGAUGGCGGAGAGUUGGUAGGACCGGUUGGUGAGGGCAUCGCCGGCGGAGGAGCGGUUGAUUCCAAGGGAGGAAGGGUGGCUGCUGGCGAAACUAGCGUCAGAGUUGCGGCUGAAUUGGCGGUGGUGGUCGACGGAGGGAGGUGGUGGCGGCGGUGGGUGGAUAGAGUCCUUCGGACGGCGGCGGCCGGUGGCUUUCAUCCCCGGCUGUGAUGGGCGUCUCUCUCUCUUCUGAGUUCUUGUGAAUUCUGAAUCUCUCUUUCCCGCCUAUGGGCUACUGGGAAAAUGACACUGCUUUUUAAAUUUUAUUUUUGAAAACAUUUUUUUUAAAUGAAUUAUUUUUAAAAAUAUUAAGAUAUUAUUUCGUAUUUUAAUAAUAUAAAAUAUUUUCACCGAAAGGAAAAAACAAAUCAAAUUACCGAAAAAACACUGUUGACUGAUCAAGGACGGGCGGGCAGCAAAGUAUUGAUGAACUUCAACAGGUUAGAAGGAUGAAAGGUGCUGAUUGUGUAUUAGUUCAAUUCUUCUUUAAAUCUAUUUUCCAUACAUCUUGAUUAACCUCUAAGUAAUUGCAUACUCAGAUUAUGCAGUCAAAAGCAAUUUCAUAUUGAUCCAGCCUGCAUACGUGAGGUUCAGGAGAUCUCUCUUUCAAGUCAGUUCCAACAUAAGCACAUUGUUCAAUAUUAUGGCACAUUCAAGGUAUUUUUCAAAUUUUUCUUGUUGGAUUGGCUUCUUGUUAUGUACCACUCUUGGAAUCAGGGCUACCGUUUGCAAAUUUGCAUUUUUUGNNNNNNNNNNNNNNNNNNNNNNNNNNNNNNNNNNNNNNNNNNNNNNNNNNNNNNNNNNNNNNNNNNNNNNNNNNNNNNNNNNNNNNNNNNNNNNNNNNNNUUUGGGAGAAUAAUAUCGAUAUAUAUAUAUAUAAAAAACCCUACAUAAUGCUGCAUGCAAGACACAAAUUUAGGAACUUGAUCUGGGUCUUGUAGAGUUGUUGCAUGAGUCCUCUGGCAUCUUUGUACCUCAGAGGACUUAACUCGCUGCUAGUGCUGGGUUGGGCCUAAUUUAUAGGGAAGAAACAUUGGUGGAGGCAGUUGAUAAAGCCCAGAGUUGACGGCUGUUAACACUGGUGAAGAGGACGGGAAAAUUUUUAGCUUUGAAGAGUUACCUCAUUCUCUUAACUACAUCUGUGCUCAAGUGGCAGAUUACUAGUCCUAAUAUUCCUCAGAAUGCUCCUGGCUUUAGGAAGAAGACAUGAAUUAUGGCAUCAAUUUGGGCAUACGUCCCUCCUCUGCAGUAAAUCUAGAGUGCCAACUAAAACUUGGGACUGAUAAUUUGUUGCUCUCACUUGGGAACCCCCAUGCAGUAACAUUAGUUAGGUCUUUUCCUCAUAGAAUAACCAUGAAAGUCUUUGUGCUUAUUAGUAUAAUGGCUACUCUAGUGAAGGCCCAAUGUUCAAGAGGACUUAGAAAGGAUCUUAAUGUUAUGGGAUUCAAAAUCCUUAGAAGGCAUGAAUCUUUGGUGGUAUCUGUCUUAAGUUCAAUUAAAAUUCGAUUGAAACUUAUCUGGAAGAUCCGUAGGUGUUUGAGGUUUUGGACCAAAUCAAUUGCAGCUUAGGGAGAAGCUGAGUAACUGCUCAGGGUAGCUUUUGAUUUGGUGCACUGAGGAGAGUUCAAUGUUAUUGGGUCUUUUAGGGAAAAGCUAUUUUGUCUAGAAUUCCCAGUAGCGUGAAUGACACUGAUGAGCUAAUCAAAAGUUGUGGCUUAGUUGAUUCAUCUCUUAGAGUGAGGCCUUUCCAUGGUCAAACAAGCAAGAAACCCCAGUUUGAAGAGGUUUGGUAGGUUCUUGAUCUCAACAGAGUGCAACAUCAUUCAAGAAUCUUACCUAGGCUAGUAUUUGAUUAUGGUUCCAUGAUAUGGAGGUUAACUAAUUAGAUGAUUCUCACCCUCUUUUCUUUUGAAAAUAUGUGGUUGCUGCACCCAAAAUUUGGUGAUAUUAUUAUGGAUGUUGCAUGAGAUUCAGGUCUCAGUAUGGGAAUGAUAGAUUUAUUGUGUAGCCUUAAGUCAAUCAAAGCUUUCUUUGAAAUAUUGAAGAAAGAAACUUUUGAUAUUUCUGGCAAGAGGAACACUGUGAUAAUCACACUUGAAGGAAUGGGUCAUAUGAUGGAAGAACUUUGAUAUCUUAGAAUGAAAAGGAAAAUAAGGUUGGAGGAAUUAUGGGAGGGAAGAGCUAGAGACAAGAGUCUAGGUUGAAAUGGGUCAGGGAGGGUAAUUGCUACUCAAAAUUGUUUCACUGGGUGGAUAAAUUAUGGCAGGUAGAAGAAGCUAGAAAGGAAUGCCUGGGUAUUUGAAGAUAGGAAGAGUUAGUCUACUGAAUUUCAGGAGAAUUACUAUGGAUAUUAGUUACCAAGAAUUUAUCAGAAUUCCCUUCAACAUCAGUUACGUUCCCAAUUGGAAUAGUAGUGAGCUGCUUUGACAGUUGGUGUUUUGAAGCUUAAUUUUGCUGAUGUUCCUUGGAAAUUGGGAUUGGAUGGCUAUUGGCAAUCUAAUAUAGGAUCACAGGCAAGUUUAUUCAAGGUUCUCAAAGAAAGCUGGUUUUGGGCUGACUAUUGAAGCAAAAAUUUCUUGCUCUAAUGGUGGAGGUGGAUUAACUAAUAGUUUUAUCUUGGGUGGCUAGUAGUCGGAGAGUGUUGUGCGAGAUACAAUCAUUGGGUGCUGAGGAUCAUGCAAUUUGAUAGUUGUGUUCUCUUUUCCCUGGAAGCCUAGAUCCUUGAAUUAGAAAGGCUAUUAGUUGGCCAAAAAUGGAUCCUGUUCUUGGUUGGUUUAACUGGGGAUAUCAUGCCCCGUGUUUUGGUGGUUAAUUUCCUUAAGGUUGGGCAGCGAAAGGCUCUCUGGUGUGCGGACUUCUGUAUUUGUCUUUUUAUAAGCCUGUGCAAUUUUUUUGAUGGAUUUGUUUUGCUUGUUCCUUUUUACAAAUUCUUUGUAUAUUUUCUUAAUUUCUUCAUAACUAAAAAUAAACAGUACUAAAGCUCUGUUUAGAUUGACUUUUUGGAAGCAAAAAGAUCCUUUUUAAGUCUAAUAAGAUCUUCAAUAUGUGUUUUUGGCUUCACUGAAGUACUUCUAACCUUAAAAGGAGUUCAACACAUACGUAUGGGCAAGCUGUUUUUCAGUUUAUGUGGGAAAUUGUUUUAUGUUUAGUGAAAUCACACCAAUGCCAAGAUUGCCCCUUUAAAAUAAUGGUUUUAGCUUUAGCUUCAGUUCCUCACCAAAGUUAAAGGCAAAAUAAUAUCCUCAAACAAGACCUAAAUCUGAGGCCACAGCAGCACUGUUGCAAUCUUCAUGAGGUUGACUGAGUACAUGUCUCUGUUAGAGAGUUAAUAGGGAUUCUGAGUCUAUGUUGAGUAACCAAGGUUUUGCUUUUAGAGUUGUUAUUAUUUUCAAUCAUAUUUUUGGAUGUUAAUCACAAAAUUUUAUUUCAGAGGCUAUAGAAGGAUUGCCCUGACUGGAUGACUCUUAAAGUGGCAUGUUCUGUUUUAGCUGCUUGAUGAGAACUAAACCUUAGACUAAAAUUCAUGAGGGGGUCUCUUGAGCUUCCCAUCUGUUAUUUUUCAAGUUCACUUUUUCCUCUAAAGAACCUUUUUUUAAUCUCUCAUCUACUUAUCGUAUCAGCUAUUUUAUCAUGGUAUUUGGCCUUAUUGUUGUUUCAAGCUAUGUUCUUGCCUUGUAGGUCUGCUUCUGAAUGCAUGUUUCUAAACAUUCAUGCAUCAUAUGCAUCUUUUAUUUCCCUCGCAGGCUGUCUAAUUGACAGUCUAAAUACUCAGUAGUUACAUUUUUCUGUUCUUUGGGGUGAAUUAGUAUUUUUCAUGUUUUUGUUGUUGUCUGUUCCUUUAUGAUCUGGUUCUGGUACUGCAUCAAGAGGAUUGGAGUUCAUGUCAUAUUUUUUUUCUUGCUUACUCACAAAAUGUCUUGCCAUUCCAGGACAAGACCAAACUUUAUAUCUUUCUUGAGCUUGCAACUGGAGGUUCACUUUUAAAUCUCUAUCAAAAGCAUAAACUGUCAGACUCCCAAGCCUCUAAAUACACAAGGCAGAUUGUGAAAGGUUUGAAAUAUCUACAUGAGCAUAAUGUAGUUCACAGGUGAUUCAAAUGAUCUUACUACUACAUUUUUUGGUUAUAUUGCUUGUGCUUUAUUUGUUUAUACCUUGCUCUAUCCACAUGCCAUUACUGCUUGAAACAUGUGCUGAUUAUUUCAAUUAUCUGCCUUUGCUACCAAGAGAAUUGCAUAUGCAUAAACUAAAUGGCCUUCUUACUCAGGGAAAAUUGGUUCACUCUGUUGAGAAAGUUCUUCAGUUUUUAUUUUAUUAUUUUAUUUUUGUUUUUAUCUUCUUGAAACCUUCAAUAUUAUUUGGAUUGCACCGGUUAGCCCACUUACUGAAUUCUGUGAUUACAGACUGCUUGGUGAAGUGAAAAGUUCAACACUCCCACCUGCCCUCUUCCAGGAAAAGAAAAAUGGAAAAACCAAAAACAAAAAGAAGAGUCAGGAGCAUGGAUGUUAAACAUGGUCAUUGUCUGAUAACUAAGAUGAAACUACCCAAAGCCUUGGUAUAGAUAUAGAUAUCCCCAAUUUUCUGUGUACCUUACAUUGUGUCUUCACAUGUGGGGUUUACGUUGUUUGUUUUGAGAUUAUUGUGUAUCUUAAUAGUUUAAUCCUUUCAUAAAACUCCAUGUAAGUUAUGAUAUGAGGUGUGGUCCAUUUCCAUUUGACUUCAUGCAAUUAGCUGUAUUAUAUAUCACUUUGUAUAUUCUGCCUCAGUGCUUGAUCUUGCUAUAAUAUAAUUUUUUUUUUCUUUUUUCUUUUUUCUUUUUUCUUUUUUAAUUUGUAAGUCAAAAUUUUCUUUAAAAGCAACAUAUAAGAAAACAUACAUAAUAAUGAUUCAACUUUCUCUCUCUCUCUGAUUCACUUGAUUUGAGUGUCUCUUCAGGAGAGUUUUUGGGUCAUGAUUACAGAAUGGAAACCUGAAAAUUGAAAGAAUCCUAAUGCAAAAGCCAUUUACAAUGCUACAAACUCUCUCUCUCUCUCUCUCUCUCUCUCUCUCUCUCAUAUGAUUGAGAUGGUAAAUGGCAUAACUAGCAAGGCUAGAACCAUGGAGGGAUGUGAUCAUGGGACUCAGAAGUACCACCAGUAGGUCAUAAGGGAAAUUAGGCUUAUUGAUUUGGUCAUGCGCAACAAAGGCCAAUAAUUGCAUUGUUAAGAAGAGAUGGGUGGACAUUGGGAAUCAAUUGAGGUUACUUCAGGAAAUUAGACAUUUGGAAUGACAGUUGAAGCCACAAUGUUGUACAUUUACUUACACAUAAAUUGUUUCUGUUGUAAGACUAAUAGGUUCUGUAUCAUCUUCGAGGGAUAUCUGGUGGAUGUAAAUGGAACCGUGAAACUUGUGGAUUUUGGAUUGGCAAAGGUUAGUUUCUAUUUACUAGAGUUAUCUCUCUAUUGUUUCAAAAUGCUAGACUUCUAAAUAUUAUAUUUCUGGUUGUAUAUCUUUUCAGUUUUGCAAAUUGAACGACAUAAAAUCUUUUAAAGGGACUGCAUUCCGGAUGGCCCCUGAGGUAUCUUCCUCUCUUUCAUUCCUUCAUUUCUUAAACAAAUCAUGUUUGGUUUUGAAUUGAGAACUAUAUUUUAUGGAACUGUACUCGGUAGAAUCUUCUUAUACCAUGAAGAAGCAUGCAUGCUUAAAAUGUAGGCUCUGAAACCCUUGCCUUUUAGCAGGUGGUUGCGUCAGAAAAGGAAAUGACAUGAUUGAAUUGGGUUAUUGAAUAGCUCGAUUAUUGGACUGGAGCUAUCCCAACUAACAAAUUGAUAAGUUGUUGUUUUCCCAAAUUGUUGCUCUUUCUAAGAUUUUAUCCUACAAGGCAUUUAGUCCAUGCCAUGUCUUAUUACCAAUGCAUUUUGAUUUAGCAUCAGUCAUUAGUAUCUUUCUGUACAACUGCCAAUAUACUGACACUAAUAGAUGCAUGGAACCACUGAGUGCUCAAUUGAUGAGGAUUUUCCAUUCAAAUCUGAGAAUUUAGGCAUCAAGCUACCUUUUUCCAUUAACUCUCUCUACUUCUAAGGGUGGUUAAACCCUUGCUUCAUUAUUUGGUAACAAAAAUUAGUACAUCACCAGAAGAUUGGUAGGGGGAUCCUACAGUUAGGGAUGCAAUGAAGUGGAUUGGAACUGAGUGACCCAUCCUUCUUCCUGAGAACCCGAUUUAGUACAUUUCAUUCCAAAGCUGCUCCAUUGGGACAAAUUCUUUAACUUUCUGGACUGCAGGUUUGUGAAGAGAUGUUAAAGCCCUGGCUAAAAAUGAAAUAGUGGUGUCUGUUUUAUAAAACAAAAUAUGGUCACCAGCAAUCUACAUUUUAGCUCGAUAUUGCCCUUCUGAAAUAAAUUUCUGACUCUUUGCCCCUGAGAAUGAAUUGUGGUUUUGCAACCGCCCAGAUCUGUGGAUUUGAAUCAGUUUUUACUUUGAAAUCAUGCUCAAACACCCUCGUCUUACAACUGUGUUUAUUUAUAAAUCCUGCACCAGUUGGGAGUAGAACUCUUAAAUCCCUGUUCUAAAUCAUGUCCAAACAUGUUAUAAGUCUUUGUGUUAACCAUAUUUGAAAGUUUUUUACCAAGGACAUUUGUCAUUAUAUUAUGUGGCACUGGCACAGGAUGCUCCAAGCAUUAUGGUUUCUUAUAAGUGUUGAUUUUACAAAUAAUUUGUGCCACUGUAGGUCAUUAAUGAGGACAAACAAGAGAACGAUGGUUAUGGGUUUGCAGCUGAUAUAUGGAGCCUCGGGUGCACUGUAUUAGAGAUGUUAACUCGGCAACAUCCAUAUCCCAAAUUGGAGCCGGUAUGUAUAAGCUUCAAUGGAAACAAAUAAUCAUUCCAACAUUACAUUCUUAUAAUGCAUCCAAACAUAAGAAUUAGAAUCACCAAAUCUAUUUCUAUUCAAGAAGAUAUAGGAAUGAAAACAAAGUUUUUAUUCUUAUUCCUCAUUCCCAUAUACUAAACAUGGCUUGAGGGCAAUGGACUGAUUUCAAUGGUAUGUAUACUUGUCUUAAAUAUUUGGUAUUAGCAACUUGCCCUAUGGUAAAAGUGUGGUUUGGGUUGAGAAUGGUAUAAAGAUGAGCCUAGGGUUGUCAAUGGAGCCUGCAAAUAGCUGUUGGAUUUGAAGGUUGAAUAGGAAUUUGCACAAGAAGGUUUUGGGAGGUGAGAAAAUGAAAAUGGAUGUUGGUGGAACUGAGAGUAUGAAUGUCUUAUGUACUAAAUUUAGUAACACUCUUUCAAAAUAUACAAUAUAAAAUUAAGAAAAUAAAAUUUAAUUCAAUAUCUGUAAAACAGUAUUGGGAGACCGCAUAUUGGACGUUGUUUUCAUAAUCUUGUGUUUGUCCUAAGUCUUAACUCUUAAUAGGAAAAAACAUGUUUUUGAUGGAGUAUAUUCCCUGCAAUGAGGUGUACUUGUCCUUAACCUCCUUUCAAAGUCGAAUCAAAAAACAAUGUUAGGAAUCAAAAUCGAAUCAAAAAGAGGGAAGUGAGGGUUUAGAUAUUAUCUUGUCCGAGACCAUCCAACCUUGAUUAUAUAUAAAAUUAAUUUUAAAAAAUAAUUUUAUUGAUUUUUUUCUAUUAUCAUUUUUAACACAUAAAAUAUUAAAAAAUUAUUUUUUAAAUAAAAUAAGUUAUAGAAACUAUAAUAUUUUACUUAUUUAUAAAAUAUAUUUAUUUUUAAUAUAAUUUAAAAAUUCUAAAAUUAUUAAUUUUUUUUAAAUAAAGAAAAUACAAUGAGUAUGGUGGCCAUGAAAAUUACUUUGUAUAAAUGUGAUAGGAUUGAUAUGGGUAACUCAUCGUCAACCCAACUAAUCAUCAUCCUUACAAUUAAAAUUUUACGUAAAGGAAGGGUACAAUUGGUAUUUUUAUUUAUUAUAAAGAAAGUAACUGAAAUGGCUUUUGAAACCCGAUGAUAUCCAAUUGGAGAUAAAUUCCCAACUUCAAAAUUAGUAAAGUUAAUUUUUUUUUCUUGAACAAAUUUAGGAACUUUAUGAAUGUCACGUUGUUGCAAGUGUUUAUACUAUAAAAAUAUUCUUAAAUAAUUUUAUUGGUAAACAUUUUUAGGAAUAAUUAAAUUAUUUUUAAUAAAAAAUCUUGAAGUAAUAACAUAAUACAUCGAAUAUUAAUUUUUUAAAUAUAUUUAUGUAAAUUAUAUAUACUUAUUUCCAUCCAUUGAAGAAAUUCCAAUGUUAGUGGAUGGGUGAAAAAAAUAUGAACAAUAAAAAAAGAAAAAAAGUUGAUAAUAACAAUUGCAUAACUAAAAAAGUAUUUGCAAUUUAGAAUCAAUCAUUUGAUGGUUAAUUUUUGAAAGAUAUUAGAAAGAUUAGUUUUGAAGAUUAUUGUGACUUAUUUUUCAAUUAUAUUUGUAGGUAUUCUACUUCGUAGUUUCCUUUUAAAAAAUGAUAAUAAUAAUAAUAAUUUUCUCUUAUUUUAAUAUCUUUGGUACAAAACAAUAAUUUGAUUUUUCUCUUAUUUUUAUUUCUUUGAUACAAAACAAUAUUAUAGUUUAUAUUUGGACCACCAAAAUGCAAUAUGAUUUAGAAAAAGGUAAAAAGUUUUUUUUAUAAAUUAAAUUUGUAUUAUAUUUAUCAACAUUGUAAGUUCUAAAUUUGUUAUACUUCAAAUAUUUUUCUUAAAAAUGUAAUAUAUUGAUCAUAAGAAAUCAAGAUUAAAAAACCUGAGAAAUCAAAUAUUUUUCUUAAAUAUUUGUUGGUGACAAAAAAAAACAAAAGAAAUUAAAAAUUAAUAAUAGAAAAAUGUGUUUUGUAUUAUUUUAUAUGAAAUAACUACCAUUCAUUAGCGCUAGUUCCAUUAAAUGCUUUAUUAUCACACACUUAAAAGAUGUUUAAAAUCACAUUAUUAAAAUAUAUAUUUUAUAUUAAUUUGAGACUAAAAUCCAUCUUUAUUUCAAGUACCUACAAACUAGGAUCCAUUUUUUUAAAAAUAAUUUUUAUUUAUUUAUUUUUAUUUUCUCUUUUAAAGAAAAUGAUGUAAACAAAACUAAAUGUUCAUAUCUUGAGGUUAUGUUUGAUAUGUGGGAAUGAAGAGUGAUAAUAGAUAUCUUAUUCAUUUUCACAUUUAUUUUUAUAUUUAGAUAACUCAAGUUACUUAUAAAUGAUAUUUCAAUUUAUCCUAUGAGGUAUUUUGAUUCUAUAAAACAAUUUGUUUUUAAAGAUAUUUUUCAAAAAUUUAAAAAUCUAAACCUUUUACUGAUAAGUUGUUUUUAAAAAUAUUUUAUUUUGAUUUUAUAAGAAACGAAUUGUAAAUUCAAGUUAUAUAAUAUAAACUAAAUUUAAUUUGUGCCUUAUUAAAAAUAAAAAAUAAUUUGUAUUUAUAAAUAAAUUAAAAAUAAAUAUUUUAAAUAAAAUAUUAAUAGUAAUAUUAUAAUAAAAUCAUAAAUUAUAUUUUUUUAAAUAUUAUAAAAAUAUGAUAACGUAAUUGAUUUAUUUUGUUAAUAAUAAUAAUAAUAAUAAUAAUAAUAAUAAUUCAAAAUUAAUAAUUGCUAAUACUAAUUUAUUUUAAAUGAAUUUAAAAUUAAAUAAAGUUUAAUUUUUUAAGUAUAAAUGAGUCAAAUUUUUCAUUACAUACAUACAUUUAAUACUCAAACAUGGUAUUCUUAAAUUUUUUAUUUAAUUUAUAAUUAAUAAAUCAGUUUUUUGAAUUUCAAAUUAUUAUUAAAAAUUAAAAUAUUUAUUAAAAAAUUCAAAAUAUUAAUUAUUUCCAUUAUUUUUUAUAGUCCUUAUAUAUAUUUUUUGAGUUUCAAAUUUUCUUUUAAAAAAUUAUUAAACUUAUUAAUAAAUUUAAUACAAAGUCUUCCUUAAUUUGAAUUUCUAGUAAAAAAAAAUGGUUUUCUAUUUUGCUUUGUUUAUAGAGCACGAUAAUCAAAUAGUGGUACAAUUUUUUUUAAAAACAAAUUUGUUUGUAAAUCAUAUGUGCAAAUAGUUUUUAUUAUUUAGCAAAAACGUUAUAGACCCUCUAUUUUGGCCCUAACACACACACACACACACACACACACACACACAUAUAUAUCUAUAUAUAUAUAUAUAUAUAUAUAUAUAUAUAUAUAUAUAUAUAUAUAUAUAUAUAUAUAUAUAUAUAUAUAUAUAUAUAUAUUUAUUAUUUUUUCUCUCACCCCACUAUUUUUUUAGCAUGUAUUUAGAUCCAUUUUUGCUCAGUUUUUCAUCAUCCCGGUCCAUGUUUCACAUUAUUGAUUUUUGAGCUAUAUUUUGGAGACCAUUUAAAGGGUUAUUUCAGGUCCUAGCAUGAUUACCGGACGCCCAUUAGGAUUAGUUUUUUUUUAGGGUUUGCUUUUGGAAUUUUAGAGCCUUUGAGUAGUUGGGUUGGGAUGAGGACACGUGUACUCAUUCUAGCCUUCCUUUGUCUCUUUUAAAGGCCUUUUUGGCCUUUAGUGAAGGGUUUUUUUUUUUUUUUUUUUCAGUCUUUUGGCUCAAGUUUUCUUGGAGGGGGUUUGCUAGCCACCUUUUAAGGGUAGUGGAGAUGCUCUCUAUAGCUAAGGAAAAGGGACAGAGAAUUGAUUUUUAUAGCGAGAAUGAGACAGAGAGCAAGGGGUUUAGGGGAGUUUUUGGGAAAAGUAGCAGACGAAGAAAAGUUGUGGGCGAGGCAUUGUGGUGGUGAGUGGGCUGCAGAGUAAGACGUUGCAGGGGGGGCACCAUCUAUUAUGAUGGGGAGUCUUAGAAAAGAGGGACAUGAGCUACAGGCCAUCUCGGGGAGGCAUUAUUCUUCUUUAUUCUUGGUGAGAGUAAGAGAGGAGACGUUAGAGAGAGUAAAAUAUCUUUCUUUUGGUGGUUUUUGGUUUUGAGUAGAGGAGAAGAAUAGCAUUAAGAGAAGGGAAGCAGAUGGGACCCUUCCAGGAAUGGAUAUUUUGAGUUCCCUAUUCAUCUUCAUUUAUCAUAAUUGUUAGGGUGAAUUCACAAUAUUUCAACACACACCAGGAUUUUUCUACCAUUUCUUUGUGUAAAAUUAAAUAGGUAAUAGCAACUAGCAGUAAUAAAUAAAUAAACUUAUGCAAUAGAAAAAUAAACCAGACACCAAAAUUUUUAUAUGGAAAACCCCUCAAUGCGAAGGAAAAAACCAUGGGACCUAGUCUAGUUCAAACUCCACUAUCAACAAUAUUGGGUUACACCUGUCUUCUCUAGAAUAAUCUCUAGAGGCUACUAAAUACAUCAAGAGCAUAUAUAGCCUUGGAUUAUAUAAUCUUUCUUGGUAAAAAAACAAGGAAAAAUGGAGAAAGAACACCCAAAAACACGUUGUUACUGUUCAUGGGCAAUAACACCAGUUCCCGAGCUCAAAAUCUGAUCUCCACCUUUUAGAUUGUAGCUACUCGAGUUUUGAACCUCUCCUCCAAAUUUCAACUCGAUCGAACCAUAGAUGAAGCGGGAUUGGCUCUUUGAUGAAAUCUGGGCAAUGAGAUGUGUUUUUUUUUUUCUUUCUCUCUUCUCUCUGUUUUUUCCUUUUUUUUUUUCUUUUUUUUUUUUAAUCUCUUCUAUUUUUGUUUAUUUAUUUAUUUUAUUGUAACUGACUUAGGCCCCAAGAAUAUGGGGCUCACUCCCUCACAUACGAAGGAGCCUAACAAAUCUCCAAUUGGAUUCUAAUUGAUUAAUUAACCUAAUAGGGUGUACUAAUUAAUCAAUUAGCUUAAUCCAAAGACCUUGUUCACUUACCCCUGUGCAACCUUAUGUUAUUACCAAAAUGCCCUUAUACAUAAAGUGAACCUAAAACCAAUCUGAUCCUCAUAACCUAUGCCAACAAGGUAUAUGAGCUCAAACCGGGGACCAUAACUCCAGUAUUUUAUGUAAAUAACAACAAGACACUGUAUACUCGGGUCCGUGACUUGUUAUCCAUUGUGUUCAGUCUCCCUAUGAACUAAUGUCCAUAGUUUAACAAGGUAAAAAUUGUCAAUAUUUUAAGACUACCUUUAUUAUCAUUGAGUUAUAGAUCCUUCUAUUAUGUGUUCAACUAAAAUGUCUUAGCUCUCAAAGAGCCUAUGUCAAGUUCCACUUAAGGAACUACUAUAACCAUAGUUUCCAUUAACACACCUCCUUAGAACCACCCAAGGGGACACAUUGUCUCCAUCCUAUGAGAUAUCAUGGUGCUUCUAUUAAGAAUACCUAUUGCUACCAACUUCCAUCAAUAGUGACCCAAUCCAUAAGGAAUAUAUGAUCAACUUACAAUCUCACCCAUAGGUCAAAACCAUUGCUAACUUUGGCUUAAGCUUCAAUAUUCUCUUAAGGUUGAGAGACAACACAAUGAAGUAGCUUGGUAAGGUCACGAAUACUUGAUAGCCUUAAGUCAUGACUCACCAUAAGUCCUGUCCAAUAUGUAACCAUACACACCAGUGUACUCACCAUGGAAAACUCAUCUCGAUAUUCAAGACCAGUUAUCCCUCCAAUUAGAAGGUGGUGGUGCACUAUAGCCUCUAAUAAGUUGUCUAAACCCACGAACCGACUUUGAACAAGUCAUCUAUUUGCAAGGAACCCAUGACUUGGAUUUUCCCUAUAACUCAUAAAUGCACUCAUGUCACACACACUACAAAAGAUGUAAACAAGAAUACUCAUAAAGUGUAAUGCAUGGAAUACAGAUAGAUAAAAGUGAAAUUGGAAUACCAUUAAAUAAAUAAGGAAUUCCAAAUCUAUUACAUCAUGUCAUGCUUUUAAGAGUUCCAUCCUAACACAACCUUCACAUUUCAUGGACAGUACAAAGCGAGAAUUUGUUUAGGUUGAUAACAAUUUUCAGAGUGCCUUGUCUUUGAGUUUAAAACCUUUUCCUAUAUUCAAUGAUUCUAAUGUGAGCUCUAGCUUCCUUGGUCUUUAGUAGUCAGGCAUGCAAUUUUCAUUGGAAAGUAAGUGGAAGAGGUGUCUUGCAAAGUCUAGUAAUGUGUACAUUCAAGCUGAGAAGGCAUGAGGUACUCCCUCGAUGACUAUUAGGUUGUAAAAAAACAGUACUUGGCUUGUCCAUGUGAUUUGCACUCUUGAGAGAUAUGUGAUUGGAUUAUCCUAGAGCCCAAUGGAAGAAAAUGGGAAAUCAUGUUGCCAUGAGCAACUGCAGAGGGAAUGAAAGUGAGAGAUUAUGCUUAGUGUGGUCCUGAUCCCACAUCUAUUGUAGUUAUGACAGAGGAUGGCAUUACAACUACUGGUCAUAUUAUUAUAGGAGCAUUGCCAAUCGUUGUACAUAUGACUAGGAAAUCCAACCUGUGACACAAUAAGUUCAAUUGUGGUUGGAAAUUUAUAUAGAAUAGUAGCUAUAUUUCUCAUCCAAGGAGUUGUUCCAUUUGCGAUGAUGAUAAAUGGGAAGUUAUAUGUGAGUGCCCUCUGCCUAUAGAAAAUGAUAAUAAGAAAGACUAUCCAUGUUCUUUUUUGUCCAUUCCAUCAAAUUUGACAUGUGAUUUCAAACACAAAAAGAUCUUCCAAUAAAUGGAAUGAAGAAUAGUUACCUGCUAUGCUCAUUUGGGAAAAAGACUCCAAAUUUGGAAUUAGAAAUGAAAAGUUGCAAUGGUUUCUUGGUGCUGUGAAAGCACAUCCUAAUGAGUUGAAGCUUGUGGGGGUCAUUACCAUUUGGGGUCUGCCAUUACUAAGGUGGGCAUUUUCAGGGAUGUUGUAGUUCUAUUUGGGUUAUGUCCACAUGGUUGAAUUUGAAAGCCAUAGAGUUGGGGCUUGAUCUUCUUGGAUCACAAGCUCCUGAAAGAGAUUCAAACCUUUUUUUUCCAAAAUCAAGAAAAUUUAUUAAGAAGCAGUUUGGAAUGUACUUUUUUCCUUCUUUGCCAAAUGGCAGUAAACUAUUUAAUAAAAAUUAAUUAAAUUUUUAUAUUAAAAACUUUAGUUAAAAUUAAUUAGAAAAUGUGGUAAGAUAAAAUGAAGUAAAACGAACUUUAAAGGAUCUUUUAGACAUUUUAUUUAAUUCUUUUAACUAUGACAUCAUUAAUCAACCAUGAAAAUCUUUCAAGAUUUGAUAACAUCAUUCAAGCGAUUGUUAUGCUCCAUUAUGGUCAGGUGGUGUUAAUGUAAUUUAAAAAAUUUAAGGGUGGUUAAGUGCAAUUGUCAAAUAGCUGAGGGGGUUAUGCUAGGGUACCGAAAAUCACUUUUCAGUACCAUACCCACUUUUUCUGGCUAAUAGGAUUAAGACAUAUGGCAUGCAAAAUAAAAAAAUUUAAAGAAAACCAAUUCUUCAGGUUACCCAAUCGGUUGCCAUGGGAAUUAAUCCCAUGCAACACACAUUUUUAUACUUAUUACAAUAACCAAUUAUAUUUCAAUGACCAAUUAUAAAAUCAUGUUUAAUGUAAUUAUUUCGUUUGGAGAAUUUCUUUUAUGAAACAGAAAAAUAAAGAAAAUUUUGGAAAAAGAUAAACAAUAUAAUUUGGUAAUAUAAUUUAUAAAUUAAGGAAAAGUAAAUUUAAUUUAUUUUAACAUUAAAUAAUUUGUUGAUAAAAUUUGAUGAAUAUUUGAAGUGUGAAAAACAAUAUAAUUGGUUUAUGAAGUGAAAAAAUGGGAAGAAAUAGAAAGAAAUUUUAUAAAAUAUAUAUUAACUUAAAAUUUAAUUAGUUGUGUACUAAUUAUUAAUUGAGAAUAUAUGACUAAAUUAUUUCUUAGCGUUUAAAUUGAAUUACACAACAAAAUUGGUUGAAAUAUUGAAAAUAUGAAAAAGGUAUAAUUACUAACAAUAUGGAAAUCCAAACCCCUCGCCGAUUUUUUUUGUAAAUUUCCAUUCUGAAUUUUUCAAGGAUCCAUUUAACACCCUCAAAAUGGACUGAACUUAUCUAAACAAAAUCUAAGUCAUAUGAAAUCCCAAUUAAAAAAAAUAAAUCAAAGAAAUGGAUAGUAGGGAGGGCACGAAGAAUGUGAGAUUCCCUCACUAAUUUGUUAGUAUUUACUGAUUUUGAUUUUUUCGAACAUCAUUUAAAUACCUACUAAGUGUAAUGAAAAAAAUUCAAAAAAUGUAUAAGCCAUACGAAGUCCCCAAACAUAUUUAACAUAUCAUAUAAUCGGAGAAUAGAGAGGGCUCCUCAUAUUCCUCAUACCCUUGCUAAUUUUUUAGUAUUUUUGGAUUUUUAUUCUUUCGAAAAUCAUUAGACUACUUCCUAAGUGUAAUGAACCUAUUUAAACAACAUCCAAGCCAUAUGAAGUCGCCAAAAUUUUUAAAAAGUUCAAAGAAGUGAAGAAAUGGGAGGGUACGAAGAAUGUAAGGACUCAUCACAUUCUUCGUACCCUUCCUAAUUUUUUAGCAUUUUUGGAUUUGGAUUUUUUCGAAAAUCAUUUGAAAACCUCCUAAGUGUAAUGAACCUAUUUAAAUUAUAUCUAAACCAUAUGAAGUACCCAAAAUUUUUAAAAAAUUCAAAGAAGUGUAGAAAUGGAAGAGUACGAAGAAUGUGAGGAUUCCUCACAUUCUUCGUGCCCUUCCUAAUUUUUCAGUAUUUAUGGAUUUGGAUUUUUUUGGAGAUCAUUUCACCAUCUUCUAAGUGUAAUGAACCUAUUUAAACAAUAUCCAAGCCAUAUGAAGUCCCUAAAAUUUUUAAAAAGUUCAAAGAAGUGAAUAACUGAGAGAGUACGAAGAAUGUGAGGAUUCCUCACAUUCUUCGUACCCUUCCUAAUUUUUUAGUAUUUUUUUAUUUGGAUUUUUUCGAAGAUUAUUUGACCACCUUCUAAGUGUAAUGAACCUAUGUAAAUGAUAUCCAAGCCAUAUAAAGUCCCUAAAAUUUUUAAAAAGUUCAAAGAAGGGAAAAAAUGGGUGGGUACGAAGAAUGUGAGGAAUCCUCACACUCUUCCCACCCUUCCUAAUUUUUUAGUAUUUUUGGACUUGGAUUUUUUUAGAGAUCAUUUGACCACCUCGUAAGUGUAAUGAACCUAUUUAAACAAUAUUCGAGACAUAUGAAGCCCAAAAAAUUUUAAAACGUUCAAAGAAGUGAAGAAAUGGGAGGAUACGAAGAAUGUGAGGAUUCCUCACAUUCUUCGUACCCUUCCUAAUUUUUUAGUAUUUUUGGAUUUAGAUUUUUUCGAAGAUCAUUUGACAACUUCAUAAGUGUAAUGAACCUAUUUAAACAAUAUCCAAGCCAUAUGAUGUCCCCAAAAUUUUAAAAAAGUUCAAAGAAGUGAAGAAAUGGGAGGGUACGAAGAAUGUGAGGAAUCCUCACAUUCUUCGUACACUUCCUAAGUUUUUAGUAUUUUGGGAUUUGAGUUUUUUUGGAGAUCAUUUGACCACCUCCUAAGUGUAAUGAACCUAUUUAAACAAUAUCCAAGCCAUAUGAAGUCCCUAAUUUUUUUAAAAGUUCAAAAAAGUGAAGAAAUGAGAGAGUACGAAGAAUGUGAGGAUUCCUCACAUUCUUUGUACCCUUCCUAAUUUUUAGUAUUUUGGGAUUUGGAUUUUUUCGGAGAUUAUUUGACCACCUCCUAAGUGUAAUGAACCUAUUUAAACAAUAUCCAAGCCAUAUGAAGUCCCCAAAAUUUUUAAAAAGUUCAAAGAAGUGAAGAAAUGGGUGGGUACGAAGAAUGUGAGGAUUCCUGACAUUCUUCGUACCCUUCCCAUUUUUUUAGUAUUUUUUUGGAUAUCAGUUGACCACCUCCUAAGUGUAAUGAACCUAGUUAGACAACAUCCAAGCCAUAUGAUGUCCCUAAUUUUUUUAAAAAAAGUUUAAAGAAGUUAAGAAAUGGGAGGGUACAAAGAAUGUGAGGAUUCCUCACAUUCUUCGUUUCCUAAUUUUUUUAGUAUUUUUUUAUUUGGAUUUUUUUGAAGAUCAUUUAACCACCUCCUAAGUUUAAUGAACCUAUUUAAACAAUAUCCAAGUCAUAUGAGGUCCUCAAAAUUUUUAUAAAGUUCAAAGAAGUGAAGAAAUGGGUGGGUAUGAAGAAUGUGAGGAAUCCUCACAUUCUUCGUACCCUUCCUAACUUUUUGAAAUUUUUGGAUUUGGUUUUUUUUCAGAGAUCAUUUGACCACCUUCUAUGUGUAAUGAACCUAUUUAAAAAAUAUCCAAGCCAUAUGAAGUCCCUAAAGUUUUUAAAAAGUUCAAAGAAGUGAAGAAAUUGGAGGGUACGAAGAAUGUGAGGAUUCUUCACAUUCUUCGUACUUUUCCUAAUUUUUUAGUAUUUUUGGAUUUGGAUUUGUGGAUCCUACAUAUAAUCUUUACUUGGGACAUUUUAUAUUUCUCGUAGUGUAUAAUUGGAUUUUCAAAAUAGGGUAGCUAGGAAAAAUAAUAAAAGAAAAAUAAAACAGUUAAAAUCAUUAGAAAUAAUUUGGGCCCAUUGAAAAGAAAUGUGACUUAUGAAAAGCUUGAUAUGAAUGUUUAAUAUCGUCUACAACUUAUCCAAUGGAUAAAUUUGCAAAGAAGGUCCAACCACUUGCCCAUAUAGUCGUCUUCAUCAUCAUGGGCAUGAACAACAUUAUCAUCAAUAUUCUUUGUUAUUGACCUGAUUGGAGUAUGGUCGCAACCUGUACUUAAUGUUUUGUCACUACCUCUCUAUGCAUUAACAUUAGCAUCUUCAAGUACUGAUUUGUUGUCACAGCUUCUCUGCACAUUCAUGUACUGUGUCAUUGUUGCAUGAUUGUGCUUGACUCCUACAUAUUCAAGUAAUAUAUUUUAUUACGACUAUCUAUAUGAACAAAGUAAAUUAUUUAAAGUUUUUUUAGUUAAUUUAUCAUGUUAUUUUCAAGAAUAAAUGGAAAUUACUUUUAGCAUCUCAAUCACAAGUUUGGUCAUUAGGAAAAAAUUUAACUCUUCGAUAAAAUGCCAUGGUCUAAUUCAAUGCAGAAGACAAAUUUCCCCAUCUACAAAUGAGGUUUAUUACAUAAACAAUGGCCUACCUCAAGGCUCUAACAAAAGAGUAAAAUGUCUAAUCAAACCACGAUGUCAAAAUAGGGAUUGUCGAAUCGAAUAAUAUACAUUUUCAAUUAUAAGAUUCAUAUCAUUUACCCCAAAAAAAAAUUAUUCCCUAAACAUAUAUAACCUGAUAGAGUUCGCCACCAGGUCAGUCUAGUGUCAUUGCAUUCACCAUCAUACUUGAUCUUUUUGCUAGAGGAUUAUCCCUACCUUGUGUACUACUAUAUUAGAACUUCCAUGUUUGGAGGACAACAAUUCAACCUUAAGGCCUUCAAUUCCAGCUUUAUUAUCUAUGCACCUACUCAUAAUAGAUAUAACUGCUACCACCCAACUAAAUGUUGGUUUAUAUGGAUGUUGGAUUAGCAAAAUGAUGUCUCUUUAAAGUAAGAGCAAUUAGAUGUAGCAAAAGACCAAAUUGAGUAUCAAUACAACAAUCUAUGUUGGAAGCCAAUCACAUUACAACUUCUAAAAGUAAAGAUUAAUCAGUCAACUGGUUACAUGUAACCGGUUGACUAAUUAUCUCUAUCGGUAGAUACUACCAAAGUGUUGAUGCAACACCCAAAUGGGCAAUGGCUACCGGUAGCAAAAAAAAUGGAACCGGUUUAUUUGAUGAUCGACCGAAAUUGGACUUUCCUUUUGUUUUCAUUUAGGUAUGUGAUCUGGCGAUCAUACAGUUAUGCAUAAAUAUUAAAUACUAAAAAGCAAGAACUUGAACAAUAUCACCUUUCAUCAGGAUAGAAGGUUAAUUACCUUAUGAAAACUUAUCAAAAGAGAAUAGUUUAGCAUAACAAUUCAAAAUUUAUGACAACAAUCAUCUCUUCCUACCAAGAUCACCUAGCUAUUGUACAUGGCCAUUAUUUUAGACCUCCUUGUCCUACAUGCAUCAUCCAUUGCUGUUGUGACUAUACUUCCACCAACAUUUAGUUCUUGUACCAUUAAUAUAACACAUUUACACAUUCUUCUUUAUUGUGCAAGAAAAUUACAUGAAAGCCACAACCUUAGUCCAUAGUCACUAGUAGACCAAAAAUUUUAUAUUUAAAAUAAGCUUGUUUUCAGAUUGUAGCCAUCAUUCAGGAUAUGCAAGCAUAAAUAAAAUGGAGUAAAGAACUACUUUCACCACUUCAAUCACAAGUUUCGCCAUUAGUAAAAAAAUUUUAACUUUUCUAGAAAAUGGGAUGAUCCAAUUCAAUCCUAUUGCCACUUUACCCUAUUGAAACCUGAAAAAAAAUGCACAUCAAGGAAGUUAACGCUUCUAGAAAAGAAGAAUAUCAUAUUACUAUACUUUGUGCAUUUUGAGGUAGCUGGAUCAAAAAACUUGUAUAGGUCAAAAGAAACAAGUGUAUCAUUAAAAAAGAUUGUCAUUCUAAUUCCAAGUUGAUAAUCCUAUUGAGUACAACUGGAAGUUUAGUAUCCUUUAAAACCUACUAGACCAUUUAUUGGGUCUUACAAUUAGCCUACAUAACAGGCCAUACUAGAGUUCCAAUAUUUAAAUGGUCUUCUCUACAACCUAGCUCAUAACUUUUAUUUACUAGGUUUGAAAAGUUUCUUGAUUGUGGACUACCAAAGAAAGAAAAAUCCCUCAAUUGUGAGCAUCACAGGAUCCUCCAAUUGAAUUUGCAGAUAGGGAAAGAUUUAUGGCUAAACCCAGAUGUUGCUUGACGAAGUAGGAGGAUGUCUUAACAACAAUGGUAAGAGCAUGGUGGAGUAUGAUUGAUGCCUAGACUAGGUUUCUUUGGGAAGACCCUUCUUAGUAGCCUCAACUGCUGCUUUCUUUGCUUUGAUAUCAGCAACAAUGGCAUCGAUCUCAGCUUCUGCAAACUUAAAGAGUAGCAUUCUUCUGUAGAAGCCAGAUUCCAUUAGAGUGUCAUUGCAUUCUAUUUCAUUUCUCAACAAAUGACCAUAAAGAACUUCUCAACUAGUCAACUAAUCUAGCAAAUGCACAUCAAGUUCAAUAUAGGGUAACAAUUACAUCUUAUUAUACUUUGCAGCUGGCAACACUAUUCAUCAUGUAACCAGUUUCUUGUUUGCUAGGCAGCAUAGCAUUUAGGAGGGAAUGAGGGUUCCAAUCUUGAGUAGGGAAUUUGGACUUUGUAAUUAUAUCAUACUAAAUAGAUGAUUCCUAAAAAUCAAAACUCAAACUUCUCUAUAACUGAUGCUUUAAGUAAAGCAGUGAGAAACAAUGUCAUUGUUAGUAUGGUAAGUAAAUAUUGUUAUGAAAUGCAGUAAGAAAUUUCAACUUAGAGUAAAUUGAUAAAUAAAAUGUAGUAAUUUUUUGUUGUAUUACUAUUACCUAAUACAAGAAUCAAAUUCUUUGGUAGUUAUUAUGAAAAGUCAAAUUAGAAAGCCAAAGAAGCACUAGGCAGGUAAUGGAAGUUGCGAUUAUAAUAAGUGAAUCAUCAGAACUACCCAGUCCUUGCUUCAGUGCAUCUGGUCCAAAAACAGAGGCUAGUAUCAUGCUAUUCUUAUAUGUAGCUUUCAUUUUUCAUUUUUGAGUUAUAGACUUCUUUAAGGGAAGAGCUCUAAGUUAAAAUUUUAGCAUAGGACCUUAAUUGCCUGUUAUUAGGGCUUUAACUAGAGUGGAUCAUGUAGGAUGCAAUUGAGAUUGUAGGAAAAUUUAUAAAAGAGAUUAUAGGAAUAUUUUGAUUUUUUUCUUUUUUUUUCUUCAUAUUGUUAUAAGCUUAUAAAUAUCCUUGUAACCUCAUUCAAAACGUCAUGAACAUGAGAUUAAUUCUCUUGCCUUCAAUAUGGUAUCAAAGAAUGGUUGCCCUACAGCUGCCAUCUUUCCAUCCUAAUUAUGCCAGCAUCUUAUUCCCAUCUAUCAGUCCUUAACCCUCAACCCUCAUAUUUAAGUCAUUAGUCCUCCUUCAUACCUAGCUAUUCACUAUCAUCUUAAAGUCUACUUAUGCUGAUGUUAUUUUUCACGGCUUUUUUUUUUCAUCUCUUGGAUGUCUAUUCAUCUUCUUGAUCUCUUGUUAGGAUCUUGAAACUUAUUUCUUUCUCAGACAUCAUGUGUGACAACAUUCCAACUAAAGACAUACUCUUCUAUGGCUUUAUGACUCAUUCAAAUAAAAUGGAUCUAAUUAUCUUCCAUGGUUUUCUUCAAGGCAUGUGGUAGGAUUUCUUGUAUUUGGUAACAUAAAUCUACAUAUGCAAAGUUGAUAGAAACUUGGGAAGUAAGGGAUGCACUAGUCAUGAUUUGUGUUUGGAACAACAUAGAACUAGAGGUAUUGUGUCUCUUAUCUCAUUUUUAGUAAGGAUAUUUGUAAUUGGCAGAGAUGUGUUAUUUUUCCACAAAUAUCUUGCUUACCCAAAAAGGCAUCAGUCUAACAAUAUUACAUUAUUACUUGGAAUUAAAGGACAUGUAGGAAGAGUUGAAUGUCUAUCCCCCUUUGACUUUAGAUCUAGAGAUUCAAAAGCACCACUAAGAAUAAUUUUGCUUGGCCAAAUUCAUCUUUGGUAUUUGGCCAGAGGUUGAACUCACAUAUUACAACAAGUCAUGGAUGAAGGUAAUCAGAUGACAACUUACAAAAGUAAAGCUUAACCGGUUGACCGGUAAUAUGCUACCAGUUUACUAAUUAUCUCUACCGGUAGACACUACCAAUGUGUUGAAGUAGCACACAAAUGGGCAGUGGCUACCGAUAGCAAAAAAAAAAAAAAAAAUUGCAACCGGUUAAUUUGAUGGUCGACCGGAAUUGGACUUUCAUUUUGCUUCCAUUAAGCUGAUGAAAAAAAGACCAAAUUGAGUAGCAAUAAGCAUGUAUCUUCAUUUAUUUUAAUAAGAAGAUAAGCAUAAUACAUUUAAAAAGGUGUUUAACAUAGAUAGGGCCCACAUCUCAUGUACACACAAUAUAUACAAGCAAUGACUAGAAAACACACUACCUCACAACUAUGCUUACCAAUCCCCAUACCAUCCACAAAAUCCAAGAAGGACAACAAAUGAAGCCCCAUGCCCCACAUAAUCACACAUAACUUCAAUCCCCAUACCAGACACUUGAGCUUAUAUGAGGAAAAUUUCUGAUGGGAAAGGUGUGCAAUGAUAUGCUCUUUCAAAUGACUUGCAUUGGAAAUUAAGGAAUACAUAGUUCACAAACAACUCCCAAGUGUCAAAAUUCAAGCAAGCAUGAAGCUUGGGAAGAAAUAAUAAUGCGUUGAUAAUUCAAAUUACUGCAAAACUAACAACUAGUCAUCAAAAAGCAACACAUGCCUUAGGACGCCGUAUUCUGUCUUUGAAUACUUGCCGACACACUUCAAUGAUAAAUUUGCCUUUGUAGAAAAUUCAGCCUAAAGUGGCACCUUAUCUUUGUGUUUCAGACAAACAAGAAAGAAUUUAGAACUUGAAAUUUUCUUAGUAAAUCCCAGACCAUAAUAACCUUGACACUCCCACUAAUGGAAUCAUCAGGUACACAAACUAAAUGUGCAUCUAAUAUUCCAUUAUAUUAAUCCUUGUCACUACAAUGAGUUUAAAGUGUACGCUAAGCUUUUUAAAUAAUGGUACUGCCUGCUUGGAAUUAGACAUAUAGUAACAAUAGUUCAUUUGUAAGUAAUAAGCAUAUUGAUGGUGAAAACACACUUUUUCUACCAUUACCUUCCAAAGAUGAAAAUAAUAAGAAUACAAAAGCAGAAGUGGAUGGCAAUUUAGCAGGAGGCCCCAUUUGGUUAUUCCUCUCCUCAUGAGUGGUAACUCCACUAUGAGAUUUAUUUUAGUACAACCCUAUGGCAAUACGUAUUACGUAAUAGUUUUUCUUAACCAUACACAAUUUGGUAUGACUAAUUUUUUUUCCCCAUAGGUUGGCAUGGGCUCAUUUUCACUAAACACUAUGAUUUGAAGAUCACAUUUUUUCACACUGUUAAUUAGGUUCUGCUCAAAUAACACAGUUUUUGAAAUAUCAUUUGAAGCUGAAUUCUCCUAGCAUGUUCAUAAUCAGUUUACAUGUUCAUUUGAAUGAACUCAAUAUAUGAAAUGUAGGUGAUGCGAUCGGUGAUGGAGAAUACAAUCAAGCAGGAGUUUGAAGUGAAAGAUGAGGAUGUCGUCAAUGACGAUGCAUAUACUGGUGGCAACGAUUUGAAAGAGAAGGUGUUGAAGGGUAUUUCAGUUGAAGAAGUAUACAAAUUGCAAUUCGAUUGCGUAGAUGAGAUUGAAACAUUUUACAACAUGUUAGCCAAAGUAACCGGAUUUAGUAUUCGAAAAGAUGAUUUGAAGUGAGAUAAGAAUGAAGAUAUAAUAUCUCGAAAGUGGGUGUGUUCUAAAGAAAGACAUUGAGCGACAAAGUUUAUUGAAAAUGACAAGCGACAGUGUGAGCCACGAUCGUUGACUAGAGUUGGAGGUGAAGCUGCCUUUCGUUUAGGCUUGAAUAGAAAAGAUGGAAAGUGGAUUGUAAAGGAAUUUAUAAGAGAACAUAAUCAUACUUUGGUUGAUGCUAUCAGCACACAAUUCCUUCGGUCUUAUCAGAUAGUAAGUAAUCCAAAUAAGGCAUAAGUUGAUGUUUUGCAUAAAGUAGGUGUUAAAACCAAACAAAUUAUGGACUAUAUGGUCAAACAAUCAGGAGGACAUCAACAUGUUGGUUUCACAAAAAAAAAUAUAUACAAUUACAUUGAUGCAAUGCAUAGAAUUGAAAUUAAAGACGGUGAUGCGGAAGCUGCAUUGGCUUACUUGUGUGGAAAGAUAGAAAUGGAUUCUUCAUUUUUUUACAAAUUCAACUUCGAUGAAGAAAGUUGACUAGCAAACUUGUUUUGGGCUGAUUCAACUGCUCGAAUGGAUUAUCCAUGUUUUGGAGAUGUCCUAGCAUUUGAUACAACCUAUAGGACAAAUGCCUAUAAAAAGCCUCUAGUAGUGUUGGUUGGUGUUAAUUAUCACCACCAAACUAUGGUAUUUGGUUGUGCGUUAUUGAUGGAUGAAAGUAUUGGUACAUAUGAAUGGGUGUUGGAGACAUUUCUUAUUGCAAUGAUGAAUAAGAAACCCAUAUCCGUAGUAACUGAUGGGGAUAAAGCUAUGCGUAAGGCAAUUAAAAGAGUCCUACUCGAUGCGUGUCAUCGUAUGUGUUCAUGGAAUUUGCAACGAAAUGCAUUCUCAAAUGUGCAUAUUAAGGACUUCACAAGCAUCUUUGCAAGGUGCAUGUUCAUGCAUGGGAAUUCGAAAGAAUUCAAAAAGGUUUGACAUGAAAUAGUUUAAAAGUUGGGUCUUAAUGAGAAUCGUUGGGUAACCAAGAUUUAUGGGAAACAUAAAAGAUGGGCUGAGGCGUAUUUAUGUGGAAAUUUCUUUGGAGGGAUGAGAAACGCAUAAAGGUGUGAGAGUAUGAAUGCAUAUCUAAAUAGAUUCUUAAAAAUCAGUUUGUGACUGUAUGAGUUUGUACAACAAUUUGAUAGGGCGAUAAUGAGAAUACGACAAAGCGAGGCAAAGGCAGAGUUCGAGUCGAACAAUUCUUCACCUGUGCUUUCAACCAAACUAUCCAUACUAGAAAAUCAUGUUGCGACGGUAUACACGAAAUAAUCAUUUCUUAAAUUUCGUGAGAAGAUGAAGAAUGCAGAGUUAUUCUUUGUGGUAGGCCUUGUAAGUGAUGAUUCAAUGCGGACAUAUGCAUUAUCUAAGUUUAGACACCCGAACUUAAAAUAGGAAGUCCAAUUUUGCCUGAAUAUUGUAACAUUAAAAUGCUCAUGCAUAAUGUUUGAGUCAAUUGGCAUCCCUUGUUGCCACAUGGUUGUUGUUAUGAAGGUGGAGCAUUUGGAAGAGAUUCCUCUUUCAUUUAUUUUGAAGAGGUGGACAAAGUUAGCAAAGGUGCAUACAAGAUCAGCACCGGUGAAUGAGACGGAUAAUGACAUGGAUCAGUUUGUACCAUAUGGGUCAUUGAAUUCGAUGUGCAACAAGCUCUCCUACUAUGCGUCAAAUACGUCAUCUUCUUUUCUAGAAGCGAAAAGUGAAAUAGAAAAUUUGACGGUGAGAAUGGAGGAACUUUCUAACAGUAAUUUGAAAGGGAAGAAAGUAGCAACAGAUGGAGCCACAAGUCCUAACCAAGUUCGUGAUCCAAAUAUUGUGAAGACUAAAGGAAAUCCAGGCAAAGUUGCAAUUAAUUUUCAAAAGGGAAGAUAGUGUAGUCGUUGUAAAAGAGUGGGUCACACAAUUCGAAAGUGUCCAGAAGCUAGAAUCCCUCAUACCGGUAAUAAACGUGAUAUGGUAUAUUAGAUUGAAUAAGAAAUUGUCGCUAAGAUGAAGUUUUUUACCUGUACUUACAUAAAUAACUAAUAUAAUUGUUUUCAUUGCAUUAUGAGUAUGUAGCAGGAAAGUAAUUUGUCUUCCCAAUGUGACAUUCGUAUGGAAAUGAUGCCUUCAACAAAUUAAUCAGUUGACAUGUUUGCAACCUUACCUGUAUGUACAAUAGGCUUGUUAUAUAACAACACAAACUUUGAUAACAUCUAAUUGAACAAUAAUUGACAACACUUAAUCAUUGCAAAAUGCAGGGAAUGCUAGGGGAGCAUUUGUCAAAUGACCGAUCUGACAUGUAUUUAGAUUUUGGUGUACUUAGCAAUGUAAGCUCGAGAAUAAAAAACACUUUUGACAUGAAUUUUCCCUAUGCAUUAUUUAAUGAUUUGGUUGAAGUAAUUGGAAUGGAAUUGGAUGGCUCAAUUUUAAUAAUGGAAUGUGCAUGUGCAAAUAGCAGGAUUUCAGCAAUAUGAACAAACUAUGACAAUACCAUGUCAAGGUGGGGAUCUAAGCAAAUAUCCAAAAGAAAAGGAUAUGCAACCUUUUUUUAUUCCUUAACGGAGUAAACAAUGGCAGGUAUUAAAUCAGUAUUUAUAUUAGUUUACGUUAUCGCUUUGGCUAAUAUAUACUUUUAAAUUAACUAUUUAAUGAAAAGUCUGAAUUCCGAUCAAGAGUCAAGUUGAUUGAUAGAAUGCAAUAUCCUUGAUAUUUACAAUUUAAUUGAUAACAAGUGAUAAAUGAUUGGUAAGCUGAUUCAUUUAUAUCACAUCCAAAAAAUAGUUACGCAUGCGGAUAUAAUUAAAUUCAAAUGUGGUUAAAGUUUGACAAUUAGGUGGUUAUGAGUUAACUAUAGGAAAGUAAUCGAUAUGAUGUAAUUCAUAUGAAAUGGUAAAUGUUGUGAUAUAACUCAAAAUGGGUAAAUCAUAGUUUGGUAGUUUGGAAUUGCAUUUUCCAUCACUUCCAAACCUUUUAAUUAAACUUAAUGGCUUAGUCACCAAUGUUUACUGAGUGAAAAGUUUUCAGUACCACCUAUAGCCAUUUAUCGAACGGUAGUUAUACUUAGAAAUUGCAUGAUAGCAUUCAAUAAGUCAACCGGUUAAUAUUUGGCUUCAACCAGUUGAGAAAUCUUCUCUGCUGGUAGACUCCAUUCCUCAACCGGUUCACAUUGGUGAAAAAAUUCCUCAACCGAUUGAGAAAUUUCUUCUGCCACUCACUUCAACUCCUCAACCAAUACAUAUUGCAUCAAACUUUUGUUGAACCGGUUGUUAAAAUUCCUCAACCGGUUCGGACAAAUCCUCAGCUGGUUGACAUUGCAUCCAUAUAGUCAUUAUCCGAUUGAGGAUUGUUCUCAAUCGGUUGCCAUAAUUCUAUGGCCGAUAGACAUUGAACUAAGCUGAACCGGUCAACCGGUUCUUACUGGCUUUACGUCAUUUCUUAACCGGCCUCCAUUGCCUUUACAAGUCGUAGCUAUAAUUCAUACCUACUAAAAAUAUUAGUCGCCUAACCUAUACUCCUACCGGUACUAACUAUAUAAUUUUGAGCAUAGAUAAAUGAAUAUAUAUAUAUAUAAGGAAAAAUCUAAAUACCUAAAAGAUCGUAGAAAAUCAAACAUGUCGAAAAUGAAUGAUGCCUAUAUAUUACAAUUUCAUUUUGCCUACCAUAUUGAAAGAAGAAUAUAACAUAUUCAAAUUAAACAAACUUGGUCAUGAACAAUGUAUGGUCAUGCAAGGUCACAACUUCCCAAUAAACAUGAAGAUAUGUGGAGAUGGAAAUAAUAAAUAUUAGAAAAACAACAAAUAUCAUAAUAAUAACUUUUUCAUUGCUCGUGUAGACUUCUUUGUACAAACAAUAACCACAAUGGUUUUUUUUUUUUUUUUUUUUGUUUCUCUCGUGUAAAACUAAAUCACUUGCUAUUUCCCAACGUAUUUUAAUAGAAUUACAUAAGUCAGAGCCCGUCAUCGAAUCACCAUUUUUGAAUAUCUGUAUAUGUUUAAUGAAGGAGCCUAAUCAAUGGAGAAUUGAAAGACAUCUUUCCCUAUGUCAUACAGUUUGAAGAACAUUUGACAAAAUUCAACCUAAUUUAUUUUGAAAGUGUUAAUAAAUAUAGAAGAGAAAAACAAAACAAAGUAAAAGGAAAACAAAAAGCUAAAAGCAUACCACUAUUUUGACACUCUUAAACCGGAACUCGUCCCGACUCUUUUUUAUUGUAAUGAAUCCAAAAUUUGGAUAUGAGAGUUUUUAAAGUCAAUGACGCACAAAUACCAAUGAUCGAGGCAAUUGUCAUGCAUUGGAAUAAAUAGUUGUAAAGUUAGAAAAACAAUAUAUAUGAGUUGGGCCACAAAAUAUCUACUAUAUUAUAGGUGAAAACAAUAUCUACUCUAAAUUUGAUAUAUGCAAUUAAACAUUACUAACCUUCUCGCAAUCAUCCAAUUCGCUAAUGUACUUACUCAUGAUGAAUGUUUUUCUAUCAAAAAAAAGAUGAAGACUCCUGCACAAAAUCAUUUGCUAAUAAUAAAACAUAAUACGAAUAUUAGUAGAUUGUACUUAAUAUGUAAGUAAACAACAAGAGAAAUAUGAGCUUACUGAAAAAUGUCGUGGGAAUAUACUUCGUAUGCUUAUGAAUUGCCUCUUAAAAUAAUUUAGCUUUGAGGCUUCUAGAUUUAUUACCUGUUGUUAAACAAUAACUUCAAUAAAUUUAUUUAAUUAAUAUAACAUGCAUUUGAUAUAAAUGAAGUAGGUACUUACAACAUCCAUCAAAUUUUGUUUAGGAUGUAAGCACUCAAAAUGUCCACGAACUCCAUGAACUCCAUGUUCAUGAUCAAAGUUAACAAGAAGCCCACUAAAAUAAUAAUAUAUUAAAGCAUUCUUGACUAAAUUGGAACCAUAUGAAGACUAAAAUUGUAACAACACAUCUAUGAAUGUUCUAGACACUACAAACCUUUUUGACAAUGCUUUAUUGAAAACAUAAUCAACAACAACAGAUUGAAGUACAUUGAAUGAUUGAGCAUCCACCACGUCUUCACGAAUGGACAUGGGGAUUAACUAAAUAAAAAAAACAAGACAUAAUUAUUAGCUAUAUAUGUUGAGUAUCAAAAAUAAGAAUAUGAUAUUAAACUAUGUGUAUUAUACCUUUAAUGCUUGACAUUUUCCAUUUUCCUUAAAUUAUGUACAAACAGGGAGACCUUGAAUUUACUUGGUUUCCUCUUCCUUGAUGUACGUGUUUUCAUGACUUGAUCGGGAUAACCACAUAGUGCUUGUAAUGGUUCCUAAUAUGGAAAAUGUCAUUAAUAUACAUCUAUUUACUAUGUAAUGGUUUAAGUAGUUGUAAAUAAAAUAUUUUUUUUCUUUUAUAUGAUACAUACCUUUCCAUAAUCUCUUCUACUGCUUUUGAUUGGAAUUGAUAAAAUAUCUACAUUUUUGUUCGGAAUGAUAUUUACUUCAAUUGAUGUAGCACAUGCAUCUUCAUUAUUUCCAUUCAAGUCCUUAGUGCAUAACUUCUCAAUUGACAAAGUGUGAACAUAAUGUUCAUUUCCUUUCUUAUUGUUCUUAUCUUCCAAACUUCUCUCGCAUGAGAGAAUAUCAUUCUUUGUUCCCUCCUUGUGCAUUCUCAAAGGUUUUUCGCUUAACCUAAGGAAGAGACCUUUCAAUGUAGUAUAUUUUUCCUCAAAUUCAGUCAAAACUUUUUCAUAACUACCAUUACUUGCACCAUGACACAAAUCAAUUAGAUGUGUCUUUAAUUGUUGAAAGGUUUUAUCCAUCUCCAUUAAGCUCCCACCAUCAACCUAGUGAUAUUUAGGAACUUGAUUAAUAAUAUCACAAUACAAGGGUUCACUAUUAAUAUUGAUACUCACGAUGAAUAUUGUAAAACUUGUUUAAUAACAUCUUUUUUUGCAUUGAUUUCAAAUUUCUCAUCAUUCUCAUUCUCCCCCUCCAUUGUCAUCGCACUUCUAUCAACACAAUCCCUUAUCUCAUUUUGUAUCACCCAUAUUUUGACCUACAAUAUAUUCAUCAAAAUAUAACACAUCAGAUUAAAAAUCAUUAAAAACUUAAACCAAUAUUAAACAACUUUCAAAACUAUAACUUACAUUGUCAUCUGCAUAUCCACCUAGUUUUUUCAAUCUUCGUUUCAUGUCCAGUGCUUCAUCAUCUCCCCAAGCAGUAAUCCAAGGACAAAGUCGAGUAUAUAAUGGUAGAAAUUUCUCUUCGAACGAUAUAUGCUCGUGGUAGAAUAAUUGCGCUUAUUUGACAUAGAUAUAUAGUUAGUUAACAAAUUUUAUUAUAACAAAUUCGAAAUUCACUAUGAUGUAAAUUAAUUACAAGGACAUUACCAUUAAAAAUAAUAAGCAACUGCAAACCCGACUUUGUUGUUUCCUCUUAAACUCUUCAAUCCCGUGUACAAGAUAAGACAACACAAAUUCAGCCCAAUUCAUCUUCUUUAUUAAAUUGAUGUCUUCCACAAGAUGUAAGAAAGAACGUUUCACAAAUAGCUUCAUUAUUGGGCACAAUAAUGCACCCAACACAAAUAAUACAAAACGAACUUUGAAAUCGUUUCCACCUUCUUUAUCCUCCCUAAUUUGAUUUUCUAACAUCACUAAUGGCAAUCGCUCCUUUUAAUCAUAAUAUUUUUUUUAUAUAUAAAUCAUUCUUAUGGCUAACAUCUUUGUUCAUGCCAAUCUUCAACCCUCUUGCCCUCAAUCCCAUAAUAAAUUCAACAUCAAUGGAGGAUAAUUUGAUACAAGUAUUAUUCAACUCUAACAUGUAAGUGUUCGGGUUGAAACUAUUUAUCAACCAAACACAUAACCCAUGAUCAAUUUUCUUACAUCGAAGUUGCAAGAGGCUACCAAAUCCUAUUUCUUCUAUGGCUGCUCUUUGCUUUGGUUCUAAUUCUUCAAUAAUUUUAAUCACUCGCUUGGGUGAGCAUCGAGUCUAAAGAUAUAACUGAAAAGAUACACAAACAUCAAACAUGUUUACAUUAAUAUAAUUUCCAACAAAUACAUAAAUAAUGAAAUUAAAUAUUCAUUACAAAAAAUUACAUUUGGAACCACACCCUUUUAAAGUGAAUAUUGUUUUGAACUUUCUUUGGACUUUGCCAUGAAAUCUUCUUUUUCUACUUUUGAAAGUGCAUUCCACUUCUUGCCCAAUUUUUUCCUCAACUACAUUAAUUGGUCACAUACUUUAAAUUCUAAUUUUAAAAUGUAAUUAUAUUAGACACAACAAUAUUACUCCUUACAUCAUCAUUUAUCUUCACUUCUUUAUCAGGCUCUUUGAUCAUGGUCAAUUGAUUGUUACUACAAAACAAUUUCAAACAAAUUUAACUAUAACAACCACAAAAAAAAUACAUUAAAAAACAUAUUCUUUUACAUAUUUCUAUUUUCCCUUACUAGUAAUGUAUCCAAGCUCUAAUAGGCCUAUUUGGAUUUCUAACAACUUCAACACCAUCGCAUUCGCUCCUAAAAAUUAAAUCAAAUCAUUUAAGUCAAUUUUUAUAAUAUGAUUUUAGAUAUAAUAAAUCAAACAUACUUUCACCACCAGUACAAAAUCCUCCCUAAAUCUCUAUACAUUUUAAAUGGUCACAAAAUUAGCAUAUAAAUUAUUUUCAAUCUCCAAUUAUGGAUCUAACCACACUAUUUUUCAUUAAUGUGAUCAAUCCAUAAAUCUAACAAAAAACAUGAAAUAUAAUGGAUACAAUAUUAUAAAACACAUUAUCAAUACUCACAUUUUUUUCCUUAAUAUAGAACUCGACAAAUAAUUACAAUACAACCGCCUUUUGAUUAACAAAAAAUUGUGUCCUUUUUAGCUUUCUUUCUCUUAGUACUACACAUCUUCUUCUUCUUCUUCUUCUUCCAGCUAUGUCUUCAAUUCGGGUCUUCAAACCACAAAAUUUAGAACCCGAAAACACCCCUUACACCUCUUAAACAAAAUAUAAAAUAUGAAGAAAAUACAAGGGUUAUGGAGAUGAGAGGGAUGAGCGGGAAUAUCGCACUCUUUACUUCAAAACUCGAAAAAACCCCAAAUAUGAAAAUUAAAUAGGGACAUAAACAGAAGGAGGAUACGAAGAAAACUUGGAAAGAUGCCACCCAAAACGACUACAAUAUCUCACCCGAAAACACCCAACAACAUGAAAACAUCCAACAAUACACGAAGACAACUGAAAGCACCCAAAAAUAAUAGCCGAUGGAGAUGAGUGGAAAACACAAGUACCCGGAGAAGACUCGAGUAUGGAGAAGAGAGGAAAAUAUGGGGAAACUCGGCAAAAGAGGGAGAAAACAGCAACCCGGCCCGACUGUGGAGGAUGAGUGGAGAAGAUACCAAAUUAUGGGGGGAAAAUGGGAAAAAGAGGAGAGAACAAGAGGGAGAAUAGCUGCCCGGUUCAGUAAUGGAGGAUGACUGGAGAAGAGAGCAAAUUAAGCGGGGAAAAAAAGGGAAAUGGGUGAGAGAAUAGAAUGGGGAAAAACAGCUACAUGGCCAGCUAUGGAGGAUGAUGAGUGGAGAUGAGAGCACGGGGACACAAACGGGGGAAAACAGGAAAUGGAUAAGAGAAUAGGAUAGGGAACAAUAGCUACACUAGCCGACUAUGAAGGAUGAUGAGUGGAGAUGAGAGCACGGGGACACAACUGACUAUGGAGGAGAAGAUGGCUGGCUAUAGAGGAGAAGACGGUCAGUUAUAGAGAAGAAAAGAGGGGAAAUAUGGGAAAAAUGGUUGACAGAGGGAAAGAACAGGAGGGAAGAGAGGGGAAAAACAGGAAAAGAGGCUCAGAGAAGGAGAGGACAUAAGGGGGAGGUACUCGAUUAUUAUUAUUUUUUUUCAUUUUUUCUUUUUCUUUUGGAUGGCUAAGAUUUAAUCUCUUUCAUCCAACGCCUAAAAAAAAUGAGGCAUGCUACCUUCCCCAACACCAUAGAAUUUUCCUUGAUAAAAAGAGUCCCAUAUUUUAAAUCUAACCCAUCAUUUUUUUUCCUAAGAAAUUACUAAUUUUUAUAAAUAAAAAAAAUGUACUUGCUUUUUAAAAAAAAAAAACUUCCAUCAAAAUAAUAUAAAUAUCAGAGGAUAUUUAUAUCAAAAAUAAUUUUUUUAAUUAAAAACUUAUAUUUUCUAUUUUUAAAAUUUUAUAUCGAUUAAUUAAAACAAGUUAAAUAAAUUUAAAAUAAUAUAUAAAAAUAUUUUAUUAACUUUAAAUUUAUUUUUUAUUUUUUUUCUUUGUAUUUUUUUGUACAUUUCCUUUCAAAUUUUUCCAAAAAGGAAACAUUACUAAAAGAUCAUGUCAAGUACAAGAACUAAUCCUUUGAUAUGGAUGAAUUAAAAUAUAUUUUGUUUAUACUUUUAUUUUAUUUUAUAAAGGAAUUAAUAAUCAAAGGUUUAAUUUAAAAUAAAUAUUUUAUUUUAAAAAAUUUAAUUUUAUCAUAGAAAAGAUUUAACAAUAAAAAGUUCAUAAUUUAUAAAUCACUAAUCCUAUUUUGUCAUAAGUGAUUAGUUAGGUUUCUAAUGUUAAAUGAAUUCAAUAGUUUUUAGUUGGUUUUAAAUUUUAGAUGGUUCGAAAGUUAUAUUAUCAAUAUCACUUAAAAAUGAAAUCCUCUGUUUUUCUUUUCAUUUUUCAAUGAUUAGUUAUUUUGUCAAAUUCUCGCUUAGUUUCAAUUUUCAAAUAGUUUUGUUUAAUGUUUAAUAUAAACAACUUUAACACUUUGCAACAUUCUAAUGUCAAAAAAAAAAAACACUUAAUGAGAUUAAUCUUUAAUAGGUUUAUAAUUAAAUUUAAAUUUAUUCAAAUAUAAAAAAAUGGUGAUGUGGGGGCUUUCCCCAUAUAGCCACGUGGCAGGCCACUCUUGGUCUACGUGGCAUUCUUCUAUCUCUAUCCAGAUGAUCAUCAUCAAACCAGAGUCUCCUAUUCGACCAACGGGUAUCAGAGACUAGUCACAUUGUGCUCCUCUAAACUACACGAUGCAUUCCAGGUAGAUAUCUUGGCCCACUCCUGCAAGCAAUCAUUCCCCCAAGCCAUGAGUACAUUUGACGGGAUGUAACCCUGCCUUCACAAUUGAGUUGCUAUACGCUAUGCCAUACUUUCUACAGAGUAAGGUGACAAGUGAACCAUCAUGUCAUCCCCACUAGCAGCCCCUGUUAGCCGCCUAAAUGGUGAUGAUUGCCCUGCCACGAACUGUGCUGCCAUCAUGACUGCGAAAGUUAAGAUGUCACCUCAGCGCAGAUGUGACCCCAUCCCAGACACUAUAAAAACCCUCACACAACCAAAAUCCAAGAACGUAAUACAAGAAGCCCGAUAUAGCUCUAGAGAAUAAGCGAUUUCUCGAGCUAGUUUUAACUAAUUGACUUGGGCUUCGAAGGGUGUGUCCGGACAACUUGUCCGAACAUCUUUUUACAGGAAAGAAAAGAGAAGUCAAUCUUCACCGACUGUAUUCAGUCCUUUCUUGCUAUAACGGGGAGAAGCAUCAUCCCCAAUUGAUUCAGCAUUAACAUCGGCAUCAUUUGUGGGAAGGAAACAAGAAUGUCAACACCCUCAAGAAGUCGAUCGUUUGCCAUGGGCGACGAAGGUUACUUUGACUAGCGUGAGAGUAUGGAAAGAUGCUAACGAGAAAGCGAGCGACAAGUGCAAGCCCUGCUCCAAGAAACAAGAAGACUCAGAGAGGAGAAUGAGGUGUUGCGAAUUCAAGCAUCUUUGUCAGGCCCCUCUCGUAGCCAGCAACCAAGGAGUUAGUGAACGAACUCCAGGAAAAAUGAGGAAGCAACAUACCCUAGAAACACAGAGUCCCCCUUUGAUGAGCAUGGUAUACGACCUGAUGAAGGACCCCUAUCGGCCUAUCACGCGCCAUAGGACGAAAACUCUGAUUCCACUCGUGUCUCAUCUAAAAGGAGAUGCGAUAGGAAAUCCUAACUAUUAGAUGCAAUGCACGCAAGGUUAGGGCCACAGGUGCCCGGUAUGGAGAAACCACGUAUAGCCACGACCCAGGAGGUAUACCCUGCCCCAUUUGCUGCACCCGCUAUACUGAACUGGCCUCCAUACCCAACACUACAACAAUUGGAAGAGGAUAUGGUAAGUAGAGUUCCCCUCGGCUCUGCCAGCAGGCGACUAGACAACAUGCUCUCCAUGCCUUUUAGCUCUCGCAUUAUCAAUUACGAACCCCUGAGAGAGUUCAUCGAGCCAAAAUUCUCUACGUAUGACAAAUUCAUUGAUCCAUUUGAUCACAUCAUGCACUACAGAUAGCUCAUGACCCUUGACAUAGGGAAUGACGCACUGUUGUUUCUAGCUAGCUUCCAAGGUUAGGCCCUCUCGUGGUUCCACCACCUCCCAAUGAAUUCCGUCGACAACUUUCGGGACCUAUCGAAGGCCUUCGUGGGACAAUAUCUAUGUUCAACACAACACAAACAAAACAUCAGCACCCUGUAAAACAUAAAGAUGUAGGAGAAUGAGUCGCUGAGGGAGUUCGUAAAGUGGUUCGGGCAAGCUGUACUCUAGGUAGAGUCUUACAGCAUAGACAUUAUUAUCCAAAUCUUUAAAAUGAGUAUCUGUCCGGGCACACCUUUCUUCAAAUCUCUCACCAAAAAGCCCUAUGUAACUAUGGACGAUCUAUUCAGAUGGGCAAACAAAUAUUCCAUGCUUGAGGACAAUGUCCGUGCAGCCACCCAGUAGAUCCUGGUCACCAGUCGACCUGCCAAAAAUGUUGAGGCUAGGAAUUCCAAAACCGCAAGCCAACGAAGGCAAUCAAAUAAGAGGUAGGACAGACAACGCCAACCAAACUAGCCCAACUUCAUCCCACUCAAUGUUUCAUACGAGAAGCUCCUCCCCAUGAUCCGCAAGUUAUCCGACUUCAAGUGGCCAGAGCCCCUAAAAAUGGAUUCAACUAAGAGAGACCGCAACAGAAAAUGUGCCUAUCACAAAGAGCACGAACACACUACGGAGCAAUGUAGUAGUCUCCAUUAUUUGGUGGAGAAUCUAGUAAGAUCCGAAUGCUUGAGACAAUACGUUCACUCAGAAGGUAAAAAUGGGGUGACAUCCCGAAGUCCAACCACCACGACCCCCGCAGCUUCUAUAGCUCCUAGGGUCGUGAUCAACUAUAUUCACGGCGGACCUAUCAACGAGGAAUACAACUCUAAACAAAAGAGAUGGAUGCUACUUCAAGCCAUCUUCGUGCGAGAGCAAGUUAGCUCCAUCAAGCCCAGAUUAAUCAGCAGGAGCAUGCGCUCAAUAGAUAGGGAAAUCACUUUUCCCCUAGUAGACUCCAACCGAAUAUUACAAUCGCAUCGGGACGCCCUUAUCCUAUCAUUGGGAAUCAGUGACUUUGAUGUAAGGUGGAUCUUAGUCGACCUAGGUAGCUCAGCCGACCUCUUACAGGUAUCUAUAAUUAAACAUAUGGGGCUUUCACCAUCGAAUCUGGAAAAUCCUGGACGGAUAUUGUUAGGAUUCUAAGGAGCUUCAACAAUGUCUCUGGGCGACAUUGUGCUGCCCGUCCAGACCGGCCCCAUUGCCCUGAAUAUGCAGUUCUCAAUAGUAGAAGACCUAUCUCCAUUCAAUGCCAUAUUGGGGCGCACCUGGCUGUAGAGCAUGAAAAUCAUUCCUUCUACUUAUCAUCAGAUGGUGAGUUAUCGCAUCGAAGACGGACAGAUUAAUCUCUAUGGAAGCCAACUAGCAGCUCGAUAGUGCUACCAAGUGGCAUAGAAAACCGGAUCUAGUAGUGAUAAUGAGCCACCUCCAAAACUAUGAGCGCAAUCUUUUAAUAGCAAUUACAAUAUCCGACGAAGAAAGAUCCCCUGGUGGCCGACCCCUUGCAGACUAUUAAGAUCUCGAAGAAGGAUGAUCAUUUUACCUACGCAAGCUCCCUCUUAGAGUUGAACGAGGCGCGAAGCCUUGAAGGAGUACUUCACCGGAACAAAGAUGUCUUCGUCUGGACACACUCUAACAUGCUCAGGAUUCACCCAUCAAUUGCCUCCCACCAACUUAACAUUCUUCCAUUCUCAAGACCUAUCCGCCAGAAGGUCCAACAAUUCUAUUUGGAUAGGCAAAAAAUCAUUCAGAAUGAGAUAAACAAGUUAUUGAUAGCCGAAUUUAUCAAAGAGGUUAAGUAUCCUGACUAGUUGGAAAACGUGGUUGUAGUCCUGAAAACAUUGGGGAAAUGGCAAGUCUACGUUGAUUACACUAACCUCAAUGAUGCCUACCCUAAGGACAACUUUCCCCUCCCCCGAAUAGACCAAAUAGUGGACUCCACCACUGAAACACAGAAUGCUCUCCUUCCUACAUGCCUUUUUCGAGUAUCAUCAGAUCCCUAUGUAUCCACCAGAUGAAGAAAAAAUUGCCUUCAUAACACCACAUGGGCUCUAUUACUACAAAGUCAUGUCGUUUGGACUCAAAAAAGCUGGAGCCACUUAUCAAAGGCUGAUGACUAAAAUUUUCAAACCUCUAAUCGGACGCACAAUAGAGGUAUACAUUGAUGACAUUGUAGUGAAAAGCAGGACCAAGGGUGAACAUGACCAACACCUAGAAGAAGUCUUUCACUUGUUGAGAGAAUACAACAUGAAGCUCAAUCCGUCCAAUUGCGCCUUUGGAGUGAGUGCGGAAAAAUUCUUGGGGUUCAUGGUCACUCAAAGGAGCAUAGAGGCCAAUCCAAAUCAAAUCAAAUCAAAGUUGUCAUAGAGACAUCCGCCCCAUGCAACAAAAAGGAAUUGUAAUGCCUCACUGGCAAACUCACUGCACUAGGGUGCUUCAUAACCCAGUUUACAAACAAACUAAGGCAUUUUUUCCUUGCAUUAAAAAGAGCCAGCGCGACAUGAUGGAAGGAAGACUUUCAGUUUGCAUUUGAAGAAAUCAAGUUUUAUCUCACACAAUCGCCCAUUCUGACCAGCCCUCAACUCAGUGAACAUUUGUACGUGUACUUAGCAAUCUCCAACUGUGUGGUUAGCACUGUUUUGUUUUGCUGCAUAUCGGACAAAAAGCAAAAGCAUGUCUACUACAUCAGCAAAGCAAUGUUCGAUGCGAAAACCAGGUACUCAAAGAUGGAGCAGAUAGCUUUGGCCUUGAGAAGCGCUGAGUAGAAACUUUACCCCUAUUUCCAGGCUCAUCAAAUUAUCGUGCUCACCAGCCAACCUCUCAGAAGUAUUUUGCACAAAUCUGAUCUAUUAGGAAGAAGGCUGAAGUGGGUCAUAUAAUUGAGGGAGUACGGGAUCAAAUAUUAGCCUAAGUUAUCCAUAAAAUGAAAAGUCAUGGUUGACUUUAUAGUUAAGAUCCCCCAACAACCCUCUCAACUCAAAGAACCUGGUAGAGAGGGAUGAUGGAUUCUCUUCGUCGACAGAGCCUCCUGGACCUCGGGAUCUAGAAUAGGCCCCCUCCUACGAUCACCAAUUGGAGAACAGCUAGAACAGGCCAUCCGACUUGGGUUCCCAGCAUCCAACAGUGAAACCGAGUACGAGGCCAUCCUAUCCAAACUAAACUUUGCACUUGCUCUCUCAGCUUCUAAGAUCGAAAUCUGCAGUGACUCUCAACUCAUUGUUGGGCAUAUUCAAGGGGAGUACAAAGCUAAAGAUGGAUGUAUGACUCAGUACUUGAUUAAAGUAAGAGGUGCCCUGAAUCAAAUGAAUGAAUGGGCUAUCAAAAGGAUUCCUCACAUAUAAAAUGUACAAGUCAAUGCCUUGGUUGGAAUAGGUACUACACUCCUCGUGAAGGAGGCAAUAUUAUUACCCGUCCAUUUCCAAAUCGUUUCCUUAAUUGUAGUCAUACCUGUCUGCAACGCUAAAGAGGUAGGUGCGGAGUGGGCACAUGAAAUUGAAAAUUACCUCCGGACAGGUGACCUGCCCGAAGAGAACAAACAUGCGCAUAGGGUCCGGGUGCAGGCUACCCGCUUCACCUUAAAUGGGGAUUAUCUCUACAGGCGAUCCUUUGGAGGUUCAUACCUCAGGUGCUUAAAUAGAACGGAAGCUCAGUAUGUAUUAGCAGAGCUACAUGAAGAAAUAUGUGGCAAUCACUCAGGAGGACGAACCCUGGUGCACCUUACCCACUCGCAAGGAUACUAUUGACCCACCAUGAAACAGGAUGCGAAAAAUUAUGUCAAGAAGUGUGACCGGUGUCAAAGGCACGCACCCAUUCCUCACAUAUCAUCUGAAGUUCUCAACCUAGUUACAAGCCCUUGGCCAUUCGCAUAAUGGGGGAUGGACAUAGUAGGACCCUUACCCGUCACAGCCACUCAUAAGAAAUUCUUGCUUGUGGCCACUGACUACUUUAGCAAGUGGGUAGAGGCAGAAGCUUAUGCCAACAUCAAAGAUAAGGACGUCUCUAAGUUUGUUGGGAAAAACAUCAUCUGUCAGUUCGGAAUUCCGCAAACAAAUUAUAGCUGAUAACGAACCACAGUUUGACAGUGUUGAGUUCAGGACCUUUUGUUCAGAGCUAAAAAUAAAAAAUCUAUACUCCACACCACGAUAUCCUCAGAGCAAUGGAUAAGCGGAAGCAACAAACAAGACCCUGCUCUCCGUACUAAAGAAAAUGCUAGAAAAAGCCAAAUGGAAGUGGGUAAAAGAACUACCCGGCGUCCUGUGGGCUUAUCGAACAACACUUGGAUGACCAAUCGGAAACACUCCCUUCGCUCUUGCCUACGGGAUGGACGUAGUUAUCCCAACAGAGAUAGGCAUGCCCACAACCUGAACUGUUGUACAAGACCAAAGGGACAAAUGUCAAGAACUUGAGAGACACUUGGAUUGGGCAAACGAGGUGAGGGGGAGUGCAGCCAUCCGGAUGGCCUCCGAUCAACAAAGAGCUACUGCCUACUACAACCGGAAAGCCCAACCCCAUGCCUUUAAGGUUGGAACCUUAGUCUUCAAAAAGCUCCAAGCUAAUUGGGAGGGGCCUUAUAUUGUCUUGAAGGCUGGAGAAUCUAGGGUUUACCAUCUACAAAAGCUGGAUGGAAUGCCCCUGCUCCACUUAUGGAAUGUAUCUAAUCUAAGGCAAUACUAUCAGUAAAGUAAAAAAAGAAAAAGUGCACAAGAAAGAUAGUGAAAUAUUGCAUUCGCAUUCGUAAGUGAGAAAUUGUUCUUUACAAGUGUUGGCCAGACAAAUCACGGCGAAAUACAAAUGACUUAAUAAUAAAUAAAAAAUGUUUUAUGGCUCGACCGAAGAGUCGGCCAUAGGAAGAAUCUCAUCUCUUCAAGAAGAAUCGUCGGGUACCUCCCCCUUGUCGUCUGAAGGAAAGGAAUGAGUAUCUUAUGUGAUGUCGUUCUUCUUCAUACAACAUCGAUAGCCAUAGAAGAACAUUUCGUCCACUUGCUUUUGAUACUCCUCCUCCAACUCCUUCUUUUGAUCUGUGAAUCCGGCCCAGAGUUCCUCCAACUUUUUCUUCAGUUGGGCAUUCUCCUGCUCGACCUCUUUGCACUUGGCCUUAGUGGCCUUGCCCUCCUCUCUCAACCGGUCAGCCUCAGCAUGGACCGACUCCUUCUCCACCUCCACCAAUUUCAAAGCCUCGACUCCCUCUACAAUAGCCUUCUAUGCAGCGGCAAGGUCGCUCUCCACCUGUUCCAGCUUAAUGCAGAGCUCUUCACCGCCGCCCACGCGAUGGGUGAUGAAAGCCCUCAAAGCCUCAACAACCUCCAAUAGCUCAAAAAGUAGAGCGCGUUGUCGCAUCAGGUUGCGAACUCUGACCACCACCUAAAGGCGAUAACAAAAAUAGAGUAAGCUCGGGAUUAAAGUUCACAUUAUAGCAUAAGAAGGAAGGCAUAGUAGCUUACCACUUUUGCAGUCUCUUGAGUCAUGCAAUCCUGCAAUAGUUGAAUACGGGAGACCGUAGAGUUAGGCGUUCCAAGUGGAAGUUGGGUUGUGAUAGAGAUGAGGAGGUCGCCGCCUAAGCUCACCAAAACUCGGUUAGUGAAAGGAAAAAAGUCUAACAUCUUUGUCGAAUGCAACUCAACAUCAGUGAAGCAAGGCACUCGCCUCAGCAUCUCUAUCAUUUCCUCCUAGCUCGGAAGAGGAACGGAAGUAAGGGCAUCCUUCUAGUCUAAGUAUUCCUCGAUAGGAACCGGACCGUCAGAUGCCCCAUCUUGAACAGGGCAAGUCUCAUUCCUAGUAAGAGACGAGGCAACCAACGCGUUGUUGGACCCUGUAGCAUCUGGAUGGGGCAUUGGCGUCUGGGGAGCAUCUAUGAUAGGCUCUUCGUGAACCUCCUCUGGAUAGGAUCUUUUGGCAGGAGAAGAAACCACCUCAAUAGGAUCAGAUAGUCGUUUGCAUUGUCUCUCCCUAAAGCCCGACCCUCAAGUUGGACGUCGUAUCUUCCUCCACCUCCGGUUUGUAUAUGAUGACGAGUAUCACAGGCUCGAAUUUGGAACUUUGAGGAUCCAAGUCACUCCGUUCAAACCUUGGAAGGUCCAAGUCACCUUCUGAAUCCGGAACAAAGCUAUUUGUUUAUAGAGGUACAGAAAAAGUAGAAGCGGAAAAAGAUUCAGAUACCGAGGCUAGUACCUGAACCACCUUAGUGGAAGACUUCUUCUUCUUAAUUGGAUGGCGGACUACGAAAGAUAAAACAUGGCGUUUCUCACUGCAACCCUUCCUCAACUUUCCCUCUUGUCUUUUCUUCUCCCUCUGAUCAAGGUGCUCCUGGUGAGCUCUAGCGUUCGCCUCAUGUGCUUCUUUGUAGAAGGAGAGAUCCUUCAAAACAUGAUGUUUCCCGAGCACUAUGACCUUUGGGAGCCGCCUAGGGAUAAUGGGGAGAAUGUAAGGCUGGGACUCAUGGAUAACCGCAACCAAAUUCCAGGCAAUCAAAAGCGUCUGGUGGUUCUUUUUGUCGAAAGUGAUCACGAACAGCUUGUUCAGUAGGUCGAACGAAGCUUUCUCCACCCACUCGACCAGUCGACCUCUUCUGUCCUUAUCUGCAUCAAUCAAAAUGGACAGUGUUAGCACUAAAGUGAUAUCAGUUCAACAAAUAAAGACAAUUGAAGAAUCGCUUAAAGCCAUCCCUACCAGGAAUUUUAAGUGAUUCGUCCCAUUAUAGUCGUGCCAUUUGAUUCUGGUCCAGAUGGGUGUUAUCAACAAAAUUUAUAAAACCUAAAUCACCUUACACUAGGGUAGCAUAGCUAACAUAGUAUAGUGGCUCUAUGAUCGUCCACAGGGAUGGGUUUUCAUCAUACAGUUGACUUAAAUGAAGGAAAUAAAAUAGUGUUUUUUCUUAUGAAAAAUUAGCUUUUAAAGAAAAUGAAUUGUGGUUGCAAAGAUUGAUUUUAAGUUAAGCAAAAACAAUAAGUGAAGUUAACUAUAAAGAAAAGAUCUCUUAGAGCUUUAGGUCACUAGGAUUGGGUUUCUUAUACAAAUGGGGAGAUUCCAGAUCUUCUUCUCGCGUUGGGGAUAAUAAUAUAAAGGAUGGUUAUCUCCCGAACCGAUUUUGUAUUUAGCAAUUAAGAUUUGAUCCCAAGGGUUCAUGAAAAAUAAUAGUUGUUUUCCAUUAAUGGCUUCAAACACUAAAGACUCUCACCUUGAACCACCUUCCAAUGGCUUGUAAAUGAUAACUAAUAGACAUCCAUGGAUCUAACAGUAAGCAUCCAUAGAAUCCAAAAAGCUUACCAAGUAUUGGCCAUUCAAGGUGUUUUUAAGGGAUUUAAAGCUAAACCUUAAAAUAAAAACCAUUAAUGGUUAACAACUACUUUCAUUUAAAGCAAGGACAACUCCCAUCUUUGCAUUCGGGUCCUUCACCUAGCUUCCAUCACUCCAAGAAACGUAAAACCUAGCCACUCAUCCCAUGAGAAAUCAUCCUUAAAGGUUGUUUGGCUAGGAAGAAGAGUGAAAACAAAAUGAGAAGGAAAGGCAAAGCAAAAGCUUUGUAUGUUUCUUACUCCUCGAAAUUUACAAGUUUUCAAUGAAAUACAUACAUAUAUAUUUCCCUCUCUCUCUCCCCUCUUAUAUAUAUGCUACCUAAAAGAUAUAUAAAAAGAUAUAAAAGAAAAUAUCUAGGUUGGUUAUAAGGAGAAAUUAGGAAAUUACACAAAAUAUUUGAAGAUGAAAAUCGAACAGAGUCGGUGCACAGGAAGAUUUCGCAUACCAUGCAAAAUUUGGCAUGGUGUGCGAAAUCCUUUGGCUACCUCAAGUGGUUUCGCAUGGUGUGCGAAAUUUCGCACAGCCAUGCAAAAAUGUUGUUUGUUGGAUUUCUUCCUCAGGUUUUCUUCCUUGCAUCUCUGAUUGGCUUGGCAAAGGGCUAUGAAGUGCUCUAAAGCUUGGAUUAUUCAUGUAUUUGAGCUUUAACUUGCAUUGCCAUGGAUUUCACAAAAUUCUCCCUCAUUCUUGGCUUGGUUCAAUAAUCAAAUAGCUACCAAAAACAUUAAAACUGUCAAAAAUUGAUUAGUAACCCUUGCUAGGUUCCUUAAUGUGCCAAUUGAGUUAAAAGGUAUUAACUACUACUCAAAAGUAUUUAAAAUAGUUAGUUUCAAGCUAUAAAAGAGUACUUUUUGAGUAGUAAUCAUUAAGCGAAAAGUUUGGAUGGAAAUCCCUUUCCGAAUGCUCGACUAGGCCAUCCCACGGGCCCCAAACCAGGAUAUGCCUUUGGCUCUACCCUUAUUCAAGUUCGGGAGGUCGGUCACCAAUUGGAGAGAUGGGAUAUGAGCAAACAGGUUGAAGAUAUCUUUUUUGCUCUUCUUGAUGGUAUAGAUAAAGAGGACCUCUAAUAGGGAGAAGUCCAGACAGAAUAACAUGUCUAGGAUAAUGCAUCCCAUCAGCACUCGGACAAUGUUGGGAUGGAUAAAAACGUGAGGAAUUUGGAUGCAGUGUAAAAAUUGUUUGAAAAUAAACAGGAGAGAGAAAUAGAGUCCUGCGUUAAACUACUCCUUGAUGAAGAAAAUAACAUCUCGAGCUUCCUUCUCAGUAGAUGUCAGAUCUUCAUCCACCAAGUGAACGGAGAUGUCACUCAGAAUACAGAAGUGCUCUGAAACUCCCAUUCAAAAAUAAGCUCGGUAGGCUUUUCCGAUUAGGGGCGUCCGAAGCUUGCACCUGUCCGGCCACCCUUCAUAACAACAUUGGUCGAGGCAAUGUCCUUUUUCACUGGCAUACUAGAAGCGAUGGGCCAAGUUAGACCUGCACGAUACAAUGUCGAAUGUUAAAAAAUAGCCACCCGACCUUACCACCAAAAGGCAGUGCCCCUAAAACACACAACAAGCGAUUAUACCAGACUUAGGGUCUGCCCUAUUCAAGGCAUCCGACCGACCCUACCUAUCAGCGAAAAUCCUAACUAUGGAUUUUUUUUCUCUAUGACACCUCAAACAAAGGAAAAACAUACUGCAAACAAACUCUGAAAAAACCCCAACAAAGCAACAAACAUGGCAAACUCUAACCCUAAUAGGGGUUAGCAGGUCAUGCCAUUAACGAGACCUGAUGGCCCAGAAAGACCACAAAUCUAUUUUUACAAGCCUUGAAGCAACCACUUCGCAGUCGACCAAGACCCCCAAACUCCAAAAUAAUCCCCAAACAGCAACAAAUGAAGCUAUCAAGAAAAAUGGAAAAUCGGGGAGUAGUAGAGAAGAAAAACGAGCAUACCAGGAAAAUGUCUUCAACAAAGUGUCGAAGUCGAUCUGUAAAAGGCAAGAAAGAUUAGUCAGAAAGUUCGCUGAAGAAGGAGAAAUGCAGCACAACAAGCCAAAAGGACAAUGACUAUUUGAAUAUGGGAAGUGCGAAACGAAAGAAAAUAGACUGAAAGGACAAAAGUGAAACGACUAGAAAAUGUACUUCUUAGGGAUUAAUUCCCUAUUUAUAAGGAUAGACGCCCUAGAAAUUCCAAAUGACAAGACGCUUAGAAGUGCAUUCUCCAAAGCGACGCGUCGUUUGAUGACAACCUCGAUAACAACGCCUCUCCUUAACACCCUCAGAUGCCACGUGUCCUAAGGUUACUAAAAGGGUUUGAAAAAUGUUUUAACCUGCCAUUUCUGUCCAGACGAAAUACUCGAGUUAAAAUGAGGGAUUGUGGGGGCUUCCCCCAUAUAGCCAUGUGGCAGGCCACUCUUGGUCCACGUGGCAUCCUUCUAUUUCUGUCCGAAUGAUCAUCAUCAAACCGGAGUAUCCUAUCCAGCCAGUAGGUAUCAGAGACCUGUCACAUCGUGAUCCUCUAAAUUGCACAAUGCAUUUUGGGUAGAUAUCCUGGCCCACUCCUACAGGCAAUCAUUCCCCCAAGCCAUCAAUAUGUUUGACGGGACGUCACUUUGCCUUCGCAGGCGAGCUACUACAUGUUGCACCAUACUUUCUGCAAAGUGAGGUGACAAGCAAACCAUCAUGUCAUCCCCACUGGUAGCCCCAAUCAGCCACCUAAAUGGUGAUGAUUGCCCUACCAUGAACUGUGCUACCAUCAUGACUGUGAAAGUCAAGAUGCCACCUCAGCGCAGACGUGACCCCGUCGCAAACACUAUAAAAACCCUCAUACAACCAAAAUCCAGGUACGCAAUACAAGAAGCUUGAUAUAGCUCCAAAGAAUGAGCGAUUUCUCGAGCUGGUUUUAACCAAUUGACUUGGGCUUCGAAGGGUGUGUCCGAACAACUUGUUUGGACAUCUUUUUGCAGGAAAGAAAAGAGAAGUCGGUCCUCACCUACUGUAUUCAGUCAUUUCCUACUAUAACAAGGAGAAACAUCAUCUCCAGUUGAUUUAGCAUCAACAGGUGAGAGUUAAACAUGUAAUUUAUAAGUAUCCACCUCAUUCUCAUUAAUAGACACAAAAAAUAUUAACAUUUCAGCUAUGUUCAAUUCCCAAAAAAAUUGAGGGACAAUAUAAAAGAAAGAAAAUAAAAAAGAAAAAUAGAAAGAAAAAAAAAGUAAAAAAUAAAUAAAAAAUAAAUUUAAAGUUAAUAAAUUAUUUUUAUAUGUUAUUUCAAACUCAUUUCACAUAUUUUUCUUAUUUUAUAUGAAUAUUAAAUAAUUUAAAAAUAUAUACAAUUUUCAUUUAUUUUUUAUUUGAUUUUGUAUUUUUCAUAAUGAGAUUAAAAAUGAGAAAAUAACUUUUUUAAUAUACAUAUUUUUAAUACUUUUUGAAAUCAAACAUAGAAUAAAACAUUUGAACAUGAAAACCACUAAAUUCAAUAUACACUCAACAUUUGUCAAAAUGGAAAAGAUUAACGCUUACUGAGUGAUGGCUUUGUACACUCUUCCAAAACUAUCACUUCUAGAAACCUAACAUUUUCCCAAGAACUGUCAUGGAUCUUCAAUUUCCCAUUGUCAAGGGUUUUAGUAAUAGCCCAAUGCUCUAGUUUUGAAUUUCCACCCAUUCGUUUAGCAACGAUCGGCAUGAUAUUAAAUAAUCAUCAUUAUAAUUAUGUGAAGGUAUAUUUGCAUAAUCAUCAUCAACGUUGAAAUGCAUGCAUAGUACCUGAAAAAUUAUAAAGAUCCAUUAGAACCAAAAAUAAAAAAUAAAAAAUCUAAGCCCAGAGAAGGAUAACAAGGAGUUUUGAAUAUUGAGAAGACUGUUGACACAAUGGAUUAUCUUGAACCUAUAGAGUAACUACAAUACUUUGGAUGUAAACAAUUAUGUUGAACCAUAUCAAAAUUUGCUAUUUACAUCUUCUCUAUACUUUAUCUCUUCUAACAUUUUAUAUUAUUUAGUAUUUAUUUUAGUAUCUAUUACUUGCAUAUUUGUAAAAUUUCUAAAAAUAGACUAUUACUAAUUCACUCCCUUUUUAGGUGAUUACCUAAGUUUUUUAUAGUAAACUUCAGAAUAUUCACUUUCAAAGAUUGUCAUGAGCUCCCCUAAAACAUUAUGUAUUGUAAAUUUAAGAAGUAAAAAUAAAUAAAUAAAUUAAACAAUUGUUGUGAUUUUAAUACUUACUCAUUUCCUAGAACCUUAACUUUUUCCAAAGUGUCAUAGAUCUUCGAUUUCUCAUUUCCAUGGGUGGUAGAAAUAGCCCCAGGCUCUAGCUUUGAAUUUCAACCCACUUGUAAAGGCAACCUUUGUCUAGCAAUGACCCGUAUGAUGUGGAUAAUCAUCAUUAUCAUGGAAAAACAUACGUAAACACCUUCAAGAUUAUAAAAAUCCAUUAAAACUUGAGAAAUAUAGGUAUAAAGAAGGAUAAGAAAAAUCUUGAUUGAGAAGAAUGGUGAUAUAGUAGAUCAUCUUAAAACCUACGAAGGAGCUCCAAGGCAUAGUGUGCUGAACCGCAUUAAAAAUUGUUAUUUGCAUAUUCUCUACCUUUUAUCCAUUUACUUUAAGUAUUUUAUAAUAUCUAGUAUUUAUUUUGAUAACAACUAACCAACACAUUUGUAAAAAUUCUAAAAAUAGACCAUCAAUAAUUCACCUUUUUGGCUGAUUACGUAUGGUUUCCAUGAUAGACUUCACAAUAUUCACUUUCUAAGAUCAUAGUGAGCUCCCUCUUUUAACGGGAUGGGGUAAGGUUUAUGAACUAAAGCUAUGAAUAAAUAAAAUUGCAAGGAUAAUUGCUCACAGUUUUAAAUUGCAGAAUCCAUUUCUUAGAGUUUUUCGAAAACACUUCUAGUAUAAAAAACAUUUUUGAUAUAAAAAAAUAGAUAUUUAACAAAAGUUUCAAACACUUUUAAAAAGUCACAAAAACCAUUUCUAGUGUUUUUUUCGAGAAAUAUUUGAUAGAUGAUUAUCCUAAAAUAUCUUAGAGAGAAAGUAAUUCAAAUGAAAAUAUGUUCAAACUUAGGUGGUGUUUUAUUGAUUUAUUUUUACUUAAUUCUAAAUAGAAAUUAAAACUAAAUAGUCAUUAAAUAGUGUUAAGUAUGAAGUUAUUUGCUUUUAUAAUAUUUUAUUUCUAUUAAGCAAUAAAAAAUAAAGAAAUUUUUUUAUUUCUAUUAAAUAUUAAAAUAUAAAGAAAAACCAACAUAUUAUUUUUUGCAUUUAGAAAAAGUUAAAUAUUUUGCUUUUUUCUAUUCAACAAAAAAAAAUAUAAAAAGCCAUAAAAAAGUAGAAAAACAAAUAAUUUAAAGUCUGAAAGUAAAUUACUUUAAGCAAAAAAUUUAAGAAAACAAACACCCUUUAAGUAUCCACCUCAUUCUCGUUAAUAGAAACAAGAAACAUGAUACGAAGAGUGCAUUUGAUAAUAUUUCUAUUCCAAAUGUUUGUGUAAAAUUAUUUUUUAAAUGAUCACCUAUUAAGUGCUUCUUCAAAAAUUAAUAUUACAAGUAAUUUUUCAAUUUUUUAAAAUGUGUUUUUCUAAAUUUUACCAAAUCUCGUAUUUUUCUUCUACUCAUAAUUCAAUACCCAUUCAACAUAAUAAGAGGAGAGAUUGACGGGUGAUGGAUUUGUACACUAUCCCAAAACUCCCAAGUCCUAGAAGCUCAACCGUUUCCCAGAAGUUAUAAAUCUUGAAUUUCUCAUUCUCAUAGAUUUUAGCAAACGCACUAGGAUCUAGCAUUGAAUUUCCACCUGAAUACAUGCUGGUAGGCAUGGUAACAUACAAUGAUUUAUCCUGUAAGAAGAUCUACCAAGAACUAGACUAUUGUGAAACAAACUUUUGAACAGUUACUAGGGGGAGAAUAACACUUACUGGGUGAUGACUUCGUGCAUUCUACCAAAACUCCCACUUCCUAGAAGCUCAACCUUCGGCCAAGAACUAUCCAUGGAUCCUCAAAUUCCCAUUCCCAUGGGUUGCAGCAGUAGCCAUGGGCUGUAGCUUUGAAUUUCCACCCACUGGUUUGAAAGCCAACUUCUCUUUAGUGACGGCCCACAUCAUAGGGCUAACCAUUUCCAUGGAUGAGAGGACCGAAGCUUAUACCACUUCAAUCAUUACUUCGAUCGAAGAAAGAGGCAUGAUCAGGAUAAUCAGAUGCGUCAACGAUGCGACCAAACUGAGAGAUUUUCUCACCAUUAUCGCUUCCCUCAAAGAAAGCCACAUGAUUUUGGCCCAACCAAGAGAUGCUUUGGUUGAUGAUAGCAAAAGCUCCUGCUUCAAACCAUCAAUAAUAUAUCAAUGGCCCGCCGGAUCUACCCUCUUCCCAUGAAUUAUUUAUUUACUUGAGGAAUGAGUCAAGCUUAUAAAUUAUUUAUAGGUUAAUUUCAUUCACCACCCCUAAGGUUUUGAUUAAAUACAUCUAACUCUCACAGGUUUGAAAUUUUAUCAAAUACCUCAUCUAUCCUUUUCAUUUUUUAUUUUCACUCAGUCUCCCUUCUUACUCAAAAUAAGUGAAGUAUAUGAUGAAAUUUCAAACUUCUCAGUAUUAGAUAUACUUAGCCAAAAACUCAAGGAAGGUGAAUGAAAUUAACCCAUUAUUUAUUUGGUUGGCAGAGUAGUAAAUGAAGGUUCUUAUCAUGCUUGAAGUCAGACAUAGAUCCGAAACUUCAAUUUUGAGAAACACUUUAAAAAAAAAAAUGAUAAAGUAUUAAUUUUUUUUAUAAAGCCUUUGAUAGAUUAUUAGUUUAAAGAUUUUUUUAGAGGAGAUAGCAACACUCUGAAACUCUCACUAUUACUCCACUCAAGAUCAUCAUUCAUUUAUAAAAAAAUGUCACCUUAUAUUUGUUUCUAAAUCUUUAAUUUAAUAAAUAAGAUUAAAUAUAUUGUGUUUAAUUCUUUCUACUUUAAAAAUAAAAAAUAAAAUUAUAAAAAUGGAUCUAAUUUCACUUAACUUUUUUAUUUUCAUUUAUGUUAUUCAUGGCCUCCCAAGAACCUCUGCAGAAAGAGUUCAAAUCAGAAUCAAAGAAAAAUACAAUGGAGUAGUAUCGUAUGACUUUCUAACCUACGAAGAACUAAUAAACUUCGUAAACCAAGAAGUUUAUCUCUUUGCCCGCUUAUCAAAGUUAAUGUUAAGAUCAAGAAAGAUCUUAGAACCUCAAAGAAAGAAUUAGGAUCUUUUUGUGCGGGUAUGAGAAGAUUCUUCCACCCUCUAUUAAAAAAGAAAAUAUUAUAGGUCAAAACAUAGAAAACCAAAAUCAAACUGAAAAUACUCAAAAUAUAGAGGAAAAGAAAAACAAGAUUAUCAAAGAUCAAAAUCUAAAGAACAUUCAAAGAAAAUAUACAAAAGGGAAAUAAAAUUUUUCAAAUGUGGUAAAAAGGGACACGUAGCCCCAAACUAUAAAAUCAAAGAAAUUAUAAAAGACAUAGACAUACGAAGCCUUCUCAAGGAAUAGAUGACUAAUCUAAUCAAAUCAAAAUCUUCUAACUAAAUGUCCUCAAAGACAACAAGUAGUGAGGAACAACUCCUUCUAAUCGAAGAAGACUCUUUUGAAACCUUUGAUGACCUUUCCUUAAAUCCUCUUGCAACUGUGUAGAAAAUUGCCUUUGUAAUAUCAAAACUAUUAAUGUCCUAACAAGUGAACAAAACCUCUUAAUAAAAAUGAUAGAUAAAAUUCCAGACCCUCAAAUCCAACAUGAAUAUAUCAAAAAAUAUUUAGAAUUUCAAAAACAAGAAAGAGAGACUAGGGAAGCAAAUACAAAUCAAUAUAGUCUAAAACCUAUUUUGGAUCAACCUCUAAACCAAAAACAACAAAUAUUCAAGAUCUUCAAAAUGAAAUAAGUCAAAUUAAGCUUCAAAUUAGAGACUUAAUAAUUCAAAAUGAAGGAUUAGACAUUAGGCUUCAAAAAUUAGAAAAUCAUCUAAUAACCUUUAAACAGGAAAAUAAGUUAAAAACAGUAGGAUAUCAACCUGAAACCCUUACACAUAGAUUAUAAAAUUUCAAAUGUAUACAUAUGCAAUCAAAAUGUUUGUUAUAAAACCUCCUUCCUUCUAGUAAAAAAUAUGCAACAAGAAGUAAUAUUGGGAACACCUUUCUUAACUCUACUUUAUCCAUUUAAAGUAGAUAAAGAAGGAAUAAAAACAAUUAUAAAGGGCAAACGAUUUGUUUUGAGUUUGCUAGUCCUAUCAAACACAAAGAACUUAGCCUUCUCCACAAUGAUGGAAUGAAGCAACUGAAUUUAAUUCAAAAGAAAAAAAAACAUAUCAAAUUCCUAAGUAAAGAAAUUCAUUAUCAAAGAAUAGAAGAAAACCUCCUUCAAAGACAGAUCCAAGAUAUAAUAAAUAAAGUCAAAAACCAAAUUGAAACAUAACUAUGCUCUUCAGUUCCUAAUGCUUUUUGGGACACAAAGAAACAUGAAGUUUCUUUGCCUUAUAUAGAAGGAUUUAAUGAAAAUCAAAUUCCUACUAAGGCAAGGCCCAUUCAAAUGAAUGAACAUAUGUUAGAAUAUUAUAAGAAAGAAAUUUAAGAUCUCUUGGACAAUAACCUAAUAUGAAAAAGCCACUCACCUUGGAUUUGUGCGGCAUUUUAUGUUAAAAAGCCUUCAGAGAUUGAAAGAGGUGUUCCAAGACUUGUAAUCGAUUACAAGCCCUUAAAUAAGGUCCUCAAAUGUAUUGGGUAUCCAAUACCUAAUAAACGAGAUCUUAUUGGACGUCUUCAUAAUGCUUUGAUCUUUUCAAAAUUUGACAUGAAGUCUGGAUUUUGGCAAAUUCAACUUCAUGAAAAAGACAAAUACAAAAUUGCAUUCACAGUUCCAUUCGGGCACUAUGAAUGGAAUGUGAUGCCAUUCGUUUUGAAGAGUGCUCCUUCAGAAUUUCAAAAUAUAAUGAAUGGCAACUUCAAUCCCCAUACUAACUUCUCUAUAGUAUACAUUGAUGAUGUACUUAUAUUUUUUUAAUUCCAUUGAGCAUUAGUUUAAACAUCUAAACAUCUUUCAAAAUAUUGUUAAAGAAAAUGGUUUAGUGGUUUUAGCCCCUAAGAUUAAACUAUUUCAAACCAAGAUUAAGUUCUUAGGAUUCGAAAUAUACCAAAGGAAAGUCAAACCUAUUCAAAGAUCUAUAGAGUUUGCUAGCAAGUUUCUUGAUGAAAUCAAAGAAAAAACCCAACUUUAAAGGUUUUUAGGAAGUCUGAAUUAUGUGUUGGACUUCUACCCAAAUCUUAAAACCUUAAUCAAACCCUUCUAUCAUAGGCUUAGACAAAAUCCCAAGCCCUAGACUCAAGAACACACAUAUAUAAUCAAAAUUGUCAAACAAUAGUUUAAAAGUCUUCCUUGCUUAGAAAUCCUUAAUCUUUUAGUAUUUCCUAUUAUAGAAACAAAUGUCUCUAAUAUAUGGUGAUUACUACUCAAAAAGUGUUAUUUUAUAGCUUGUAAUUAACUCUUUUAAACACUUUUGAGUAGUAGUUAUUACCUUUUAACUCAAUUGGCAUGUUAAGGACCCUUGCAAUCGUUUCUAAUCAAAUUGUGUUAAGUUUUGGUGUUUUUCAUAGCUUUUUGAUCACUAAAGCAAUCCAAGAAUGAGGGAGAUCUUUGUAUAGUUCAUGGAAAAGCAAUUUGAAGCUCAAAUUCAUGAAAAAAACUAAGCUUUGGAGCUUCAUAACCCUUUGCCAAAGCCAAACGAGGAUACAAGGAAGAAAAUCACAGAAGAAAUCAACCAUCCAGCAAUUUCGCAAGUUGUGGAAUCCAACUUGCAAAAUUUUCUCAACUUGGAAAUAGGAAGAGCAAAGAAAUCGCUGCAAGAUAGAGAACUAAUUAGUUGCAGGACAAUUUCGCAACUUGUGAAACCACAAUUUCAACUUGCAAAAUGGACAAUUUCAACUUGCAAAAUUUUCGCAAGUUGCGUUUGAACUUGCGAAAUCCACCUGUAAUCUGAGAUAUUUGCGCUCCUACUCCGUUUGAUGUUUAUCUUCAGAUAUUUGUGUGUAAAUCCCUAUUUUCUCCUUGUAACCCACCAAUGACAAGUUUUUUUAUUGGAAAAUUAGCAGAAGGGAUGAAUAGCCUCUCUAUAUAAUAUCUAUUGUAAUGUUCUUUUAAAAAGAUCUCUAGGGAGUUUUUCUCGAAGACGAACUUUGUAUAGUUUUUCAGAAAGUAAUACACAGAGCUUUGCUCUAUCUUACCUUCUCAUUUUGUUUUCUCUUUUAUUUUUAUUUCUAGCAAAUCAAACUCUGAGGAUGUUUUCCUAGAGGAUGAGUGGCUAGGCUUUUUGUUUCUUGGAGUGAAGAAAGCUAGGUAAGGUUCCGAAUACAAAAGUGGAAGUUUCGUUGUUUCAAUUUUUAAUGAAGAGAAAGUGUGACCCGUUAAUGGUUUUUAUCUUUUUAAUUAACUUAAAAUCCCUUAAAAUCACCUGGGCCAACACUUGGUAAGGCAAGUGGACUCCGUCCGUUGAGAUCCACUAAUUUAUCUCUUGCGAGCCUCUGAAGGUGGUUUAAAGGUAGGAUUAUCUAGAAUAGCCAACACUUGGUAAGCUUUUGAACUCCUAGGAGACAUCCAUUAGUUAUCUCUUGCGAGCUUUUGACGGGUAAUCCAAGGUUAAGGAUCACCUUGAAUGGCCAAUACUAGGUGAGAGGUAUGAACCAUUGCAAGACGAUUCAGUGACAGGGAUUUAGUGUUUGAAACCAUUAAGGGGAAGCAUUUGUACCACACCGGUUCAGGAAAUAACUAUAUGUUAAAUCUCCAAUGCGAGGAAAAGAUCCAAGUGACCGGAAUCUCCCUUUUUGUAUAAGGAACCUGAGCCUAGUGAUCUAAAACUCCAAGAAGCACUUUUCUUUGUAAGUAAUUUUAGUUACUUUAUUUUUUGUUUCACUUAAAACCAACCUUUUCACACAUACUUAUGUUUUCUUUUAAAGUUAACCUUGAAAAGAAAAAACACCAAUUUAGUUUUUGAACUAAUAUCAGUUGUAAUUUGAAAACCCAUCUCUGUGGACGAUCCUAAAGCCACUUUGCUAUGCUAGCUAAUGCUACCCUAGUAUAUGGUGAAAUAGGUUUAUAAAUUUUGUUAAUUACUCCCGUUUGAGGACUGAAAUCAAAGCACACCAGUUGGUUAAACACCAAUCAACAGGGCAUACACCAGCUGGGCACGAAUCAAAUGGUGCCGUUAUCGGGGAUGGUGCCAACUUUACAGUGAUAUAACCUUUUCCAAAACACUUGUGAUCUUCAUGACAAGUUUGAUGACUUUUCUCUUCUUUUACUAACUCUUUUUAAUUGUUUUUUUUACUUGUUCAUAUUUUAGCCUAUCUUUUAAUUUAGUUUUUAGUUAAUCUUAGUUUUUUUUUUGUAGUAUUGUUUUCUUUUGUUUUCUUUGUUUUUGUUACAGUUGUUACUAGUUGUGUAUGCCAUAUUGGAUACGAGACAGUGGAGGAAGACAUGUGAAAAUUGAAACACCUCACAAAACAGGGUUGGAAUUGUGCUUGAACAUCAUGGAAGCUACACCUGAAGAUCAGCAUAGUCACCAUGGUCAGCAGGACAAUCCUAAUGCAUUCAGAUCAAUGAGGAACCGCAUGCAUCCACCUCGUAUGAGUGCACCAUCAUGCAUAGUGCCUCCUAUAGAGCAGCUAGUAAUCAGACUACAUAUUGUGCCACUUCUACCUACUUUCCAUGGGAUGGAAAGUGAGAAUCCCUAUGCGCAUAUUAAAGAAUUUGAAGACAUUUGUAAUACAUUCCAAGAGGGAGAAGCUUCAAUCGACUUGAUGAGGCUAAAACUAUUUCCUUUCACUCUAAAGGAUAAGGCCAAAAUUUGGCUUAAUUCUUUAAGGCCAAGGAGUAUCUGAAAUUGGACUGAUUUGCAAGCUGAAUUUCUCAAGAAAUUUUUCCCUACUCAUAGGACCAAUGGCUUGAAAAGGUAAAUUUCAAACUUCUCAAUUAAAGAGAAUGAGAAAUUCUAUGAGUGUUGGGAGAGAUACAUGGAAGCUAUCAAUGCUUGUCCUCACCAUGGCUUUGAUACAUGGAUAUUGGUGAGCUACUUUUAUGACAGUAUGUCUUCCUCAAUGAAACAACUCCUAGAGACUAUGUGCGAAGGAGAUUUCAUGAGUAAGAAUCUGGAGGAAGCCAUGGAUUUCUUGAAUUAUGUUGUUGUCAAGAUGAUGGGAUGAACCAAACAGGGGAGAAGUGGGAAGAAUGAAGUUUCAACCAAAUGCUCUUAAUGCUAAGGUUGGGAUGUAUACCUUGAACGAAGAUAUUGACAUGAAAGCAAAAGUUGAGCUAUGACAAGAAGAUUGGAGGAGCUAGAACUGAAAAAGAUACAUGAAGUGCAAGCCAUUUCUGAAACACCAGUGCAAGUUAUGCCCUGUUCCAUUUGUCAAUCUUAUGAGCACUUGGUGGAGGAGUGUCCUACAAUUCCAGCUGUUAGAGAAAUGUUUGGAGAUCAAGUAAAUGUUAUUGGACAAUUCAAGCUCAAUAACAAUGCUUCAUAUGGAAAUACCUACAAUUCAAAUUGGAGGAAUCAUCCAAAUUUCUCCUGGAAACCAAGAGCACUUCAGUACAUGCAACCAGACCAAGCAUCUCAACAAACUUCAAAUCUUGAGCAAGCAAUAGUGAAUCUAAGCAAGGUCGUGGGAGAUUUUGUUGGAGACCAGAAAUCCAUCAACGAUCAACUCAGUUAAAGAAUCGAUAGUGUAGAGAAUACGGUGAAUAAAAGGAUGGAUGGAAUGCAAAAUGAUCUAUCUCAGAAGAUAGAUAAUCUCCAAUACUCAAUCUCAAGGCUCACCAACCUUAACACAGUGCAAAAGAAAGGAAGGUUUCCUUCUCAACCUCACCAAAACCCCAAGGGUAUCCAUGAAGUGAAGGCUCAUGAGGGAAAAUCUUCAUAGGUGGGGGACAUCAAAGCCAUGAUCACUCUGAGGAGUGGUAAAGAGGUUGGGCUGCCAACACCUAAGCUACAUGAUGAAAUAGAGAGUGAAAAAGAGACAGAGAAGAUGGAGGAAAUCAAAGGAAAGAAGAAAGGGAGCAGUGGAAGGAAAGAGGACCAUGAUUCAACAGUGAAUGAAGAUCCGGAAAAGAUAGUUAUCAAUGAAGAUGUGAUGAAGAAACACAUGCCUCCACAUUUUCCUCAAGCUUUGCAUGGGAAAAAGGGAAUCAACAAUGCAUCAGAAAUUCUUGAAGUAUUGAGGCAAGUGAAGGUCAACAUCCCAUUGCUAGACAUGAUCAAACAAUUGUCGACUUAUGCAAAAUUCCUGAAGGACUUGUGCACUAUAAAAAAAGGGUUGAAUGUGAAUAAGAAAGCCUUCUUGACUGAGCAAGUAAGUGUCAUCAUACAGUGCAAGUCUCCAGUGAAGUAUAAAGAUCUGGGUUGUCCUACCAUCUCAGUGAUGAUUGGAGGGAAGUUAGUGGAGAAAGCUUUGUUGAACUUGGGGGCAAGUGUGAAUUUGCUACCAUACUCUGUCUACAAGCUAUUGGGACUUGGUGAAUUGAAGCCAACAUCAAUCACUCUAUCUCUAGUAGAUAGAUCAGUGAAGAUUCCAAGAGGGAUGAUUGAAGAUGUCUUAGUUCAAGUUGACAAUUUCUACUAUCCAGUGGAUUUUGUUGUUCUUGAUACGGACCCAAUUGUCAAAUGAACUAAUUAUGUUCCUAUCAUACUUGGAAGACCAUUCCUACCUACAUCAAAUGCAAUCAUCAAUUGUAGGAAUGGACUCAUGCAACUCAUGUUUGGCAACAUGACAUUAGAGCUCAAUAUCUUCUAUAUGUGCAAGAAGCCAAUCAAUCCGGAAGAAGAAGAAGGUCCAGAAGAGGUGUGCAUCAUUAACACUUUAGUGGAGGAGCAUUGUAAUAAAAAAAAUACAAGAGGAGUUGAAUGAAAGUCUUGGGGAUCUUGAUGAAGGGUUACCUGAACCCUCAUAUUUGCUUGCUACUCUACCACCUUAGAGGAGGAUAGAAUAAAUUCUACAUUUGUUCAAUGAGGAAGAGACACAAGAAGCUGUUAAAUAGGAGGCCUCAAAGUUUAUUCUGAAGCCACUACCCACGGAGUUGAAGUAUGCAUACCUAGAAGAGAAUAAGAAGUGCCCCGUUGUUAUAUCUUCAUCUCUUACCACUCUUCAGGAGGAGUGUUUACUUGAAGUUCUCAGAAGAUGUAAGAAAGCAAUAGGAUGGCAAAUAUCUGACUUGAAAGGUAUUAGCCCUUUAGCCUAUACACAUCAUAUAUACAUGGAAGAAGAAGCUAAGCCAGUUCGUCAACCUCAAAGAAGAUUGAAUCCUCAUAUGCAAGAGGUGGUGCGAGCUGAGGUUCUUAAGCUACUUCAAGCCGGUAUUAUCUAACCCAUAUCAGAUAGCCCAUGAGUAAGUCCUACUCAAGUAGUGCCAAAGAAAUCAGGGAUCACAGUGGUGCAAAAUGAUAAGGGAAAAGAAGUUGGUACAUGUCUCACUUCAGGUUGGAGGGUGUGUAUUGAUUAUAGAAAACUGAAUGUUGUGACAAGGAAGGAUCAUUUUCCAUUGUCAUUUAUUGAUCAAGUGUUGGAGAGAGUCUCAGGCCAUCCUUUCUAUUGUUUCUUGGACGGCUACUCCAGGUAUUUUCAAAUAGAAAUUGAUGUUGAAGACCAGGAGAAGACCACUUUCACAUGUCCAUUUGGAACAUAUGCCUACAGAAGAAUGCCUUUUGGUUUAUGCAAUGCACCUACAACAUUCCAAUGAUGUAUGUUAAGUAUUUUCAGUGAUAUGGUGGAGCGUAUUAUGGAAGUUUUUAUGGAUGAUAUUACCAUAUAUGGAAGCACAUUUGAGGAAUGCUUAGUCAACUUGGAAGCUGUUCUGAACCGAUGCAUUGAAAAGAACUUAGUGCUUAACUGGGAGAAAUGUCAUUUUAUGGUACAUCAAGGAAUUGUCCUUGGCCACAUCAUCUCCAAGAAAGGCAUUGAAAUUGAUAAAACAAAGGUGGAACUUAUUGUCAAAUUGUCAUCCCUAACAACUAUAAAAGGAGUAAGGCAAUUCCUUAGCCAUGUUGGGUUCUAUAGAAGGUUUAUUAAAGAUUUCUCUAAACUUUCAAAGCCUCUUUGUGAACUAUUGGUGAAGGAUGUUAAAUUCGUAUGGGAUGAGAGAUGUCAAAAGAGUUUUGAGCAACUAAAAUAGUUCUUGACAACCGCUCCAAUAGUGAGGGCUCCUAACUGGCAACUACCUUUUGAAGUGAUGUGUGAUGCCAGUGACUUUGCUAUAGGAGUUGUUCUGGGUCAAAGAGAGGAUGGAAAGCCCUAUGUGAUCUACUAUGCAAGCAAAACAUUGAACGAAGCGCAAAGAAACUACACAACCACAAAGAAAAAAUUGUUGGCUAUAGUUUUUACCUUGGACAAAUUUCAUGCUUAUCUGGUAGGGUUUUUCAUUGUGGUUUUCAUUGACCACUCAGCUUUGAAGUACUUAUUGACAAAGUAAGAUGCAAAAGCAAGGCUGAUUAGAUGGAUUCUCUUACUACAAGAGUUCAAUCUCCAAAUUAAAGACAAGAAAGAAGUGGAGAAUGUGGUAGCUGACCACCUUUCAAGGCUGGCUAUAGCGCAUAAUUCCCAUGGUUUGCCUAUUAAUGAUGAUUUUUCGAGGGAGUCACUCAUGUUGUUAGAAGAUGCUCCUUGGUAUACUCAUAUUUCUAACUAUCUAGUUACUAGUGAAGUUCCAAGUGGGUGGAAAGCACAAUAUAGGAAGAACUUUUUCUUUUCAAGUAUUGUGCAGAUCAAAUAAUAAGGAAGUGUGUCCCUAAACAAAAGCAAUAGGGGAUCCUCAGUCAUUGCCACAAAAGCGCAUGUGGAGGCCACUUUGCCUCUUAGAAAACAACCAUGAAGGUGUUGCAAUCAGGUUUUAGUUGGCCAUCACUUUUCAAAUAUGCUCACACCAUGUGCAGGAGCUAUGAUAGAUGCCAAAGGCUUGGGAAGUUAACACGUAGGAACCAAAUGCCUAUGAACCCCAUUUUAAUAGUUGAUCUUUUCGAUGUUUGGGGCAUUGACUUCAUAGGACCUUUCCCUAUGUCUUUUGGUAACUCUUACAUUUUGGUGAGGGUAGACUAUGUUUCUAAAUGGGUUGAGGCAAUCCCAUGUAAACACAAUGACCACAAAGUUGUUCUCAAGUUUCUCAAAGAGAACAUCUUCUCAAGAUUUGGGGUGCCCAAGGCCAUAAUCAGUGAUGGAGAUACUCAUUUUUGCAACAAGCCUUUUAAAACUCUCUUAGCCAAGUAUGGGGUGAAGCACAAGGUAGCUACACCUUACCACCCUCAAAAUUCUGGGCAAGUUGAGUUAGCAAACAGGGAAAUCAAGAAUAUAUUGAUGAAGGUAGUGAACACGAGUAGAAGAAAUUGGUCUGUUAAGCUCCAUGAUUCACUAUGGGCAUACAGAACAGCUUACAAGACUAUUCUUGGCAUGUCUUCUUAUCGCCUAGUCUAUGGCAAAUCAUGCCAUCUCCCUAUGAAAGUUGAAUACAAGGCUUGGUGGGUAAUUAAGAAGGUAAACAUGGACUUGAACAAAGUCGGGAUGAAGAGAUGCUUAGAUCUUAAUGAGAUGGAGGAAUUGAGAAAUGAUGCCUACAUCAAUUCCAAAAUUGCAAAACAGGGGAUGAAGAGGUGGCAUGAUCAGUUAAUAUCUAACAAAGAAUUUCAAAAGGGACAAAGAGUCUUACUCUAUGACUAUAGGCUCCACAUCUUUCCAAGAAAGCUCAAAUCAAGGUGGAUAGGCCCUUUCAUUAUUCACCAAGUGCAUUCCAAUGGAAUAGUGGAACUACUCAAUUCCAACAGCACAAACACUUUCAAAGUCAAUAGUCACCGUCUCAAGCCAUUCAUGGAGCCUUUCAAUCAAGACAAUGAGGAAGUCAGUCUCCUUGAGCCACAACAAUCUUAACCAAAAAGGGGUAGAUGGACUUAGUAUUUCUAAAGACUAACCAAAGUCCAUGUUUUUUGUUUCAAUUUUGUUGAUUUAAAAGCUUUAUUAUUUGUUUUAAUUUUAAUUCUAGCUUUAAUUUAUUUUAUUUUGAUCUAACUUAGACUUUUUGGAUGAUCAAAAUUAGAAGGAACUUCAAAGGAAUUGAAGGAAAGCCUUAAAGAACCAAAGAAGGAGAAAAAGCCUGAAAAACAAAGCAAUAUUUCAACUUGCAAAAAUUUCGUAAGUUGAAAUUCCAACUUGCGAAAAUGGGGGCCAACUUGCGAAAUCCUCAAAGCUCAAAUUCGCAAGUCCACCAUUCAACUUGCAAAAAUUUUCGCAGCCUGCGAAAGCACCUCCAAGCACACAUGUGCCAUUUCGCAAGUUCGUUUUCCAUUUUCACAGCCUAUGAAUCAACUUACGAAUCAAGUUGCGAAAUGGGGCAACUUGCGAAUUCCAGGGAACUUGCAAAAAUGCCAACCGUCAUUAAAUCCAUAUUUAAACCCCUAAUUCUUCCAUUUUCAUUUUGCACAGCCAUUCCAAGUUGCGAAAAAGCCCUAUCAAGUUGUAAAGCCCCAAAUUCCAGAGCAUCUCCUCCAUUGUAAGCCCUAAGGUCGUGCAUCUGAAGAGGAAACGCCUCCGCGUACCCAACAUGCACCCUGUGGAACACAAGCCGAGAAAUUCCUCUCCAUUUCAGCCAUGGCCAAGACAAGAGGAGCCCAUGUCGUGUUUCCAUCAACUCGCAAUCCAAGGCCAAGAGCUUUACCUGCACGGGAUUCCACAUCUGAGGCCCCAUAGGCCCCUACCAUUCCACCUUUUGAGGGUAGAGUGCGAUCUAACCCUCCUCAGCAUAGGUAUGAAACGAGGAGACCACCCACUACACUUGGGGCAAGCACUUUGCGCCCCAAGAGAUCAGUUCGUCACCCUCCUGCAAAGAAAGCUAAAGUUUCAGGCCCAGGAGAGUCAUCUGCACCUCCACACCCUCAGCCGCCUGCUAUAGAGUCUCAGAUUCCUUCUAGGAUGACUCCAGAAGCAAUUAUCAAGCGACCUAUGGUUACACAACCACCUAUUGAGGGAAAUUUGGAUUACAGAGCUAGGCUAUUCCACUCCAAGCUAUGUUUUGAUAUGUAGACUUUCAAACAGAAGCCGAAGCUUAGAGAUUCAUUCCGCCUACUACAGAGAUACCAUUUGGAGCACCUGAUGACUCCUAGAGACUUCUUCUAUCCUAGAGUAGCACUAGACUUCUAUCAGUCUAUGACUACUCAUCACGUCCAGAAUCCUAAUGUCACACUUCACUAUUGAUGGACGCCAUGGUAUCCUUGGAGCUAGACAGAUUGCAGAGGCCCCGCAUAUUCCAUAUGAGCCUGUGAGUCCAGCAGAUUUCAGAGAGUGGUCCCAUUUUUCUCAGAGAGACAUGGUCCGUAUAUUGUCCAGGGGGACCUCUACACGCUCAUUUCUUCUAAGGAAAGAGCUUCCACCUGGGAUGCUCCUUGUAGAUGUGGUGUUGCGCUCCAACAUCUUUCCACUUCAGCAUAUGGUGCAAAGUAGAGGAGCUAUAUUGGAGUUUUAUUCCGAAUAUCAGAGGGUUUCUGCUUUGGCCCUCAUCAUUUGAUUAUGACCUCUCUUCUCCACUUUGAAGAGAAGGUCCACAGGAAGAAGCUCCAAAGAGCAUAUGCCAUUCCAUUACUUUUUCCCAGGCUACUCUGUCAGAUAUUAGAGCAUUUGGGUUAUCCUUCUGAGCCUCAGCUUGAGCGUCACCGCAUUUUUCGAGAGCUAUUCACUCUUAACAAAUGAAAUCAUUUAACGGCCUAUGUUGCACCUCCAAGAGCCCCAGAUAUGCCAGCACCUCUAAAGCCACCACAGGAUGAGCAGCCACCACAGACACAACAAGCACAGUAGGCUGAGAUACCUACAGAGAUCAUACCACCUGCCCCUGCAGCACCUUCUACAGUGCCCACACCUGAGGCUACAUCUUUUGCUCCUCCUACCACUCCUAAAGCUCCACCAGUUGUACCAGUUACAUCAUCACCUCCUCCAUCUAAGUCCUCUAUCACCAUAUCCACUUCAGAGUUUAGAGGCCUAUGUGAUACAUUGCAAACAUUGAGCACCACUCAAGGUGCUCUCUUCCAGCAGAUGGCAGUCAUACGUGCACAUCAGGAUCAGCUUAUUACCAUGCAAACCCAGCAUACUACCAUCAUUAGUCAGAUACAGCAGCAUUUGGGUAUUCUGCCACCACCUGAGCAUGAUAUGCCUAGCCCAUCAGAGCCUACAGCUCCAUUUAAGGAAGCUACUCCAGCAGAGCAGACUAUGCCUCAUGAGGAGACUACUACAGCAGAGGUCGAGACUCCUAUCCAGAGCACUCAGGAGACCACAGUAAAGUCAUUGUCUCCACAUGAUCCUCCCACCACUACCUGAUCAUCUAUAUACUUUUUGUAUUUACUUAUUAUAGCAGAACUGUUAAUCUCAUGUUUUUUAUGUUUUCUAUAUUGGGAUUGGAUGUAGUACUUGCGCAUACUUUCUUAAAGUAAUACAUAUCCAUCAUUUUUUAGUAUACUUGGCAUAUUUUUAUUUAUUUCCUCUACUCAUUAUUUUUUUUUUAGUUUUUUGAAUCAUGUGGUUUCUCCUAUACAAUUCAGACUCUAUUCCACUCAGGAGGUACCACUUCCUCCCUUUAUUUUCAAUUACUCUUCACACAUUGAGGGCAAUGUUUAGCAUGGUUAGGGGGAGUUGAGAAAGGAAGUAUUUUUUAUAAUGCUAGGUUAUAAAUGGUAAUUUAGUUACUUUUUGUUUAAAUUUUUUUAAAAAUAAAAUUAAAUACUCUUCAUGGUUAUCAAGGAAAAAUUCUCAAAAUGAAAUGGGAGAAAUUGAAUUUUUGUCUUUUUACUUGACUUAGAGUUUGUAUUAUGCUUAUUAAAGUUGAUGAACUGUUGAAAAUUCUAUUGAAUUCAACCUUAUUUCUUCCACUUUAAGCUUACCACACACUGUGCACACUAGGUUCCGAUUAUAAGAUGAAAAACUAUUUCACCCAUUGACUUAGGAAAUUUUAAACUUGGUACCUUUGACCUCAUUUUAAUAAUUUUGGGACACCUUAGAAAAGGCCGAUGAGCCUUUGAAAAGAGAAUAAAGAAAAAAAAAUGUUUUACUUGCCUUGAAACCCGAGCAAGGUCUGAGGAGUAUAUGGUAAAAAUCUUUAAAACCUGAUGCCCUAAACCUUCAUUGGUUGGGAGUCACCAACCUCAAUGCUCGUUACAAGGGUGAAUAGGUGGAGUUUAACAUACUGUAGGUGCUUGGGUAUUGAAUUCCAAUCUCAAAAGUCCGGGGUAAAAUCCGAGGAGUUAGUAGUCGAAAGAUCCUUAAGCUUGAUGCCCUAAACCUUAAUUAGUUGGGAGUCAUCGAUGGACCCCCGUUACAUGGACAAUUUAGAAAAGAAUACCUUUAAGCUUUGUACUCCUACAAGAAAAAAAAAGUGUGAAAUAAAUGAGAUGUGUUCUUAGCCUAUUGGAGGUUGUCAGUUUGCUAAGAUUUGAAAAAGAGCUAAGUUGGGGGGAGAGAUUAGUUCAGCAUACUAUAUUCAGAAACUAAUAAGUAACACUUAGAUUUUUGUGGAAGAGUAAGGAUUGACCCUUUGGGAGUGGAAAUUCUUUUAAAGCUUAAAUUUGCAUAAUGUCUUCUCUUUAUGAAUUGUGAUUAGGCAAUUUAUUUGAUAACUCUUGUUGAAGUUUGAGUUUUAUAUCUUUAAUGUUCCAUGUGAGAGUAUGAUCAUCAUGCCACUUGAAAUUUUUUAGAAUGAUCAGCAUGAUGUUGCAAAUUAUAGUACUAUUUAUUUUUAUUUUUCUCUCUUUCAUUACUAAGGGACUAGUAAUAUGUCGGUUGGAUGGAGUGAUUACUACUCAAAAAGUGUUAUUUUAUAGCUUGUAAUUAACUCUUUUAAAUACUUUUAAGUAGUAGUUAUUACUUUUUAACUCAAUUGGCAUGUUAAGGACCCUUGCAAUCGUUUCUAAUCAAAUUGUGUUAAGUUUUGGUGUUUUUCAUAGCUUUUUUAUCACCAAAGCAAUCCAAGAAUGAGGGAGAUCUUUGUAUAGUUCAUGGCAAAGCAGGUUGAAGCUCAAAUUCAUGAAGAAACUAAGCUUUGGAGCUUCAUAAGCCUUUGCCAAAGCCAAACGAGGAUGCAAGGAAGAAAAUCACAGAAGAAAUCAACCAUCCAGCAAUUUUGCAAGUUGUGGAAUCUAACUUGCGAAAUUUUCGCAACUUGCGAAAUAGGAAGAGCAAAGGAAUCGCUGCAAGACAGAGAGCUGAUUAGUUGCAAGACAAUUUCGUAGCUUGCGAAACCACAAUUUCAACUUGCGAAAUUUUCGUAAGUUGCGUUUGAACUUGCUAACUCCACCUGUAAUCUGAGAUAUUUACGCACCGACUCCGUUUGAUGUUUAUCUUCAGAUAUUUGAGUGUAAAUCCCUAUUUUCUCCUUGUAACCCACCAAUGACAAGUUUUCUUGGUUGGGAAGUUAGCAGGAGGGGUGAAUAGUCUCUCUAUAUAAUAUCUAUUGUAAUUUUCUUUUAAAAAGAUCUCUGAGGAGUUUUUCUCGGAGACAAACUUUGUAUAGUUUUUCAAAAAGUAAUACACAGAGUUCUGCUCUACCUUACCUUCUCAUUUUGUUUUCUAUUUUAUUUUUAUUUCUAGCAAAUCAAACUCUAAGGAUGUUUUCCCAGAGGAUGAGUGGCUAGGCAUUUUGUUUCUUGGAGUGAAGGAAGCUAGGUAAGGUUCCGAAUACAAAAGUGGAAGUUUCGUUGUUUUAGUUUUCAAUGAAGAGAAACUGUGACCCGUUAAUGGUUUUUAUCUUUUUAGUUAACUUAAAAUCCCUUAAAAUCACCUGGGCCAACACUUAGUAAGGCAAGUGGACUCCAUCCAUUGAGAUCUACUAGUUUAUCUCUUGCAAGCCUCUAGAGGUGGUUUAAAGGUAGGAUUAUCUAGAAUAGCCAACACUUGGUAAGCUUUUGGACUCCUAGGAAACAUCCAUUAGUUAUCUCUUGCGAGCUUUUGACGGGUAAUCCAAGGUUAAGGAUCACCUUGAAUGGCCAAUACCAGGUGAAAGGUAUGAACCAUUGCAAGAUGAUUCAGUGACAGGGAUUUAGUGUUUAAAACCAUUAAGGGGAAGCAUCUGUACCACACCAGUUCAGGAAAUAACUAUAUGUUAAAUCCCCAAUGCGUGGAAAAGGUCCAAGUGACCGGAAUCUCCCUUUUUGUAUAAAGAACCUGAGCCUAGUGAUCUAAAACUCCAAGAAGUACUUUUCUUUGUAAGUAAUUUCAGUUACUUUAUUUUUUGUUUCACUUAAAACCAACCUUUUUACACAUACUUAUGUUUUCUUUUAAAGCUAACCUUGAAAAGAAAAGACACCAAUUCAAUUUUUGGAACUAAUAUCAGUUGUAAUUUGAAAACCCAUCCCUGUGUACAAUCCUAUAGCCACUAUGCUAUGCUAGCUAAUGCUACCCUAGUAUAUGGUGAAAUAAGUUUAUAAAUUUUGUUGAUUACUCCCGUCUGAGAACUGAAAUCAAAGCACACCAAUUGAUUGAACACCAAUCAACAGGGCAUACACCAGUUGGGCAUGAAUCAUAUGGUAUGGUGGUAUUCUCAAACAAAAUUUUCAAAAUCAAAUGUCCAUUGCCUAUUUUUAUUCAAGAAUAUGGAGUGGACCCCAAGAAAACUAUUUAACUAUUAAAAAAGAAAUUUUGGCAAUUUUUUUAUACAUUCAAAUAUUUCAAGAAGAUGUUUUUAAUAAAAAAAAAAAUUCUUCUUUGAGUUGAUUGCAAAAGUGCCAAAGAAAUUAUUCAUAAGGAUGUUCAAAAUAUUAUUUAAAAAUAGAUUUUUGCUUGAUGGCAAGCACUUUUAUCUUCUUUUUUUUUUUUGAAAUUGAAUUUGUAAAAAAAGAUUCAAACUCUCUCCCUGAUUUUCUCUCUCAGGAAUUUCUACAGGGAAAAUGAGCAACUCAAAAUCCAACAAACACAUGCCCAAUUCAAAAGCAUCUUAUGUUAUACUUAUUGAAAAACCUAAAGUUUCGAAGACCCAAUCUCAAACCCCUAUUUCAAACCAAUUCCAAGUCUUAGGAAAUAUUCCUAAGCCUUCUCAAACCUUUGCCUAUGCAACCCAAACCUCAAAAUAGGCGUCUUGCAAUUAUGUUACAAAAGGCCAUUUGAUGAAGGUGUGGAUUCUUGAAUCUCACCACUUUUCAAAGUCUGGUUCGUUGGACAUUACAAAAAUAUUUUCAAAAGGAAUUUUUUUUUUUCAAAAUGAUUUAGUCAAAAUAAGAAAAUUUUAUGAGUUUAUCCUAGUUGAUAUUGACUCUGUGGAAAUCACUCAUAUACAAAACAAGGAUUCCACAUACAUUUGCUAUUCAAAAUGUAAAAUUUUCAAAAUUAUUUUCAGAAACCCAAUGGGGACAGUCUCCUGAUACCUAUAACAUGUUUCUCAAAACUUCAAACCAGCAUCAUACGAUUAUCAUGAUUAUGUAGAUGCUUGGUUUUACACAUUUUUCUUCAAUUUUUUUUUAUUUAUCAUUCUUGGUUCUUCCAAUGGAAUGAUAAAAUUAAAAAUGACUUUUCAAAUUCGUUUCAAGAAUGGUGGCUAUGUUUUGGCACCAUCCCUGAAAUCUUUUGUCCUCAAAUCAAAUCUACCUAUGAUUAUUUCAAAGAGCAUGUUAGGAGAUUGAUCCCUACUCCUUGUUUUCAAGCCCUUUUCUUCACUUCUAGAUUCCAAAUCCCAUGGAUUCUAUGUUGGGACUUUGUCAAAACACAAAUGAUCAAAAGUUCAUUUCCCACGCAUUUGGCAAAGGAAUUUAAAGUCAAAUGGUGGUCAAACUUUGUACCUGCCACUUCCUAGUAACUUCCUCAUAUAAAAAAUUGGAAUGCAACACAUGCUCUUUCCAAUAUUGAAACACUUUUUCAAAUACCUUCUCUUCUUUCAAAUAACUUUAUCCCCUCUCAAAAAGUCUCUCUUGCAAUACUUUCUUCAAACAAGUAGUUUCAGGCUCAUCUCAAGUUUUUAUAGCAAUAAGCCACUAAAACCUUGUCAUAGCUUGGUUCUGCUUAUGAUGACGACACUACUUCCCCAAGCUUUAAAGAGCCUUAAAAUGAAGACAUGUGCUAUAAAAUGCCAUACAUGGCCUUGGAGUGAUGCUUCAAAAGCCUCUUCAAAAACAAUAUUCAAAUCUCUUCAAAAGUCGGAAUUGGGAGGUCAUGUCAACCGACAGUUGGUAGUUCUCUCCUUGGAUUAUACCUUCUAAAGAGAUUUUGGACAUCGUGGCAAGCUUUUAAAACUUUUCAAGACAAUCAAAUUUUCAACAACUAGAUGAAACUUUCAUCCUGUUGUGGACUUCAAAAUUUUCAAAUCCUGGUGGACACCUCAACAAAACUGCCUACAAAACAGUGGACUCAAACUUGUGGAUUUCAAAACCAUUGACAACUGGCAUAUGAUGACAAGUUACUUUCGAUGGAUCCAAAGUCUUUCAAAUUCGUGGAUUUUAAAGCUUUUCAAAUAUGUCACUAGAGCUCUAUAUAAGGGGUCUCUUCCUUCAUUGUGGGACAUUAGCCAAAAUUUGUGAGAGUUGAGAGAAACUAGUUGUGAGAAAAUCCAAAGCCUUGUAAUGAAGAGUUCUGCUUAAAGAAGCUCUACUCAAAGUUUGUAAUUUUCAAAAGUUUGCGUGUUCUCCUAUUUUAAUAACAUUUUAAAUUCCAAAUUCAAUUUUUGUCUUUCUUAUUUUAAAUAUCUUGUUUGAGGAUGAUGAACUCUAUUGAAUCUUUGUCUAGUAGACUGGGUUUUAAGUGAGACUGCUUGUGACUCCUCCAGUCUUUACUGAGAGAAUUCAUCAAAGUUCAUAUUGAUUUUGAAAUUUGAAGUCUUUCAUCUUUCUCUUUUGAUUUCAAUUUCAAUCCUACUAAAAGUUGGUAUAAGAGCCAUGUCUUGUUCAUUUCAUUAUUUAAAUUUGCAUUUUAAUUUAUGAUUAUUUGUUUUAUGAUUCAAACAGUUAGUGUUGGUCAGUCCUCAGUUAGCGUUGUCAUUUGUUCCUUGAUUAUUGAUAAAUGAUUAGUCUAAAGACUUUUUUAGAGGAGAUAGAAACACUGUGAAACUCUCACUAUUACUCCACUCAAGAUCAUCCUUCAUUUAUAAAAAAAAACAUCUUAUAUUUGUUUCUAAAUCUUUAAUUUAAUAAAUAAGAUUAAAUGUAUUGUGUUUAAUUCUUUAUAAUUUAAAAAUAAAAAAUAAAAUUAUAAAAAUGGAUUUAAUUUCACUUAAAUUUUUUAUUUUCAUUUAUGUUAUAAAAUGGCAAUAUAUAUAUAUAUAUAUAUAAACCCAAGUGAUACUUCCUUGGAUUUAAAAUAAAAAAAUUAAUAAAUAUAUAAAUUGAAUGGAUAGAUUAUAACACAACCUCGAAAAUCAUAAAGCAUGUGCCUUAAAAGUAUCAAAAGUAUGGCAUUAUUCAAAAAGAGUAGGUAAUAGCAGCAGAUAUACCUAGUGCCUAAAAUUAAAAAUAUGUCUAGCCUUAUUCAAAAGUAGCCACUAGAAAGUGCCUUAAAAAAAAAAAAAGAGUGUUUAGCUAGGUUGGCAAUUCCAGACAAAGUUCCUAAGUGUCUCCUAACUCAAUUUUUCCAAUCCUUCUAUGGACUACUAACGAAGAUCAAGUUGUUGAAUUUGUCAAGAGACUAAGGUAUAUAGUUGAAGUUGGAGUUGGAUGGAAUUGAAUCAACCAUAUUAUUUAAAUGUUGUUUUACUUAAAUAUUUUUUAAGGAGUUAGGAAGGUUUAGGAAGUUGUUUUUUUUUUACUAAAUGUUCAAAAUGCACUGUUCCAGGAUCGGUCCAGCUUUAGGUUGGAUCGAUCCAACUUACAUUUUUUUGAUGAAAUUUCAUCCGUUGGAUCAAGGGCUUCCUUCAAUUUAAAAACCCAAAACUUGCUUCUUGUGUUGUAUGUAGUAAGAGACAUAGCAACAACCAUCCCCUUUGGUUCUCUUCUUCUUUCCUAUUUUGGAGUGUUUGGUUGUCAAGAAAAUCCAACUUUCCUAUUGUUUUCAAUGGAUUUUCUUGAGGAAAAAAAUAGGUUGAUUCAUUCUUUCAUUCAUCUUUCAAUUUCUAAUCUAUUUAGGUUUGGCUAAAAACCCAUUUUUUUCUUGUGUGGAUUCAAUAAGAGAUCGAGAUCAAGCUUGGUGUGGACUCUAAGUGUGCUCCAAAAGAAGAAUGUGGGAAGUUGAAAGUGAAAGGUACUAGUGAAGUGGUCUAUGAAUGAUUGGUAAGCUUGAGUUAGGUAAAACUUUGUAUUCAACUUUUGCUUUUCAUAGUGGACGUUUUUUUAUCAAUUGUAGGCCUGUCGUUUUUUUUUUUUUUUUUAAUCUUUUCGGAAGUUUUCCACGUUAAAAUUUAGUGUCAUUGUCUCAUUGUCUCAUUCUACUCUUUGAUUUAUUUUCAGUUUUUGAUAUCAUUGGUUACUUGGGCAUAUAUGUUGAAUGGAAGAAAAAUGAGUUGAAAUAGGAGUGAUUAUCCAUUGGAUAUCUUGAAUAAUUUUUCUAUUCAUUUUGGUAAUGAUAUCUUGUAGUAAUUGGAAAUGAGUUAAGAAGAGAAUUGUUCUUAUGAAUUAAUUUUGAGAGUGUUGAAGCAUUUGCAUAUAAAUUACAUUUAUAAAUUGUUGGAAAAGUGUUGUUGCAUUCAUACUUGCUUGUGAAUUUUAUUCUUUGUUGAAAAGAAGUUCAUAGACAUUGAGAAAUUUUAAGGUUAGGUAAUUUUUGUUGGGAGAUUUUUUUAAGUUUGUUCAACAACACCUAUUCAAUCCCCUCUCCCCUCUAGGUGUAAUCCAUUAUUGAGAUUCACCUUUAAAAAAGUAUAGUACUAGUAAAAAAAAAAAAGAAAAUAAAGGAUAGUAGCAUGAACAUUUAAUCCUAAAGUGUCAAUAGAUGUAGAUAUAUUUUUAAAAUAAAAAUAAUAAUACCUUUAUAUAAGAUAUAAUAAUUUUUAGAGAUUUAUAUUAAAAAAAUAGUGAUUGUAAAAACUAUUUUAAAAAUUUUAAGGUAUAAAAAAUAUAAAUUAAAUUUAUUAUUUUUGUAUAAGACUCUGCUUUUAUAUAAAAUAUUUUUAUUUUAAAAAUAAAAAAUAAAAAAUGUAUUAGACAUUUAAUAAUUUUUUUAACCCUCUAAAUUAUAUGGGUUGUCUUUCCUCCUACUAUGUCUAAAAUAGAUACUCUAGUGUACUCUUUUGACUUUUUGACUCAAGAAUUUUGAAACUAAAGUUUCUAAAAUUAAGAUUCCAAGGAUUUGCUAAUAGUUGGCAAGGUAAUUGAUUUUGGGUUGAAAGGGUUUAGGGAUGAUGUUUGAAUUAAUGAGUCAAAGGUGUAAGUAUUAAUAAGAAUGUGUAUAAGUUCAAAAGUGUAGGUAGCAGUAGGGCCUGGGUAGAACAGAUUGGUGUUGAGAGUGAAAAGAAGUAGGCACUAAAAUGCACGGGAGCGCACACACUUGCUGAUGGCUGAUUUGGUUUUUUCUUUUUUUUCUAAUUUUUUAUUAUUUUGUUUAAUUGGAAGGAAGAAUGUGCAUGCACCAUCCACACAUGCCUCCAUUGUUUGGUUAAUUGUUUUGUUUUGUUCCUUCUCUUUUUUUUUUCUUUAUUUAAUUUAUCCUCUACUUUCUUUCUUGCCUUUGUCCUUUUUUUUUAACUCACUUUCUUAUGCAACCCAACAAAUUAAUUAGGCCGCACCUAUGCUAAGCUUUCAUCCCUUGGGUUGGCAUUCAUCCUAAGCUCAAGUUCAUUUGUUCAACCCUUAUCCCAUAUUCAAUCCAAACUGUAAUAUUCAAGCCUAUUUUUGAAUCUCUAGUUUGACCAAUGUUGGAAUCAUGUAAGCAAGGUAUCAUACAUGUUAAGAUGUGGGGAAAAAUGGUUAAAACUAUUUCUAACCUUUGUCGCUUUUUUUUUUCUAUCGUUUUUAACAUGUGUUUCCACGAAAUCGUACAAGCAGUAAAUAUUUUUGUUAAUUAAUUUCUUUCCUAUUAACUAACUAAUGUUUGUCAAAGACAUUAAUAACAUCAACUACUAACUAGGUCUAUGAGAUUGUUGUUUGGUAUUGAAAACAUACAUAUAAAUAUUUAAAAUUAUUAAGGGUAUUUAUAUCAAAAAAGAUUACUCUUUCAACAAAAACAUGAGGCGCAUUAAAUUCAUAAAUAUUUGGAUUAUUUUAUUUUUUAAUCAAUUAAUUUUAUUAUUAAUGUCAAUAAAAUAUGAAAUUUAGACCAUUAAACACCAAUAGUCUGUCUGCCCAUUGAUUCGACUCAUGGUAGCUUAGCUUUAAAGGCGUAUCAACAAAAUUUAUACCUUGAAUACUAUUACUAAAGUAGCCAAGCUACUAUAGCAUAGUGGUUCUAGGAUCGUUCACUAGGAAGGGUUUUCGCAAACACAAGUGAUAUUCAAAUUAGGAAAAUAGGUGAUUUUCUUAUGGAUGUUAGCUUUAAAAGAAGAUGUAAAUGUUUUAGAAAGAUUUAAACUAAUCUAAGCUAACAUUAAACACUAAAAUGAAAGGGUGUAAAAACAAGUUUCUCAAAGAUAGGAUAGCUAUGCUCUGGCUCUUAUGCAAAUUGGAAAUCUUAGGAUAGGCUCCUCGCGUUGGGGUUGCAACUAUGGUGAUGCUUGCUUCCCGAACCGGUAUGGAUUUAGCAAAUCAAGUUUUAAUCCUUGAAAAUGGCAAAACAGAUGGUAGUGAAUUUCAUCAAUGGUUAUUCACCUUAGACUUCCUUUGAAUGGCUCGUAAGAGAUAACUAAUGGUCUAAAGCCAAAAGCUUACCAAAUAUUGGCAACUCAAAGUCAUUCCAGGUGAUAAACUCACCUUUCAAUGGCCAUUGAAAUUGGUUCUAAUGGAUUAAUGCAAAACUCGGAAUUGAAAACCUCGCCUUCCAAUAGCUCGUAGGAGAUAACUAAUGGAUAGAAAUCCAAAAGCUUAUCAAGUAUUGGCCGUUGGAAGUUGUCAAAAGGAAAUAAAAACCAAACUUUGCAUUAAUGAACCAUUAAUGAAAAACGACUACCUUACCUUCCGGGUGCGAGAAAUUUCCAUGGGAUUGCAUCCAAGCCAUCACAUAACAUCCAUACUUUGAGAAACUAAAAGUUUUAGCCAAUCAUCCUUUGAGGAAAAACCCUCAGAGGCUGUUUGGCUACUAAGAAAAUAGAAACGGGAGAGCUCUGUAAAAAUUCUAUAUAUUGAUCGAUAUUCAAUUACAACGGAUGCAAGGGAAUAUAUAUAGAGAAGUUUUUCCAAUCCUUCCUAGCUAAGAAAUCUUAUGAUUGGUGUAUUACAAGGAGAAGAAUGGAAAUUUAUACAAAAAUAUCUAAAAGAAAAGAUCUUGUGUGGAGUCGGCAGAAACAGGGGAAAAUUCGCACGUUGGAGUUCCAAUUUCGCACCUUGGUUUGAGGUGUGCGAAAUUCCCACACUUUGGACUGAGGAAUUUCGCACCUUGCACAGUGGUGUGCGAAAUUGUCCCUCAGCUUGAUGCAGUUGUCUUCCGAAGGCCAUAUCUUCCUCAUUUCAGCUCCAAAUCAUACACGGUUUGAAGCGUUGAAUUCUUGACUUCCUGAGCUUUGAAAUGGUAUAUAGCAUGUAGAAAAUGGACUUCAGGAAGUGCUCCAAAAGUGUCAAAGAAGACUGCAGCUGCUGUCCUCUAUUUUCCUCUUUGCUUCUUUUUGCUUCUCUUUGCUUUUCUCCUUGCAUACUUUGAACGACUUUGGCAAAGGGCUAUGGAGCUCCAAAGCUUGGUUCUUCAUGAAUUUGAGCUUCCAAAAGCUUUGCCAUAACUUGUCCAAGUAGCUCCUCCAUCAUUUGGCAUGCUUGAAUUGAUUCAUAAGCUGAUAAAAACAUGUAAACUUGCCACAAAAUGGUUAAAACCAAUUACUAAGGACCUUAAUGAAUUAAUUGGGUUAAAUGAAUAUGAUUACUACUCAAAGGUGCUUAAAACCAUUAUAAUUAGGUCUACAAAAUAGCACUUUUUGGUAGUAAUCACACCCCCCAACCGACUCAUUGCUAGUCCCUUAGCAAUGGAGGAGAUAAAAACUAAGUAAACUAUAAUAAUUACAUAAAAGGGAUCAUGCAAGUCACUCCAAAAAAUGAUAUGAGUGGCAUGAUUGGAUCAAACUCUCACAUGGCAAGUCAAGGAUAUAAAACUCAAUCAUCAAUAAGAGUCAUCAAAUAACUUACCUAUCACAACAUGCAAAGAGCGGGCAUUAUGCAAAUUUGAGUAUCAAAAUAAUUUCCACUCCCAAAGGACCAACACUUAAUCUUCCACAAAAAUCUAUGUGUUAUUUAUUAGUUUCCGAAUAUAGUAUGUCAAACUAAUCUCUCCCCUCAACCUAGUUCUUUUCAAAGCUUAGCAAACUAAUCAACCUCCAAUAGGCUAAGAACGCACCUCUUUUCUUUCAUAAUUUUUUUCUUGUAGGAGUGCAAAGCUUAAAGGCAUUCUUUUCUAAAUUGUCCAUGUAACGGGGGUCCAUCGAUGACUCCCAACCAAUCAAGGUUUAGGGCAUCAAGCUUUAAGGAUUUUUCAACCACUAACUCCUCGGAUUUCACCCCGGACUUUUGAGAAUGAAUUUUAAUACCCAAGCACCUACAGUAUGUUAAACUCCACCUAUUCACCCAUGUAACGAGCAUUGAGGUCGGUGACUCCCAACCAAUUAAGGCUUAGGGCACCAGGUUUUAAAGAUUUUCACCAUAUACCCCUUAGACCUUGCUCGGGUUUCAAGGCAAGCAAACAUUUUUCUUUUUCUUUCUUUUUCCAAAGGCUCAUUGGCCUUUUUCAAGGUGUCCCAACACUAUUAAAAUGAGGUGAAAGGUACCAAGUCUAAAAUUUUCCUAAGUCAAGAGGGAAAUAGUUUUUCAUCUUAUAAUCGGAACCUAGUGUGCACGGUGUGUGAUAAGCUUAAAGUGGAAGAACUAAGCUUGAAUUCAAUAGAAGUUUCAACAAUUCAUCAACUUUAGUAAGCAUAAUACAAACUCUAAGACUAUGGCAAUAAGAUAAGAAUUUAAUUUUUCCCAUUUACUUUUGAGAAUUUUUCCUUAAUAACCAUGGAGAGUAGAAUAAAAACUUAAAAAAUUUUAAAAUUAAGCAAAAAGCAACUAAAUUAAAAUAACUUAGCAUUAAUAACAAAACUUCCUUCCUCAACUCUCCCCCCAACCAAGCUGAACAUUGUCCUCAAUGUUUCAAAAGUGAUUAAAAAAAUAGAGGGAGGAAGUGGUACCUCCUGAGUGGCAUGGAGUCUAAGUUAUGUAGGAGAAACCACAUGUUUCAAAGAAAACAUAAGAGUUAGUGAGUAGAGGAAAUAGAAAAAUGCCAAGUUUAAACAAAAAUGAUGUCUAUAUAUGAUGUAUCAUCAGUAAUACAUCCAAUCCCAGAAUAUAAGACAUCAAAACAUGGAUUUAUGUAUACUAAUAUAAUAAGUAAAUACAAAAAAUAAAGAGAUGAUCAAGUAAUAGAAGGGUCCUGUGGAGCUGAUGCAUUUGUGGUGGCCUUCUGAGUGGGUUGGAUCAGGACUUUGGCCUCUAUUCUGGUAUUCUCCUUGGAUGGCAUAGUCUCCUCUGUUGGGGCUCUCAGUUGGAGCUAUGGGCUUUGAUGGUUUUAGGAGGUAAGAAAUGGAAUGAGAGGCUUGGUGUGUGAUCCCAAGGUGCACGGGGCUGUUCUCUCCUCUAAUGCAUGUUCCUGAGGCUUGGAAAGGAUUUUUCGUGCGAAAUUCCCGCUUAGCUUUGUGUAGUCUGUCUUCAAACGGCUAUAACUUCUUCGUUUCAAAUCCAAAUCAUGUACCGUUUGAAGCACUGGAUUCCUGACUUCCCAAGCUUCAAAAUGAUAUAUGGUAUGAAUAAUUUGAGCUCCAGAAAGCACUCCAAAAACGUGUCCAACAGUAGCGAAAUGGGGUGCGGCUGCAACAUUUCCAUUCAGCUUUGCACAGUCGUCUUCAAACGGCCAUAACUUCUUCAUUUCAAAUCCAAAUCACUCACCGUUUGAAGCAUUGGAUUCCUGACUUCCCAAGCUUUAAAAUGAUAUAUGACAUGAAUAAUUUGAGCUCCAGGAAGUGCUUCAAAAACGUGUAUAACAGUAGCGAAAUUUGGUGCGGCUGCAGCAUUUCCGUUCAGCUUUGCAUAGUUGUCUUCAAAUGGCCAUAACUUCUUCGUUUCAAAUCCAAAUCAUGCACCGUUUGAAGCGCUGGAUUUCUGACUUCCCAAGCUUUAAAAUGACAUAUCAUAUGCAUAAUUUGAGCUCCAGGAAGUGCUUCAAAAAUGUAUCCAACAGGAGCAAAAUUUUCGCACCUUGGACUGGAAAUUUCGCACCUUGGAUUGAGGUGUGCGAAAAUGGCACCCUUUGGACUGAGGAAUUCGCACCUUGUUUCGCACGGUGCGAAAAUGGGCUUGAGGUGUGCGAAAUGGCACUCGUGUGCCAGGAGGUGGUUUCGCACGGUGCGAAAAUUUUCGCACCUUGAAUUGAGGUGUGCGAAAUUCCCGCUUAGCUCGGUCCAGUUUUCUUACAAUGACUAUAACUUUUUCAUUUCAACUCCGAUUUGGACACCGUUUGAAGCGUUGGACUCCUGACUUCCCGAGCUUCGAAACGGUAUAUAGUAUGUAUAAAAUAGACUCGAGGAAGUGCUCCAAAAUAUUUCCCGAAAGUGGCAAUAGAACCAAUGGCCAGAAUUCUCUCUUCUCUUCCUUUCCUUUCAUCAUUUUUGCAAUUCCUCCUACAAUGAUCAUCCAAAAACAUAUGUUAAAAAGAAAGCAUAGAAUUUAAAUGAAGCUGAUAGCAUGUACCCCAAAAAGAAGAUGAACUAUUUAGCUCAUCCUCACUCACACACCCACUUCAGGCUGAAUUCCCCCUGGAUCCCAAACAAAAUUGGCAUCCUUCCCAUUUGGUCCAAGGGAAUUCGUUUCUCUUCUCUUCCCUAGAGAAGUGGAUGCUUUAAAGGGUUCAAGUAACCCUUUAUCAUCUUGAACCUUAUGAUUUUCAAUGGAAGGUUGGUCCAUAGAGUUGUCAUAGCAAUCCCCCACCAAAGUGUCGAUCUUCAACACUUUCCUUGAUCUUUUUGCAUUGGUUCCUUGAAGGUUAUGGUGGGGUUGAGGAGGAAGCUUCCUUUUCCCCCUUGCUAUGUCGAGAUUGGUGAGCUUCUCAAUGGAGUCUUGAACUUUUUCUAUCCUUAGUGAUAGAUCAUUAUAAACCCCCUCCAUUCUUACAUUUAUUGAACUCUCCAUAUUAUUAAUCUUUUCAUUAAGCUGAGAGUUGAUCUUUUGUUGCUCACCUACAAAGUCCUCCAUGACUUUGCUUAUCUUCAAAAUGGCUUGCUCCAAUGAAGAUGUACUCAUUGAUGGUUGAGGUUGAGGUUGGGUUGCAAGGUUGGGAUGGUUUAUAUACUCAAAUGAAGUUGGCAUGGCUUGUGGUUGUGCUUCAGUAUGCACAUUCCUCAAUUCAAACUCUUCUAUCCUUCUAGCCAUAGAUGCUAGCUUUGCCUUCAUGCUCAUGUCUUCAUUCAAAGCAUACUUACUACCCCAUUGGCUUUGUUGAGCUUGCCUUUUCCCUAAUUCAAUCCGAUCCCUCAUGGAUAAGUAUGCAAAUUUGUCCUUCUCAUGAUCAUAAUGAGAGCUUUGAUCUUCAUGUGGAAUGUCCAUUUAUAAAAAAAAAAUGAUAUUCAACUAAGGCUCUUUUCUUCAACUUGUACCAGGGUUCCCUCUUGGUCUCGAAUCCAACAAGGAAUGCACAAAUUGAAAUUAAAACAAAAAUAAAAGAAAAGAAAAUAAAAAAAUUUAACUAAAUAAAAACUAAAAAAAAAAAAAAUUAUAAGAAAACUCACCAAACUUGUGAUGAAGAUCACAAGUUACCCUUAAUGGUUGCUUCACUGUGCUUGUGGCACCUUCCCCGGCAACAGCGCCAUUUGAUUCGACUCAUGAUUCGAUCCCCGGCAACGGCGCCAUUUGAUUCGACUCAUGGUAGCUUAGCUUUAAAGGCGUAUCAACAAAAUUUAUACCUUGAAUACUAUUACUAAAGUAGCCAAGCUACUAUAGCAUAGUGGUUCUAGGAUCGUUCACUAGGAAGGGUUUUCGCAAACACAAGUGAUAUUCAAAUUAGGAAAAUAGGUGAUUUUCUUAUGGAUGUUAGCUUUAAAAGAAGAUGUAAAUGUUUUAGAAAGAUUUAAACUAAUCUAAGCUAACAUUAAACACUAAAAUGAAAGGGUGUAAAAACAAGUUUCUCAAAGAUAGGAUAGCUAUGCUCUGGCUCUUAUGCAAAUUGGAAAUCUUAGGAUAGGCUCCUCGCGUUGGGAUUGCAACUAUGGUGAUGCUUGCUUCCCGAACCGGUAUGGAUUUAGCAAAUCAAGUUUUAAUCCUUGAAAAUGGCAAAACAGAUGGUAGUGAAUUUCAUCAAUGGUUAUUCACCUUAGACUUCCUUUGAAUGGCUCGUAAGAGAUAACUAAUGGUCUAAAGCCAAAAGCUUACCAAAUAUUGGCAACUCAAAGUCAUUCCAGGUGAUAAACUCACCUUUCAAUGGCCAUUGAAAUUGGUUCUAAUGGAUUAAUGCAAAACUCGGAAUUGAAAACCUCGCCUUCCAAUAGCUCGUAGGAGAUAACUAAUGGAUAGAAAUCCAAAAGCUUAUCAAGUAUUGGCCGUUGGAAGUUGUCAAAAGGAAAUAAAAACCAAACUUUGCAUUAAUGAACCAUUAAUGAAAAACGACUACCUUACCUUCCGGGUGCGAGAAAUUUCCAUGGGAUUGCAUCCAAGCCAUCACAUAACAUCCAUACUUUGAGAAACUAAAAGUUUUAGCCAAUCAUCCUUUGAGGAAAAACCCUCAGAGGCUGUUUGGCUACUAAGAAAAUAGAAACGGGAGAGCUCUGUAAAAAUUCUAUAUAUUGAUCGNNNNNNNNNNNNNNNNNNNNNNNNNNNNNNNNNNNNNNNNNNNNNNNNNNNNNNNNNNNNNNNNNNNNNNNNNNNNNNNNNNNNNNNNNNNNNNNNNNNNUAUGGAUUUAGCAAAUCAAGUUUAUCCUUGAAAAUGGCAAAACAGAUGGUAGUGAAUUCAUCAAUGGUUAUUCACUUUAGACUUCCUUGAAUGGCUCGUAAGAGAUAACUAAUGGUCUAAAGCCAAAAGCUUACCAAAUAUUGGCAACUCAAAGUCAUUCCAGGUGAUAAACUCACCUUUCAAUGGCCAUUGAAAUUGGUUCUAAUGGAUUAAUGCAAAACUCGGAAUUGAAAACCUCGCCUUCCAAUAGCUCGUAGGAGAUAACUAAUGGAUAGAAAUCCAAAAGCUUAUCAAGUAUUGGCCGUUGGAAGUUGUCAAAAGGAAAUAAAAACCAAACUUUGCAUUAAUGAACCAUUAAUGAAAAACGACUACCUUACCUUCCGGGUGCGAGAAAUUUCCAUGGGAUUGCAUCCAAGCCAUCACAUAACAUCCAUACUUUGAGAAACUAAAAGUUUUAGCCAAUCAUCCUUUGAGGAAAAACCCUCAGAGGCUGUUUGGCUACUAAGAAAAUAGAAACGGGAGAGCUCUGUAAAAAUUCUAUAUAUUGAUCGAUAUUCAAUUACAACGGAUGCAAGGGAAUAUAUAUAGAGAAGUUUUUCCAAUCCUUCCUAGCUAAGAAAUCUUAUGAUUGGUGUAUUACAAGGAGAAGAAUGGAAAUUUAUACAAAAAUAUCUAAAAGAAAAGAUCUUGUGUGGAGUCGGCAGAAACAGGGGAAAAUUCGCACGUUGGAGUUCCAAUUUCGCACCUUGGUUUGAGGUGUGCGAAAUUCCCACACUUUGGACUGAGGAAUUUCGCACCUUGCACAGUGGUGUGCGAAAUUGUCCCUCAGCUUGAUGCAGUUGUCUUCCGAAGGCCAUAUCUUCCUCAUUUCAGCUCCAAAUCAUACACGGUUUGAAGCGUUGAAUUCUUGACUUCCUGAGCUUUGAAAUGGUAUAUAGCAUGUAGAAAAUGGACUUCGGGAAGUGCUCCAAAAGUGUCAAAGAAGACUGCAGCUGCUGUCCUCUAUUUUCCUCUUUGCUUCUUUUUGCUUCUCUUUGCUUUUCUCCUUGCAUACUUUGAACGACUUUGGCAAAGGGCUAUGGAGCUCCAAAGCUUGGUUCUUCAUGAAUUUGAGCUUCCAAAAGCUUUGCCAUAACUUGUCCAAGUAGCUCCUCCAUCAUUUGGCAUGCUUGAAUUGAUUCAUAAGCUGAUAAAAACAUGUAAACUUGCCAUAAAAUGGUUAAAACCAAUUACUAAGGACCUUAAUGAAUUAAUUGGGUUAAAUGAAUAUGAUUACUACUCAAAGGUGCUUAAAACCAUUAUAAUUAGGUCUACAAAAUAGCACUUUUUGGUAGUAAUCACCCAUUAAACACCAAUCCAUCUUUUUAGUCAAUUGACUUGGCCCAUUCUAUAGUUGUGAUGUCCAUGUCCACCGUCUAACUCAUCUCCUAAAUUUUAUUGAAGUGAUGUUUGUGUCAAUAGUUAAAAUCACUCACCCACACCCCACUUGCAAGUUGCAAGGGAUUGACCCAUCACUACUCUUAUUUAUCCUUACUAAUAAAUGUUUUUUUUCCUUUGUUUUCCUUAUUCAUCCACCUCAAAAUCUCUUUCUAGAAGGUCUAAAAUAAAAACAAUGGAAACCAUUCUUCGAUAUAUAACUUAUAAAUGUUUUAUUUCAAUUAUUUUUCGUAUUUAUAUAAUUAUUUUUAUUUUUUUAAAUAACCCUUAAAAAAAUAAGUGAUAACAAGGCAACUAAAAUAGAUUUUUCAAAAACAUCAUAUUUUUGGAAUAAGUUUUUUAAAAAUUAUUUUCUAUUGGAAAAUUAGUAAUGAUGGUGUAAAAACUUGGUAAAUAAUUUUUUUGUUUUAAUAAUAAAAAAAAAAUUUAAAUAGUUUUCAAACAUAAUCCAACCAUUUAUGUUAUUUUUACCUUCUUUUUUUCAGGUUCAAAAUUUCGAGUUUUCUGUGGACAUAACAUAAAAAAUAAUUAUUUUUCAAACUACGACCCUUUUAAGUUUCAAAUAAAACCCGUCUUUUUUAAAAUAAGUUUACAAUAGGAAAUGAAUUUGUCUUUUAAAAUACAAAAUUUAAAACAAAAAAAAAAUAAUGAUGAAAAGUAUCAUAUUUUCAUAUUUAUUUUUUGAACAACGUCAUCUUAACAAUAUUAAAAAAAAAAAAAAAUCCUUAAAAUUUCCCCCUAAUGGCCCACGAUGUACUUCAUAGCUUCAAUUCCAAUAUCUCAAAUCAAUCUCAAUUGACUAUUGCCAUUAAAUCCUUAUUAAUUAUCUAUUAGAAUGCCCGGCCUUCCCUCAUUCAUUUUUUCACAAAGUUGGUCAACGUUCAUUUAUUUUUUUUUCAAAUAAAUCAUUUAUUUCUCUCAUAGCAAGGAAUAAUUUAAAUUAUUUAAGUCUUUAUGUAAUCGUGUAACAUUGCUAAAAAUUAGGAAAUAGACUAUUCAUGCACAUGAUCUCAAUAUCCCAUGUUCACCCUAAAUCGAUUAAAAAAAACCGUUUAAGUCAAGUCCUAUGUUGAUAUUCGUAAAUGAAAAAGAAUCUAAUAUAAUAUUAAACUUCAUAAAAAUUGGGAUAAAAUAUUUAACAAAUUUUGAUAUAAUAUUAAAUUAUCAAUAACAUUAAAAUUUAAAUGUUACGUGAUACAUCAUCACAUCCAUAUAAUAAAUCAAUUUAAGCUAAUGUUUUAUUUAAUUCUUAAUUUAUUGUUUUAUUUAGUGUCUCAAUAUGUUAAAUAAAUAAAUAAAUUGUGCCCUAAUAAUAAUAGAAUUUUUUUUAUUAAAUUUUUGGUUAAGAACUAAUAUUUUAUAUAAAUUUUAUUUAAAAAAAUCAAUAAAUCACAAGUGAGUUGUGAAACUUGUGAAUCGUAGACAACCAUUUUCGUGAUAUUAAAAAAUUAAAAAUAAAUAAAUAAAUAAAUAAACAAAGCCCCACUUGCAGUAGUGCCCGAAUGAAACAUGCGGGGUUGUAGGUACGAUACCAUGGAGGUCACAUGUAUGGGAACAUUCCACAAGUCUUCUAAAUUGUCAGGGAAAGGCGUCCCUCAUGGUGGUCUCCACAUCGGACGACCCAGAUAGACCGGUGCCUAAACUGAAGGCUGUCACACGUUUACGUGUUUGACCAAGUCUCGCGAGUCUACGCGCCAAUCACCAACCUUAAUUUUAAAGGUUCCUCCGCCCAAUCCUAUGAUGGUACCAUGCGGUCACCUUCACCUUUCCCUAUCCCACUCUCCAUUACACAGCGCGUGGUCACACUCUCCCAAAAAAGGUUCCCAUCCGAAAAAUUCAAACAAAUUUAAAGUACUAAAAAUGGGAAAAUAUUUAAAAUAUUUUUUAAAUAUUUAUUUUUUAUAUAAAAUAAUUAAAUAAAUGAAAUGAUUUUCUUUUUAAUCGUUUUAAAACAGUUUUAAAAAAUAAAAGUGAAAAUAAUUGAAAAAAAAUAUACAAUAAAUUUUGAAAAUAGAAUUACGUUGACAAUAUUCAAAAUGCAACUCACUAUAGGGCGCGUGAGCACAGGACUUGUAGAACACGUUUUAAGCAUUAUAAUAUUAUUUUUUAUUUUCCAUGGAAAAACACGUUCAAAUCCAAACAAUCGGAAUUGGAAUGCCAUGAAUUUCCACAAACCGUGUACUUGCAAGUUGGAAGAAGAUUCAUUUACAACCAAUUACAAUUUUAUUAUUAAUGGGCAGACAGACUUAAAAGUAGCCAUUGGAAAGUGCCUUAAAAGAAAUUAUAAUAUUAAUAAAAAAAAAGAAAAUAAAAGAUUUUAACGUGAACAUUUAAUCCUAAGUAUCAAUAGAUGUAGGUUCAAACAUAUUUUCUAUUUUUUAUUUUUAAAAUAAAAAUGAUAAUAACUUUUAUAUAAGAUAUAAUUUUUUUAAAUAAAUUAUAUUAAAAAAAUAGUGAUUUUAAAAACUAUUUAAAAAAAUUUAAGUAUAAAAAAUAUAAAAUAAUUUUUUUUUAAAUAGAUUAUGCUUGAAUGAGUCAAAUGUGUAAAGAUGAAUAAGAAUGUGGAUAAGUUCAAAAGAGCGGGUAGCUCUGAUCCAGCCGACCCGAAUGGGAAAUUGAGAAAAGAAAAACAUUCUUGGAAAGUGGUUCAGUUCCUUGGAAGUGGGUAUUUUGAGAACCCAACAAGUGUUCAUGUACUUUGAAUUUAUGUUCAAAUCACUUGCUUUGAGAUGGGGUUUUGAAUCGGAAAUGUCAAUGUUUCCGGUGUGAACAUGCAUACAGAAAUUAGUAUUACGUACAAAACAGGUUGAGGUAAAAAAAAAAUCAAAAUCAUGGAAAAUUCAAAGUCUGUUUAACCGGAUGUUUUAAAAAUAGUUUUUUAUUUUUUAAAAUAGAGAAUAAUUCUUACAUUAUCUAAAAAUGAUUUUUAAAAAUAAGGUAGAAUGAAGAACAAUUUUUAAAGAACACGUAAAAGUGUUUUCAUCCCUGGUAAAAAUCAAAAGAAAAAUAUAAAAAAUUUAAAAAAAAAUCUUGAAAAUAAAUAAAAUUGAAUAUAGUAUUAUUUUCUUUCUCUUUUUAAUAUUAAAAAAAAAUCUUAAAAUAUGAUUUUUUCUUUAAAUUACACAUACUUUUUAAAAUUUCAUUUUAACUUCUUUAAAAUUUUUCUUUGAGUAAAUUUUAAAUCAAAUUGUAUUAUUUAUUAUUAAACUUAAUUUCAAUGGUAAAAGAAACAAAUUCUUAGGAAUAAAAUUUAAUAUUAUAUUGAAUUAUUUAAGAGGAAUAUAUAGCGUAAGUCAUAUUAUAUUUUAACUUAAUUUUAAUUAUUAUUUGCCUACCGUGUUGCUUAUUUACAAUUAUAUUUAAUUUUUAUUUAUUUGUUUAGAAUAUUUAUUUGUUUUUCUAAAGCUUAUUUAAUGAUAGAAGAGUAUUCAUAUAUAUAUAAUUUUUGACAAAAAAAUUUAUUAUAAAAAUGGUUGAAAAACAAUUAUGAAGAAUUUAUAAAUUAUUUAGGAGUGAGAAAUCUUGAAAAAGUGCAAUAGAAAAAAAGAAAAUUCAUUUUGUGAUGUGGAAGUCUAAACAAUGAGAAGAUGUAUGAAAUUGGAAGAUUGGACAUAAUAAGUCAAUUGAUUAGUAGAACAAGAGAGAGUUUCAGACACCUAUAAUAGUGUCUAAAUGUAUAGUUUUAAACACUUUAAGUAUGCUCAGAAGUAUAGGCCGGACAUUUAUAAAACAUCCCCUCAUGCAACACAAACAAUAUUCAUAGUACCUCUUUCUUCCAACUCUAAAAGUACAAAAAGAAAUAUAAAAGAUAUCACAAAAUGCAUACCUUUGCACUUGUACCAUUAUUAGAGAUGAUUAUUUGUUUGUCCAAAGAAACAAAACUUUAUUGAUAAAUUCUAUUAGGAUUAUAGAGAGAUUAGAAGAAGAGAAGUGAAGAAAGAAGAUGGUGGUUUGAGAAUUUCAUCAAAGGGUGUUUUUAUCCUAAAAUAUGUAUUAUUUCGAUGGAUUUAAAGAUCAAUUUGGUGGAUGCAAAUAUAAGUUAUGGAAUUUUUUUACAAAAAAAAUAUCCAUCAAUAAAAAGAUUGAAAUACCCUUGCAAAUCAAUAUGCACCCACAUUCUUCCUUUCCUUUAUCAAAUUCUUUUCUUCCAAUCUCUCCACAACCUUAAUAAAUUAAAAUAAUUUUUUUAAAAAUAAAUGGUUUAAAUUUUUAAAUUUUGAAAAUUUAAAAUUUUAAAAAUACAUAAUUGUUGGCAGAUCGGAGGGUUGGCUUCAUCCAUCAACUCCUCUUGUGUUCGUCGUGGACAUUUGGGUUAAUGCACUAUAAGAUUAGGGUAUGCGUCUUUUUUAACAGCACUUGCUUUUAGGAAAGUUGAUAGCGUCUGAGGUUCUACAAUAAUUUUAUUCAAAUCCAAAACUUGUAAUAAAUUAAAAAUAAAAAUAAACCUUUUAAAAAACAAAUUUAAGCUUUUAAAUUAACUUUUGGUUUGACCUUUCAAGGUCAACACUCCCACAUCAUUCUUUUCUUUAGACUUUUUUUUCCCACUUUUUCAUAUGUUUCUCAUGUCUAAUUAUGUCUAAAUUAAUUCUAAAUACUUUCUAAUUAUUUUACAAAAAAAAAUUAUAAAAAAAUAUAUAAGUAAUAAAAUCUAAAAAUUUUCAUGUAGAACAAACUUAAUAUUAUUGUAUGGAUUUUAUAAAAAUAUAUUGAAAUUAACUUUCAACUUAUAGCAAACAACUUUUUAUGAUAAAGAAGCUUAGGUUUGGAGAGGAUAAAAAAAAGGGAAAAGGAUAAUUCAAAAAUAAUUAAAUGGAUUAAUAGGAUUUAUAUUUUGAGGUGGAUAGGUAAGUAUAGUGGAUAUGCAGAUAGUUUUAUUAGAUGUUUGGUGCCCCUGUUUUUAAGUAUUUUGGCCUACAACCCUAAAACCCAAAGUAAUUCUCACCAAAAAAAAAAAAAAAAAAAUUUUUUUUUUUUUUAAUCUUCAACUCUACAAACUCUCAUUUUGAACAUGCACUUUUUAAUUAAUUAAUUUUUUCUACUUUAGAACUCACUCAUCUUCCUAAAUACAAAAACUAAUUAUAAAAUAAAAACUAAUUCAACAAUUUAACUUCAACAUCUUUUUUUUUAAUAAUUCCUUUUCAUAUAAUAUUCCUUACUAACAAAAACUAAUUAUAAUUAAAUGACUUUAAUUUGAUAUAUAUAUAUAUAUAUAUAUAUAUAUAUAUAUAUCAAUAUUAAGAUGUAAAAUCCUAUAAACUUACACUUUAACCACUUGAGCCCAACAAGUGUUUGAUUUAAAAAUUUAUAGUUAUUAAAGAUGUUAAACUCCUUUAAAAAGUAUCAAAUGGUAAUAAAUAAAAAUUAGAGAAAAACCAUUCAAAUGAAGAGAUUUCAUCUAUAAUACGAAGUAAAAUCUAAAAAAGAAAUGUGAAGAAAAAAAUUAUCAUUGACUCUUAACUCUUGCUAAACCAAUCCCACUACCAUCCAAUACUAAAUUGUCUAACAAAUGAGAAUUGAAAGCAUAAAAGAGAAUCAUUGACUAUUGACUCUACCAUCCAAUGUUGAAUUGUCUAACAAAUGAGACAAAUGAGAAUUGAAAGCAUAAAAGAGAAUCAUUGACUAUUGACUCUACCAUCCAAUGUUGAAUUGUCUAACAAAUGAGAAUUGAAAGCAUAAAAGAGAAUCAUUGACUAUUGACUCUACCAUCCAAUGCUGAAUCGUCUAACAAAUGGAAAUUGAAAGCAUAGCAGAGAAUCAUUGACUCUACUUACCCCAUUUUCCUAGAAGUGUUGCCCCUCCCUUCAUUUCAUGAAGUUUCUUAGAAGUUUCAAACUUCUUUACCAUAUAAAGUAUAAAAAAAAUCAUUCUUAUAGCCAUUCACAUGUGUUUCAAGAAAAAUGAAGUUAUUUUGCCCCCAAGAACUACAGAAAUAAAAUCAUGUUAAGAAUUUUAAAUUAUAAUAUUUAUCUAUAAUAAGAUUUAUUUAUAAUUUUUUUUUAAAAAAAUCAUCAUCUAGUUGUUUAACUUAUUUUUUAUUCUUACUUUUUUGUAUUUAUAUUUUAAUUUUAGUUUUAUGUUUAUUUUUAAUAUCUAUUUUUCACUUCUCGGUCAAUUUUUUUUUAUUUGCUUUAAUUUUUUAUUAUUAUUUCUUGUUGAUAUCCUCUUAUAUAUAUAUUAGAAAAAUAUAUAUAAAAGAUAAUAAUAAAAUGAGACACCAUGAAUAAAGUGAAGGAAAAAAAUAAAAAAUAAAAUAAAAUCAAAAUAUUCGUGGAGAAGUAAGGUGCUCUUAGCCUAAUGUGUAAUGAUGAUGAUGGAUGACCCACCAAACCAGAAGAAAAGCAAAAGGUGAGAAAAGAAUCAAUAAAGAGAAACAACUACCCUUAACUUUUUUCAUCACUUUCCCGAAGGUUACUGGAAGUCGCCUUCCUUCCUUCCCAAUUCACAGAGCCCCUAAGUUCCUAACUUUUCUCGUCACUUUCCGGAAGGUCACAACAAGCCACUGCCACUUGCCUUCCCAACUCUUUAUAUACAGAUAAAUGAUAAUAUUUAUCAAUAAUAAGAUUUAUCUAUAAAAUGUUAGAAAAUAAAUAUAUCAAUCCAGUGAAUUUUAUUUUUACUUUUUUUUUAUAUUAUAUAUUUAUCCUUUUAUUUUUUAUUUUUAGUCUUUAUAUUUAUUUUUCACUUCUCGGUCAAAAUUUUUAUUUUCUAUUUAUUUUAAAUUUUAUUUUUAUUUCUUUUUUAAGUACUUAUAUAUAAUAAUAAAUAAAUAAAUAAAUAAAUAAAUAAAAUAGGAGACCAUGAAUAAAGUGAAGAAAAAAUAAAAUUAAAAACUUGGUGGAGAAGUAAAGUGCACGGGUUUGAAGGAUGAAUGUGAAUAGGAGAAAAAGAGAACAAGAGAAAAGCAAAAGGUAAAAGUGUGAGAAAAGAAUCCAUAUUCUGAAAAUGAAAGGAUGAGAUAAAAAUAAAAUAUAUAAAAGAUAAUAGUGAAAUACGAGAGCAUGAUUAUGGCGAAGAAGAAAAAAAUGUUAAAUAAAAUAAAAAAUUUGGUGGUAUCCCAUUUGAAAAUAGAAGGAAACGAAGGUGAUAAGAAAAAAAGAAAAGUGAGAAAAAAAUCUCUAAGUCAAUAGAGAGAGAAAGUUGUCCCUAAUUUUCCUCAUCACUUUUCGGAAUGUCACGGGAAGCUACCGUCUACCUAGCUUUUUAUAUUGUAAUAUUUUUAUUUAUAUUAUAACCACUGUUUUCUUAUACUUAUAGGAUGUCUUAUAAAGUUUUUUUUUUAAAUUUAUUUAUUUUAUUUAUUGGAUUGAUUUUCGUGUGAAAAUUUAUUUUAUUUAAUAAUAAUAAUAAUUUUACUGAUUUUUUUUAAAAAUAUUUGAUAUCUCUUAAAUCAUUCAUAAAAUGAAUUAAUUUUUUAAUAAAAGUAAUUUUAAUUUAGAUUUAAAUUAUUUCUCAAUUAUAUUUAGAUAUAUGCAUAUAAAAAAUAUUAUUUUCUAAUAUUUAAUAUUUAAAAUUUUAUUUUAAUAAUAAUCUCUUUAAAAUAUUAUCACGAUUUAUAUUAGAAUUAAUGGUUUACAUUUUUAUUCUUCUUCCAAAAAUAAAAUUAUAAUGGACUACUUCACGUUAAUAAAAUCAUUUUUUUAUUCUAAUUUAUUAUAAAUUAUAAUAUUAUCAAUAAUAAGAUUUAUCUAUAAAAUAAAUAUAUCAAUCCACUCGUCUUUCUUUUAAUAAAUUUUCAUUUCAUAUUGUGGGUCGACACGUAUCAUUUCUGUUUACUUUAAUUUUUUAUUAAUAUUUUUUAUGUGCUUAAAGAAAAAAUAAAAUAUUAAAUAAAAUAAAAAACUUGGUGGGGAAGUAAAGUAAAGGAGCGUAAUGAUGACGAUUGUAUGGCCCGAGAGAGAGAGAGAGUGGGCCGGCUGAAAAAAUAAAAUAUUAAAUAAAAUAAAAAACUUGGUGGGGAAGUAAAGUAGAGGAGCGUAAUGAUGACGAUUGUAUGGCCCGAGAGAGAGAGAGUGGGCCAGCUGAAAAAAUAAAAUAUUAAAUAAAAUAAAAAACUUGGUGGGGAAGUAAAGUAGAGGAGCGUAAUGAUGACGAUUGUAUGGCCCAAGAGAGAGAGUGGGCCAGCUGAAAAAAUAAAAUAUUAAAUAAAAUAAAAAGCUUGGUGGGGAAGUAAAGUAGAGGAGCGUAAUGCUGACGAUUGUAUGGCCCGAGAGAGAUAGUGGGCCAGCUGAAAAAAUAAAAUAUUAAAUAAAAUAAAAAACUUGGUGGGGAAGUAAAGUAGAGGAGCGUAAUGAUGACGAUUGUAUGGCCCGAGAGAGAGAGUGGGCCAGCUGAAAAAAUAAAAUAUUAAAUAAAAUAAAAAACUUGGUGGGGAAGUAAAGUAGAGGAGCGUAAUGCUGACGAUUGUAUGGCCCGAGAGAGAGAGAGAGAGAGAGUGGGUCAGCUGAAAAAAUAAAAUAUUAAAUAAAAUAAAAAACUUGGUGGGGAAGUAAAGUAGAGGAGCGUAAUGAUGACGAUUGAAUCGGCCGAGAGAGAGAGAGUGGGUCAGCUGCUUUAAUUCAAGAUUGAAUGACCCGAGAGACACAGAGCUGUCCCUAACUUUCCUCUUCACUUCCUGGAAGGCGCCUUGCCUUCCCAACUUCUUAGUUGCACAAUCUCCUCAUUUACUCACUAUCCUGAAGAGAAAUCAACCCCUCUAAACUGUCUUUGUACUUUUGAGAUAGAAACCCACAAUGGCUUCCACAAGCUCCUUCAGAGCCUCUUCUUCUUCUUCUACUCCUUCCAUCCCUCGAACAAGUACUUAUGAUGUUUUCUUGAGUUUUAGAGGCGCAGACACCCGCUCUAAUUUCACUGAUCACCUCUACAGUGCUUUGGGUAGGAGAGGGAUUCGCACCUUCAGAGACGAUAAACUCAGGGAAGGAGAAGCGAUUGGUCCAGAACUCUUGACAGCCAUCGAAGAAUCAAGGUCUUCCGUAAUUGUUUUCUCUGAAAACUAUGCUCAUUCGACAUGGUGUUUGGAUGAGUUGGUAAAGAUCAUGGAGCGCCACAAAGAUCGGGGACAUGCUGUUUUCCCAAUUUUCUAUCACGUGGAUCCAUCCCAUGUACGAAGGAAAACAGAAAGUUUUGGAAAGGCCUUUGCCGGUUAUGAAGGAAACUGGAAGGACAAGAUACCACGGUGGAAGACGGCCUUGACGGAAGCAGCCAAUCUUUCUGGAUGGCAUCAACGGGAUGGGUAACUAUAAUUUCCUUUCAACUAUUUAAAUGAGUAGUUUUGCAUUUAUAGAGUGAUGAUGUGGAUUGAAACAUUUAUAAAAAUACAAAAGCUCAAAUUUUUUAUUUGGAGGUCUACUCCUUAAGCACAAACUUAUCCUCAAAAUGCUUUUAGAUUAAGGUGGUGCAUGUUUUUUUGGCUGAAUAGAAAAAGUCAAAUAUUUUGACUUUUUCUAUUCAGCUAAAAAGUAAUCUAUUAACAUCAUCCAAUAUAAUUAAAUUAAACUAAUGGAUAACAAGUUCAUUUUAGUAAACAUGUUACUUUUAGCUUAAUAGAAAAAAUAAAAAUAUUUAGCUUUUUCUAUUCAGCAAAAAAAAACAAAACAAACAGCACUUCGAGUCUUUUAUGUGUAAAUGUGUUUGAUAUUCUUUUAUACGGAAUGUUCUUAGAACAAGUGUUUUUUAGAAAAUCAGCUAUCUUUUCCACGAAUUUAUUUUUUCUUCAAAAACACUUUUAGAUUAUAAGUACUUUUUAAAAGUAUUUUUAGAGUGCUUUGAGCAGGCAAUUCUAUUUAAAUGCUUUUAGUGAAAGUUUUUUUAAUAAAUAUUUUUGGGAGUAUAUCUCAAAGAAUUAUUAGAAGUGAUUUUUUUUUUACUUUUAAUAAGUAAUUCUAAAUUUUUUAUCAAACGUCUUAAUAUUUUUUCAUAAAGACACUUUUUAUACUUCCCAAACAAACUGUAACUUGAGGUUGUUAACAAGGGGCAUAUAUUUGUGUGCUCAAAAUUUAAAAAUAAAAUAAAAUAAAAUAUUGCUUUUUAGGGCUUUAUUUAUAAGUUGGGUUUAUUCAAGUGUAUCAUUUGGGCAGCCGACUAUGUGUCAUGAAUAAGGAGAAAAUAGGAAAUUGGAGUAUUGAUUUGACCAUUGAAGCAGCCAAUUUAUAUGGAUGACAUCGAUAUUAAUUUAAUGAGCAUGCAAUUUAAGUUUCUUUCACUUUUCAUUCAUUAGUGGGUUUUGUUUAGGAAUUAAAUUAUUAUUAUUAUUGUUAUUUAUUACUAAUAUUAGUGUUUUUUGUUGUUGUUAAUAGUAGUUGCAAUGACAGUAGUAUAAAAAGAAUAGUAGAAUAACAAUUAUAUUGAGUUAGGAUUCAUGAUUAAUGGUAGAAUGAACUUAUUAAAACCCAAUUAAUGAGUUUUACUAUUUUAGAUCAAUUUAUGAGAAUCUAUAUCUAAAAUAAUUUAAUCAAAAUUUAUUACUAUUUUUUCAAUUUUCAAGAUUCAAUUCGCAUUAAUGUUACAAAAAUUAAUCAAUUUAUUUGAAAUUUUGUGUGAAUAAUUAUAUAACAAGUAACAAUAAAAUUAAUGACUAUUACUAUCUAUUAACGAGCUUCAAAAAUUUCAAUUAACCAACCUCUUGUGUAUCAAUAGAACAACUUAAUCAAAUUCUAAAAAUAAUUUGAUUAAUUAUGUAACAAGUAAGAAGUAACAAUAACAAAAUUAUUUAACCAAUUUUAUUUGAGGACAAGUUGAUCAAGUAGUUUGAUUAAUUAUGUACCAACUACCAAUAACAAAAUUAUGUGACGUAAAUUGUUUAGUAGGAAUUCAACUUCCCAGAGAGUUUGUGUGUGUAUAUAUAUAGACAAUAAAGAACAUAGGUUAGGAAGUUAAUUCUUUAUAGAUGAUGCGAAAGGAAAUCAACUCAAAAUAAAAUACAAAUGAAUAACUUGUUUACAAGCCUUUAAUUUUUAAUUUUUAUCAUACAAAUGAAUAAUAAGGAGAUGAUGUUGUGGGAUAAAUAAGUUUUGAAGCUUGAGGAAUUGAACAUGGGGUUUUUAAACUAAAACUUCUUAUAUUAAGGGGUUGAGGCUUCAUGCAUUACAAGAUAUAAAACGAAUGUCAAAGAAUAAAAUAUUUGCUCCUACAAGGUUUCUAAUUGCCAUGGGUUGUUAAAGAGUUUUUGAAAAGUGCAUGAAUGAUAAAGUAAUGUUUCGAUUCAUAAUCAUUGUCCUCUAUCAUGGCACAAAAUUUCCAUUUGAAUCUAAUGCCACACAAGCAGCACAACUAACAAAAUUCAAAAUCCAUGUUUUAGUUUUGUUCUCAUGCAUACUUGAUACAAUGAAAAAGGUCCUAAAAAUGUAAAUGAACUAAUAUCUUUGAUAUAUUCUAUUCUACUUUAAUUUAUUUUUCGUAAAGAUGUCAAAUUUAAUGUGUUUUAUUUACAAUUGUGGCUCAUUGCUUAACAUGUUAUUCUUUUAUAAUUGGCAGGUCUGAGUCCAAUAAAAUUAAAGAAAUAACUGAUAUCAUAUUCCAUCGAUUGAAAUGUAAGAGGCUUGAUGUUGGUGCCAAUUUAGUUGGUAUAGAUUCCCAUGUAAAAGAGAUGAUUUUGCGGUUGCAUAUGGAAUCAAGUGAUGUUCGUAUUGUUGGGAUAUACGGAGUUGGGGGGAUGGGUAAGACUACCAUCGCAAAAGUUAUAUAUAAUGAACUUUCUUGUGAAUUUGAAUGUAUGAGCUUUCUUGAAAAUAUUAGGGAGGUUUCCAAUCCCCAAGUUUUAUAUCACUUACAAAAUCAACUUCUUGGUGAUAUCCUAGAGGGAGAGGGGAGUCAAAAUAUAAAUAGUGUUGCCCACAAAGCAAGUAUGAUAAAGGACAUUCUCUCAUCUAAAAAAGUUUUUAUGGUUCUUGAUGAUGUUGAUGAUCCAAGUCAAUUAGAAAAUUUACUUGGACAUCGUGAAUGGCUUGGAGAAGGAAGUAAAGUCAUCAUAACAACUAGAGAUAAACAUGUGUUAGCUGUACAAGAAGUGGAUGUCUUAUAUGAGGUUAAGGGAUUGAAUUUUAAAGAAGCUCAUGAACUUUUCAGUUUGUAUGCCUUUAAACAAAAUCUUCCCCAAUCAAACUAUAGAGACCUCUCACAUCGUGUUGUAGGCUAUUGUCAAGGGCUUCCAUUAGCUCUAAAAGUUCUAGGUUCUCUCUUAUUCAAGAAGACAAUACCUCAAUGGGAAAGUGAAUUGGAUAAAUUGGACAAAGAACCUGAGAUGAAAAUUCACAAUGUGCUUAAACGAAGCUAUGAUGGAUUAGAUCGUACAGAAAAAAAAAUAUUUCUUGAUGUUGCAUGUUUUUUUAAAGGUGA